RNAcentral lists this long non-coding RNA (124728 nucleotides) under Vitis vinifera (wine grape). RNAcentral describes it as "long non-coding RNA (VVIN_LNC005780)". The record is from RNAcentral. Lineage: Eukaryota; Viridiplantae; Streptophyta; Magnoliopsida; Vitales; Vitaceae.
UUUUUUUUUUUUUUUUUUUUGAAUCUAUCUAUUUUUUAAGACAUUGCAAAUGUGUUUGAUCAAGCUUGUUUAGUUGCCGAGAAAAUAUGGUGAAAGAAAACAAAGGAAGGAAGAAGAAGAAGGGUUGAGUUAGGGUUUUGAGGUUUUAAAAUGAAAUAACUCUUUUACCCUCAUUUAAAUAAGUCACAUGGAGAGCACAUAUGUCUUCCGUCCAAUUAAGGUAACACUGUCACUCUAAAAAUGCAUAUUGCAUGUAAUUAUAAAGCAUGGAAGGUACAUUGCUCAAUUUUAAAUUCAAUGGGGCAAUAUACAAAACACGUUAUAGGUUAAGGGAGUAACGUGUAAUAAACCCUUUAUUUUAUUGUUACUUACUUUAUUCCUUAUAUUUUUUAAAAUAUUAAUUAUAUCUAAAAUCUAUGUGUUAUUGUGUCUCAAAAUGGAUGAGAAUGAUGUAUGUCUCACAAAUUAUGUAACCAUGCACACAAUUCUUCAAGACAAAAUAUAUGUCUUUAAUUUGACAUUAACAAAAGUUAAUAUAAAUACCAUAUAUGGUACAACAAACUUAACUGAAGGCUCUAGAAUAGCAAAUAUUAUGAUACCAAUUGCAAUUAGAUCUAUAUAAAUAAUAUUUAUAUCCUAGCAAAUCUAGAAUAUGAAUGAAGGUAAUGUAGAAUAUCUUUACAUUACUUCGAUUAUUCUAGCCAAAAGCUUAUAAUGGAAAAAACUCUCAGUUUUUUCCCUCAAGUUGUAUCAUACAACCAUAAAGUCUAUUGAGUCAUAUAUUAUCAUGAACUUGAAGUUUAACAACCUAAAAAAUUUUAUUCUUUGGCAUGACAAGCUAGGUCACUCGAGGUUUUCAAUGAUGCAUCACAUAAUAGAACACUCACAUUGGCAUCCAUUAAAGGACUAGAAGAUUUUUUUCACCUAAUGAAUACUCAUAUGCUACUUGCUUCUAAGGUAAAUUCAUAGUUAAACUAUCUUUUACUAAAGUCAUAUAUGAGACACUUGUCUUUUUAAAAGGAAUACAUGAAGACAUAUGUAAGUCUAUCCAUCCACCAUGUGAACCAUUUUGUUAUUUUAUAAUUUUAAUAGAUGUCUCUACUAGGUGAUCACAUAUUGUCUCAUUUCUACACAUAAUAUUGUCUUUCUAAGCUCUCUGCACAAAUAAUCAAAAUACAAACACAAUUUCUAGAUUAUCCAAUCAAGACAAUAUGUCUUGAUAAUGUUGGUCAACUUACUUCUCAAACGUUUAUCGACUAUUUUGUGUCAGUUAUGAUUAAAAUUGAGCAUCCUAUUGGCCAUACUCAUACCUAAAAUGGUUUAGAAAAAUCCCUCAGCAAAUGUCUUUAAUUAAUAUCUCAACCAUUACUAAUGAAAAUCAAAUUACCUACUUUAUUAGAGAAAUGAAAAGAAAAUAAUGAAAAGAGAAUAUAAGAGGUCAUUUGUAAAAUGCUUGUACCAUCUACUGAAUAUUGUACUUAACAUCUCUUUAAAAUUUUCCUACCAAAAAGAAAAACCCCAAAAAAACUUUCUUAGGUUAAGAAGCAAAAUUUCUUCUCACUUACAAAACCAAGGGACUAAAAUUAAGAAAAUUUUGAAAUCUCCUCAUUUCUCUUCUCUUAUUCCUUGUCAAAUGAGGUGUUAAUCUAAGAUAAUAGCAACACCCUUACAACCUUUUCAUUGCAUUAACAUGUAUUGAUACUGUUAAGUAUUAAUGUAGAAUAAAACCAAUGAAGAUUAAAUAGUAUCUUGGUGUUUUAUUUACUAUUUUGAGAGAGUCAUAUUUCCCUUUUGUCUCUAGUAAAUAAAUUUGAAACUAAGCACAUUCAAGAGAAAUUCUAGAUAUUGUUGUGAACUAACUUAUAAUGAACCACACUUUAAUAUAAAUAUUGGUGUGAAAGUGAAUACACCUUAGUUGGCAACAAUACAAUAGGAUGGUAAUCAAGACCAAAUCCAACGUCAAGAACAAUGUUUAUAAACUCAUUCCUAUAUUCAAGAAGAUUUUCCAUAAGGACUAUCAUUAAUUUAUUGAAAUAAAGUACAAAGACCAUACAAUAACAUCAAUGGUUGCUCCUAUGAAUGGUUUCUUAGUUUUAAACUUUGCAAGACUUCCUUUUUCUUCCUAUGUUUUCCUUAUUUCUUCAUUUUAUAUUUCUUUUAUAUAUAUAUAUAUAUAUAUAUGCAUGAACCAUUUGAUAAAUUUUCUAUUUCAACUUCUAUUGGCAAAUGGUUUCAAAUUUUUUUCCCUAUACUUUCUUGGAUUUCAAAAAAUAUUUCAUUCAAAAUUUCAACCAAGUUCAUUUACUAAAUCAUUUUGAAAACAAAAUCCUUAAACAACUAAGCUCUAUUCACUUUUUCUUUUCAUAGUAAAUAUUUAUGUGUAAACUUAAAUUCAAAAUGAUUUGAUCAUCCUUGACCAAAUCAAUUGCCCAUAUUUUAUAAUUUGAACAAGUGUUAAAGUCAUGCUUCAAGAUUGAAUAUAAAAAUAAUUACCUUUGCAAUGACUUCAUUUGCCUUUUAAAGAGAUAAUAUCGUAUGCAAAAGUAACACCAAUACUUGAUCCUACUACUGCAAAUUUUACUUACAAUAAAUAGGUUGAAAAAGUAUUAGAUUUUGAAUAUGCCUAAUGAACUAUCUUACCAUAAAUGUGCUUGAACUUCCAAAUCCAACAUAAGAAAAUACGCAUUACCACAACUUUCCCUAAGUUGGUAUCCAAAUGGUUAUUUGCAACCCACUUUAAUAUGUCAAAUUUAUAUGAAUGGCCUCCCUAAAUAUCAAUCCAAGAGUCUUAGCAACAUUGAAUUUAAGAAAAUUUAUUCUAGUCCUGAAUGACCAAAUUGUAAUCAAAUUUUGAAAUUUUCAUUUUUUCAUAAGAACAUACAACCAUACUAUGUUAAUAAUAUAUAGAAAUCAAAGGUCCAGACUAUUCAAUACGUAGCUAAAUGGACAUUAAAUUUACAUCUUUUAAAUUAAAAUUAUCAAAAAGUACAUAAAUUUAUAUACAUAGGAAAGCGCGGACCCGUAUUUUUCACUUGCAUCACCACUCAAUGGCAAGACUCAUUUUUAUUGGUGAAAAAUUAGUUUUGGAAAAUUCGAAGUCGCCACUUAUUUUAUUUUAUUUUGAAAGGGAAAAUAAAACAAAAAAGAAAAUCCUAAAAAAGUGACUCCAUAGUUUUUGGAAAAGCGUGUCUUUGAAAAACCUGAGUCUAAGCCCGGGGAUCGGGUUACCUAUUGGGAAUGUACCUCUAAAAGGUCCCCUUUAAGCCCUACUAAAGUCUCUACUGACUAAGAUGAGGGAAAUGGGGCAAUUAAUUGGUUGAUUAUAGAUGCCUAGGUAGGCUAGGUGAUUUAAAAAAAAUAGCAUGUCAAACAAGAAAAACCAAUCAUAAUCAUAAAGCAGAUUUAGGGUGUGUACCUGAACUGCUUCUCAAAUACUAUCAUAAAACAUCAAAGUUAGUAUAGAAAUAUAGCACACAACAUGUGUUUUAUCCAAGCAAAUCAAGCAUACAUCUAAGCACCUAAGAAUCACAUCAAGCAUAAAUAAGGUUCACAACAACAUGCAUGUUCAUAGAAUUCCGAAAAGUAAGUGAUAGAGAGCGUACCCGAAUAACAUGCAUAAUUUAUAAGAUUUCUCAAAAAAAUGCUAGAGUGGUUAAGACAAAUAUAUAUUAUAUAACAUCUUUAUUAUGUCUAAUAUACAGUACCAAAGCCAAAAUUGAGCCAAGAUAAAUCAAAUGACUCCAAAAAUAAUAACAAUUUCAAGUAAAGUAUAAUUCCAUUAGCAUGCAGUUAGAAAAUGAAGCAUCAAAAAACAAUUUCUGAAAAAUAUCUUGGAGUGGAAUUUAACUACAAAAAAAAUUUCAGGAAACAACUCCUUUACAUCUAGAACAAGAUACCAAAAGCCAAACACUCAUUCAAAUGGAAAAUUGCAGCAAAGACACCCAAAAGUUUUAGAAGGUCCAAAUUAAGCAAAAAAAAAAAAUAGUAUUAUGCAUAAACAAAUUUUUUAAAAAUAAUAAAAGAUCACAUAAAAUCGUUAAAAAAAAAAAAAUCACACACAUCGUUCAAAUAGUCUAUAUCACAGAAAAAAAUAAAUCCAGGGUCGGGGAGUACUCAAAAUAUUUUUAAAACACUCCAACUAAUCUGAUGUCCAAAUUCCAUUAUGUACAGUAGGUACGAUUUUGAAAAAUCAUAUGUCCCUCAAAAUGCAUAUUUUUUUAACAUUUUAUAUGUCUAAGAUCAAUUUUAAGAAGUAAAAAAUUAAAGAAAAAUAUCGAGUUAAAUUUAAAAAGUCAUUUGUUAUUUUAUUUUAAAUUUAUAGGAAGAUUUCAGGUGUCUAGAAUUGGUUGAAAACAGAGCCCCCCUAAAGAAUCGUUUAUAUCUUCUAUUCCAUAAUUUCUUUCUAACUUAAACAAAAUUUUAAAUUUAAGUUCAAGAAAUGAGGAAAAUCAUACAAGUUUUGGAAAUUUUUUAAAAAUAUUCCAAAGUUGCUAAAAUGAAUUUUAAAUCUAGAAGGUCAGUGGUUAAAUGAAAACUGGCAGCAAGGAAGGGUUUUGAAAAAAUUUCUUAUGUAGGGGUUCCAUCAAGUCCCAAAUUACUUUUACAUGAGUUGGUUCAAUGAAUUCCAUUAUUUGACACUAUGAAGUUUGUUCAUGCUUUUCAAAAAAAAAAAAAAGACAAGAGAAUAGUUGAAAAUCAAAUAAAAUAGUGAGAAUGCGUGCCAUGAGGAAAAAUGACAGCAAGAGGUUUCUUGAAAUCUGAAUUUUUUAUGAAUCUAGAAACUCUUUAAGGAUGAAAUUUGAAGGAAACUAGAAUCAUUUAAAAACCAAAGAAAGAGGAGGAUGGUGUGACUGCCCUUGAGAAUGAGUGAAUGGUGCGUGUAGGUAAGAUCGUUUGUGGAGGCUGGCUGAUUCUAUAUUACGCAUGUUGCAUGCUAUAACAUGGCUUCAAAGAGGACGCAAACCACCCCAUUUUCAAUCCUUGAUGUAGCUAUUAGUGGAGUCCAUUCAUAGUGGCAAUAGAGUUGUAACUUUUUGAGUUGUGUGCUAAAAUUGAAUUCCAAAUGCACUUUGUCCCCUGUAGCAUUGUUGAUUGCAUGAAAAAUGAUAGCAUGUCUGUCCAUAUGCAAACCGUUGACCCUUUUAUGCAUAGACUUUCACAAAGAGCUCAAAGCAACAAAAGACAUCAAACUAUUAAUGCUAUAGGGUACAGCCCCAUCAAUUUAAUUUCCUUAGAGGCAUCUAAAAGUGUUAAUGACUUGCAUAAAUGCACCAUUUUUUUUGUUCAUUUCGCGACAUGCAUGAACUCCACAUCAAUGAGUUCACAAUUAUUUUUUUAUCACCGACAGUCCACAUGAAUAGCUUGGGCUUCUCAAACUUCUCAGUGUGGGCAUGUUAUGCAUUAUGGAAUCUCUGGUUUUAGAUUGGAAUUGGGGUGAUGUUCUUGUUCUUUUUCCAAUAAUAGUAUCACUUAGAGACCAUGGUUGUGAAGUUAAGGUUAGUGACUGAGAUGGGAGAAUGAAGAAAGAUGGCCAUGCAUAGCCAUGAAAAAGUGAGAGUCUAGCACUCACGUGUCACCCAAUAAGAAUUCUAUGAUUGGAGGCUGGUACCCUAUGGAUGAACCCAGGGCUAAGACGCAAUAUACCCAAACCAUUCUGAUAAACUUUACCAAUAUACCCCACAUCUGGAUGUGAUUAGCCAUCAUCUCCAGGAUUUCCCAAGCUUGGGUUAUACGUUCUCUAGGAAGAUGCAUGUAAUGGGUAUGAUGGACGAACGAGAUAACCCCAAAUGUUGACCAGUCCAUUCAUCAAGAAAAACAGGUUCAACAAAUAACUCAACUACCAACCAAGUGUUUGCAACAAAGGGUAAAGGCAAUGAAGAACAGAGAUUGGGAGAUUUAAAAAAAAAAAAAAAACAUCCACAUGAGGAUAGAAUGACACUCAAGCAUGAUAAGGUCAAUGAAAUUGCAGCAGGAUAACCUCCCAUAAACAAGGAUGUGACCUAUAUCAAAACAGAUUGCAUUAUCACAGAAUUAUGAAAGUAAAUUCCCAAAAAGCAAUCUCAUGGCCAACUUUCUUCUCAACUUCCUGAUGAAUUUACAUCUAAGCAACUAGCAGCUAUCCUUGGGUUUGAUUUAGCAUUAUCCGAAGAGCUUGGCACUUACCCGCUAGGUUCCUCAUCCAAGUUCCCGAAAUCAAAAGGUGGAAGUCAAAAUCAAGGGACCCAGGCCACAAGAGAAAAGGUAUCAAAACAGAGAGAUGGUGAUGAUGCUAUUACCGUUUUUUGUGAUCUCUAUCCAUUAUGUAAAGAUGGCCAAUCUCUUCUAACAAACAAAUGUGUUUCGGUAGGCUUCUUUCUUUGAUGUAAAGCAGAAACCUAGGGAUGGAGAGUAAAUAGAAUAGAAAAAAAAAACUCUAGAAAACAAGGAGAAUAUCAAGGUUAUAAGUAACAAAAAAAAACCAACAACAAAAGAAGAAACUUUUCAGAUCAAAUGUCAUUUCACAAGUAAUCCAUGUGCUUAAAGAGGUGGUAAAGGGAAAAAAAAUCUAAACAAAAUAACAAAGUAUGAUUUCCAAGGCGUAGUGCAAUUAAAAUGAAAUCAGAUCAUCCUCAUCUUAAAUCAGACAAGCAAGAGAUGGAUAAUCAACCUUCAAACUCACCAGUAACCUAACAAACGACAUCUAAACACAGUAAAUAAUGAAAGGGAAUGGUGUGAAGGGAGAGAGUUUGAAGACCAUGCCAUAAGUAAUCCAUACCCAAACCAUAACAAGAAUAAUAAAAAAAAUGAUUUUUAGCAUUAAUACACAAAUUUGGAAGGUUGAAAAGAAAUGUACAGGCAGCCAUGAGGAUCAUACCUGAAAGUCCUUUUCUGUUUCCCCAGAGACUAACGAACUCCUCUUCUCUUUAACCAAACUUGAUGACCCAAAUGAACUCUCUCUCUCUUUUCAAUGUGUGUUGAAAAAAAUAUUUCUUUUUGAAAACCUCUCUUUUUCUAUCUCUUCACCUCCUCCAAAACCCAUAUGCCUGUGUUUUUUAUAACAAUUGGUAGCCGUUCCACCUCAGGAGUCUUACUCUCUCCGAAUUCCCUGUCUCAUCCAACAGAAAAAUCUCUUUUAAAUGUCAAAAAACCAAUCCAUGCAUAUCACCUAAAGAGUCCUACAUUUUCCAAAAACUUUUCCAUUGGUAGAUUUUUCUAUAAAAACUUCAAAUUAUUAAAUUAAAUAAAUGAAUAAAAAUAAAUAAAUAAAUAAAUCGGAGAAUGAUAAAAUAAUAAUAAUAAUAAUAAAUGAACAAAUAACAAGAUAAUUAACAAAUAAAUAAAAAAUAAUAAAAUAACUAAAUAAAUAAAAGUGAUUAAUAACAAUAAAAAUAAAUAAAAAUAUAAUAAAUGAUUAAAUAAAGGUGAUUGAUAAUAAUAAUAAUAAUAAUAAUAAUAAUAAUAAAUAAAUAAAUAAAUGAGAUAAAUGAGUCAUGCAACCAUACAAGUCACACUAAGAAUGUCUAGUGGGCCAAGUGAGCCUAAGUGAAUCUAGAUGGGCCUAAGGUAUCUAAAUGGGCCUAAGGUGGUGUCUAAUGGGUCAAGUACACCUAUACGAGUCUAGGGUGAGACUAGGUGGGCCUAACUAAGUCUAACCUAAAGUGCACCUAAGUGAAGCCUAAUCUAAACUUGAAAGGCAACCAAGGUCAUAAUGUGGAACCAGAUAAACCCCUCAACCAAAGUCUCCAAAGUGGCUCAAAAAAGAUAAGUUACAUGAGUAGUAAUGAGCCAUCAAAAAAACUAUUAUGGAGCAUUGGAAGUGAACUUAAAGACAUGUGCUAAAGGGACAAAAUAAAGGGUCUACAAAUAUGCCCCUCUUUGGUAGAGAUCAUGAGUGUAGAGAAUGUGAGUUGAAAUACGAAUAAUGAGUGGAACGAAGUGAACUGUACCAAAGAAUUAAAAGGAAGAGACUAGAGAUUUUGUCUUGGCACAUGAAGAGGUAAGGUCAAAAAAUGGGGUCGCAAUGGCAUGGAUGGAACGACUCUAUGUGGAGGGAUGACAAUGAAAGGAGAAAAGUGUAUGAUGAGUAGCACAGAGAUGGAAAAUGAUGAAAAGAAUGACUCAAGGUCAUGAAUGGGAUAAAUGACUCUAGGUUAAGAACUUUGGGCCUUAUAUGCUAGGAAUGACUCUUGGUCGAAAGCUCAGGGCUUUAAAUGAUAUGGAUGACUCUGGGUCAGAAGCUAAGGGCUUCAAAUGCUGUGGAUGACUCUGGGUCAUAAAUAAGAAGAAUGACUCAGGGUCGUGAGCUCAGAGCUCUAAAUGGAUAGCUAAUCAGGAUGCUUUCCAGCGCAUGAUGUUGGGUCGAGGCUACUCACAGGUGGCUAGAAUGAUGAAAAUGAAACAUCUCAGGGAUGUGAAGGAUACAAACAACUCCGGGUCGUGAGCUCAGGGCUUGGGAUGCCAUGAAUGACUCUGGGUCAUGAUGCAAUCAGUAACUCAAGGUUACGAUGAAUAGCUCAAGGCUAUGUGAACAACUCAGGGCUAUGAUCUCCAGGUUCUAUGAUUGAUUGACUAGAAAGAGAAUGCGACAUGCAAACUCCAGGCCAAACCACUCAUGGGUGACCAAAUGAUGAAGGCUCAGCUCAGAAUUGGAAAGACUCCGGAUCUUAAGGAAAUGAUAACUCAAGGCUACAAGACUCAGGGUCUAGAAGGAAUGGAUGGCUGAAGGCUAUAAGACUUAGGGUCUAGAAGGAAUUGCUUAUUGAAGGCUAUAAGACUCAAGGUCUAGAAAGAAUGGAUUUUGAAGGCUAUAAGACUCAAGGUCCAGAAGGAAUAGAUAAACAAGACCAACUUGAAAGUGGAUAGGAAGUGAAUGGGCUCAAAGUCGUAUACUCAAAAUGCCAAGGGUCAUACUACUGAACUUAAAAAGGGAAAUAUGUUCCAAUAUCCAAGGUGUUUGCACUGCUAAAACAACCAAUAAAUCAACCAUUCACUAAAAUCAAUGGGUCAGAAACAAAUGCAUCAUGACAAACCUCUGAAAAAUCUAAACUGAAUGAACUCUCUAUGUCUCAAAAGCUGCUCUGUCAACAAAUCUCAAAAGGUAAAUCUCGGAGUGUGUAUAUCAUGGCUCAUCUAAAAGCAAAUCUCAAAGCGCACAAAAUACAACUCAUCUAGAUAAUCCAAUCCACAAGAUAACAAUGACGAAAACAAUCUAUCUCAUGAGCACCUGGCUAAAUGAUCCACUCAUGUUCCUUGGGUGAAACCUGAUGUGAUCCAUCUCUAUCUCAACAAAAUCGUGUAUGGAGGUCUUAAUAUUGUCAAUCAUUGAAAGUCCUAGAUUAGUACUCAAUCCAAAACCCAGUUGGUUGUUGUCUUAAUCCCAAGGAUACUUAAAGAAAAUGGGGAAAUAUGCCCCAAUAUAAUAUUUGAUGUUGAAGUCAUGAGGUAAACAAACAACAAUGAUCAUCCAUCUAUGUACCGUUGCCUAAACACAAUCUCAUCAAGGAGAUGAGAAUAAGCCCCAGUAUAAUAUCUAAUGUUAAAGUCAUGAGGUAAACAAACAACAAUGAUCAUCCAUCUAUGUACCGCUGCCUAAACACAAUCUCAUCAAGAAGAGGGGAAUAUGCCCUAGUAUAAUAUCUAAUGUUGAAGUCAUGAGGUAAACAACCAACAAUGAUCAUCCAUCUAUGUAUCGCUGCCCAAACACAAUCUCAUCAAGGAGAGAGGAAUAUGCCCCAGUAUAAUAUAUGAUGUCGAAGUCAUGAGGUAAACAACCAACAAUGAUCAUCCAUCUAUGUACCGUUGCCCAAACACAAUCUCAUCAAGGAGAGGGGAAUAUGCCCCAAUAUGGAUAUCAUCCAACAACAACUAGGAACCUCGGAGAAAGGUGGAAAUAUGUCCCAGUGUGGAUAUUUGAUGCACAAUCAAAAGGAUGAGUCCAACAUCAUUAAUGAACUGUCCCCAAACUCAAAAAUCCAUCAAACAUCAAUAUGCCAAGCAAGAGAGAGACCAAAUGCUUCCAAAAGUAUCUUUCAUAAGAGAAAACAUAGUAACGACUAUUCUUCAACCAAUCUGCAAAAGCCUGUUCGAGUGAAGACUGUCAAAGAUGACGUCUAAUCUCAUGGCCUCAAGGUGGUCUUAAAACACGGGACGUAACGUAGGCUAGGAUGAAAAUGUAAAGAAAUGAAAGAAAAUUAGGCUCAAAUACCCAAUGAUCAAACCCAUAGUGUACAACGCGUAAGAGUCUCAUGAGCAUGUGAACUUAAAAGGAGUCGAUGAAGAUGUUGAGAGUGAAAUGAGAAAGAAGGAGAAGUGGUUAAGCCAUCAACAAAUAAUGUAAAUGAUGUGAAGAAAUGUGUCAAAUUGGGAAGGUGUAUAGGUGUUGGAAUGGAACGAAAAUGGAAUAAAUAGUAAGAAAAAAAUGAUGGGAAAUCAAAUGAAGGUAGUGAGAAGGUAAAAAGGAAUGAUGAGCAACGCAUAUCAAUACAACAAAGGUAAAUCAUAUCACCCAUGAUGGAGUAGUAGGGAAGACACUGAUUCAGAGACCUUAGUGAAAGGUUACUCAACUCUCAUACCUGUAAAGUACAACAACUCUGAUCCAAAAAACAAAGGAUCUUACAAAACUUAAAAAUCUCAUGAAAAACUCUCAUCCAUCCAACUGUAUAACGAAAAUGACUCAACGAGCAAAAAAAGCCCUCAUGGAAAACUCGCACAAAUCCUCAAUAAUAAACCCAAUAAAGCCUCAAAUGCUCAAUGGAAUAGGAUAUCAAGUACAAACAUAUCACUGCGUCUUUUUUUUUUCAAUGCGCAUACCUUGGUCAUCAAUAAAUCAUACUCCAAUGAGAAACUACAAGGAAUGAAUAAACUCUCUCAGAUCACUAACGAACAUAUGAAACCCCAUCCCAUAAGACAACCUCUCAAGUUAAAAUCUCUUAAUCAAUGCCAAAAGAUGGAAUGAAGAGAGUGAUAUGACUAGCAUUUAUGCAUCAAUAUGUGAAGAAUCAUCAUUCCAAGGGAAAGAAAUAUGAAAUGUAGCAACCAAUGAUAAAAACUAGGAUUGAGAUGAAAAUGUGAAAAUAAUGAAAUGUAACAGAUAGGGUGGUGAGGUGAUAAUAGCAAGGAUGAGGAAGAUAAGCCUAUAAGUCCAAAGCUCAUGAGACUUUCCUAGCACAACAUAACUAUACAUCAAAGAGCCCCAACCCGGGUGUAGAGAUGAUAAGCAAGGCUAUGGGAAAAAAAAUUAUAGCAUACCAUAUGAGGCUCAAUGGGUUAGCAAUGGUCCAAUAUAUCAAUAAAGGUGAUAAGGUGUAAGGCUAACCGAAAUGAUGACCACCCAUCAUGCGACCAUAAUCUUAAAUGUAAUACUUCUUCAACUGAUUUACAUUAUUAAGCUCUGAAAAUUGGUUUCCAUCUAAGUCGGUCAACCAUGCAGCCCCUUCUGGAGUCAACUCUCGAAUAACAUAGGGCUCACUCCAACUAGGUCUAAACUUUCCUCUAGGGUCUCCAACCAAAUCUCUGAAAAUCCUAAAAACCAAAUCUCAUUUCUCUAAUGGUCUAGGCUUAACCCGUUUCCUGAAUGCACGAGCCAUCUUUCUCUGAUAGGCCUGAACAUGAUUCACUGCUCUCAAUCUCCUUUCAUCUAAAAGGUUAAGCUGAUCAAAUCGAGCCUAGGCCCACUCUAUCUCGAAAAUCUGCUGCUCAAGGGCUACUCUUAAUGAACCUAUCUCUGUCUCGAUUGGCAAAACAAUCUCCAUACCAUACACUAGAGAGUAAGGUGUAACUUCUGUAAAGAUUCGAAAAGAGGUACGGUAUGCCCACAAUGCAAAAAAGAGUUUUUUUGACCAAUUUCGAGAAGUCUCAACCAUCUUCCUCAAAAUUCCCUUCAUGUUAUUAUUUGUUGUCUCUACUGCCUCAUUAGUUUGUGGCUUGUAUGCAGAUGAUAUGUGAUGAUGGAUGUUAUACCUCUAUAACAAAGUAUCUACCUCAACUCGGAAGUGCACCCCUCUAUUUGAAAUCAACUCAUGAGGAACCUUGUAGCGGCAAAUGAUGUGUGACCUGAUGAAACUGACAACUCUAGUAGAUGUCAACCUCGCAUAUGAUGCAACCUCCACCCAUUUGGUGAAAUAAUCUAUGGCGACUAGGAUGAACUCAUGACCACUGGAAUAUUUUGUGAAAUCUUCCCAAUAAUAUCAAUACCUCACAUUGAAAAUGGCCAUGGUGAGGUCAAAACAUGUAAUUCUGAUGGCGGUGCAUGAAUGAGAUCACCAUGAAUCUGAAACUAUGGGCAUUUAUGAACAAACUGACAACAAUUUGUCUCCAUAGUCAACCAGAAAUAACUUGUCCUCAUAAUCUUACGGGCUAGCAUGUGUCCUCCAAUGUGUGACCACAAACUCCUACGUGAACCUCUCUCGUCAUAUGGUCUAUGGAAUCUCGAUCUAAACACAAUAGGAGCAUACCAUCAGUUGAAUGCCUAUAUAAGGUAUCUCUACAAAUCACAAAUCUAGUGGCCAAUUGCCUCAAUGCUCUCCGAUCCUUGGCUGUGGCUACCUUAGGGUAUGUGCCAGAUUUGAGAAACUGAUAAAUGUCAUGAUACCAAGGUAGAUCAUCCUGGACCUCUGUUUCUCCAAUCAGACAACAAUAGGCAGGCGCAGACCUCAACUCAAUCAGCAAUGGACGUACAACCACAGAGUAGCUAAGGCGUCAGUAAACCAGUUCUAUGCUUUAGGCAGAUAAACAUAUCUCAAGUCAUCAAAUCUUCCAACCAGUAACUCCAAAUAAGAGUGAUACAACCUAAGCUUUACAUCCCUAGUCUUCCAAUCUCCUUGAAUCUAUUUGAGUACCAUAUUAAAGUCACCAAAUACCUCUAUCUGUCUAAUGCCAAGCUCUAAUGCAAUCUCUAAACCAAUGAUACAAGUUUCAUACUCAACUGUAUUAUUUGUGGUAGGAUGUCGACCAGAGAAUGCCAAAUGAAUGGACCUAGGAAUAUGAUCACCCUGAGAUGAUACCAACAAAACACCUAUCCCAUUCCCUAACUGAUUGGUUGCACCAUCGAAGUACAUGCAACAUCCUGAUAAGUUAGUCAUGACAACAAACUCCUAAUCUGGAAAAUCAUCAUUAACUGGUCUAUCCUCAUAUGUCGGUAGUGAGGCUAAGUGAUCGGCGACAAUACUUCCCUUAAUGGACUUCUAAGAAACAUACUAAAUAUUGAACUUUGUAAAAAAUAUGAGCCAUCUCAUCAAUCUACCAAUCAAUACAGGUCUGUCAAAUAAGUAUCUCAACGGAUCUAGGCGGGAUAUCAAGUGCACUAAAUACUCUGUCAUGUAAUGCCUCAAUCUCCUGGUAGCCCAAACUAGAGCUAAGCAAAGACGUUCAAUCAUAACAUAUCUCAUCUCAUACUCCAGCAUCCUCUUACUCGGAUACUAAAUAGCUCGCUCCUUCCCUGAGUCAUCAAGUUGAGCUAAAACACAUUCCAAGGCCAUAUCUGAAACUGAAAAAUAUAGAAGAAGUGGACGUCCCGACAUGGGAGGCACUAAGACAAAAAGAGAAAGAAAAUACUCAUUAAUCUUCUCAAAUGCAAGUUGGCAAUCAUCAUUCCAAACUAUUGGCUGGUUUUUCCUCAAUAAACGAAAGAUGGACUCACAUAUGUCUGUCAAUCUAGCUAUCAAUUGACUGAUGUACUGUAACCUGCCCAGAAAACCCCUGAUCUCUUUCUCAGUCCUCGACACAAGCAUGUCAAGUAUAGCUUUGAUCUUAUCUGGGUCGACCUUUAUGCCCUGCUCACUAACCAUAUGCCCCAACAAUUUCCCAAAAGUCACUCUGAAAGUGCACUUUUUGGGAUUUAGCCUCAAUCUGAAUUUUUGAAUCCUCUCAAAGAAUCUCUCUAGAGCUACUAGGUGAUCUGCUCUACCUUGGGAUUUCACAAUUAUAUCAUCCAUAUGAACUUUAACAUCCCUAUGCAUCAUGUCAUGAAAUAAAGUAGUAGCAGCCCUCUAAUAAGUGGCUCCUAUAUUCUUCAACCGGAAUGGUAUAACCCUGUAACAGAAGGUACCCUACUCAGUAAUAAAGGUUGUCUUUUCCAUAUCAUCUAGAGCCAUCAAAAUAUGAUUAUACCAUGAAAAACCAUCCAUGAAAGACAACAUUGAAUGGUCUACGGUGCUAUCGACCAACAAAUCAAUAUGUGGGAGAGAAAAGUCAUAUUUAGGGUUGGCUUUAUUACGGUCUUUGAAGUCAACACUAACUCUAACUUUGCUAACCUUUUUGGGAAAAUGGACGAUGUUAGCCAACCAUUCUGGAUACUUAACCAUUGAUAUAAAUCCAACACUGAGUUGUUUCUAAAUCUACUCCUUCACCUGCAGACUUCAACGUGGGUGCAAUCGCCUCAAUUUCUGCUUAACCGGUCUGGCAUGUGGCAUGAUAGGCAAGUGGUGUUAGACUAUAGAGGGAUCGAGACCAGGCAUGUCCUCAUAAGACCAUGCAAAGACUUCCAAGUAUGACCUGAGUAAAUAAAUAAGUCUAUCACUCUCAUCUAUGGAUAGGGAUGAACCAAUCUUCAGCUCUCUAGGCUUAUCCUCUAUGCCAAAAUUAACGGUCUCAACAUCCCCUAUAGCAGGUGAAACUCUCUCAUCUAUGGGAUUAGAGUCAUGAUCAAAAGAGUCUCUAUCUUAAUCGGGUUGUGCAAUCUCAUCAUCUAUAUCAAAUAUCUGUGGAGUGGGUGAGUGGAGUGUAGAUAUAAAGCUACUAUCACCAGAGACAAACGAAUACUAAAAAAUAGUCGAAUCCAUAAAUGAUGCAAUAGAAACAUCAUCAUAGCGGAAGACAAAUCCCGAUAAAACAUCAAAGAAAAGAUGUGGGUCCACAAGGUCGGACGCUCCAUCAACUGGGCUAAUAGUGCCCUCAAACAAACUACCAUCAUCAUCUAAAAGCUCUGGAAUAGGAAUAGUCUAGGUCUCCUCAACAACCUCAGUGGUAGACACCCCAAACGCAUCAAAUGGUGAAAUAGGCUUAAGCUGAACAAUACUGGUAAUUUGACUCAUGGUCAUCAUGUCCAUCUCAUCUCGGUACUCAUCAUGGGGAACAACUCCAUCAAUCAUCUCAAUGGGAUCAACGAUCACUCCAUCGUCAGUGACCUCCUUGAUUUGUGCCCAAUUGGUAUACCAGCUAAUUCUUGUCCUCUCAAUGGUCCCCGGCAAUGGCACCAUUUGAUUUCGUGCCCAACUGGUGUAUGUUCUGUUGAUUGGGGCUCAAUCAAUUGGUGUACCUUGAUUUUGGUCCUCAGACAAGAGUAAUCAACAAAAUUUAUAACCUAUAUCACCAUGUACUAGGAUAGCCUCAGCUAGCAUAGUAUAGUGGCUCUAGGAUCGUUCACUGGGAAGGGUUUUCAAUUUACAAUUGAUAUUAAUUCAAAGUAAAAUUGGUGCUUUUUCAUUUCAAGGUUAGCUUUAAAAGAAAACAUGAACUUUGGUUUAAAAAAGAUUGGUUUUAAACUAACCAAAAAUAAUAACUGAUUUUAAUUAUAAAUAAAAAUGUUUCUUGGAGUUUUUGGAUCACUGGGGUCAGGCUCCUACUACAAAAAUAGAGUUCUGGUCACUUGAAUCUUUUCCUCGCAUUGGAGAUUUAACAUAUAGUUGUAGACCCUCAAUUUUGUCCCUUUAGCACAUGUUUUUAAAAUUCGUUUUCAAUGCUUCAAAAUAGUUCCUUGGUGGCCCAUUACUACUCGUACAACUUACCUUUUUUUGAGUCACCUUGGAGACUUUGGUUAAGGGAUUAUCUGACCCUUUAUUGUGACCCUUGGCAGCCCUAACUUAGACUUAGGCUUUUCUUGUUUUUUAGGAUAGCUUUUAGAUACACUUGGCCCAUUCGGAUAUUUUUAGUGUGACUUAUAUGACUUGCAUGUUUGCAUCGCUCGUAGGGCCCAUUUUGUUGUUAAUUUGUUUAUUUUUAUUUUAUUUUAUUUUAUUUUCCUCUUUAUAUUAUUUUCCUUAACUUAUUUAUUUAUUUAUUAUUUUUACCAUUUUCUAAUUUAUUUACCUAUUUAUCUAUUAAUGCAAUUAUUUAACUUCUAAAAUUUCAUGUUUUUGCAAGGAAACUUACUAUUGAAGUUUAAGGAAGGCGGGACUCUCCUUGGAAGGUUUGGGAGAGGAAUUUGAAAUUAUGAAGAUUGCUUUUGAAUUGGAAGAUUUAAAAAAAGGAUAAGGAGAAAAGAAGAGAGAAAAUAGGGGAUUUUUUCCUUUCGGGAACGGAUUUAGGAUUUAGGAGGUGAUAUAUAUAUGUGUGAGAGCUUUUUUGAAGGGAGGAGGAGAUUCUUUCUGGAGCAGCACGCAUUGGAGGAUUUUUUGCGGAGAAGCACAGCAGAAGCAAGAAGAAGAAAAAGGAACGAUUGCAGCCAAGACCAUCCAGGUAUGUUUUGCGACUAUUUACCUAUGCUUUAUCUUAUUCCAUUCUUGAGGAUCCUUUGACGGUUCUGGGUGUUUAUUUUGCUGAUUGGUGUGGACGGAAAGGGCCACAAAUUGCUGUGUUGAAAUUAAAUCUUUGUUUGUUUGGUAUGUUCUUCAUUCUGUUAAUGUCAUUAAUCCCAUCUGAAAAUAAAUUGCAUACAUGUCCAUCUUCGGACUGGAUGGUAGAAACCACUCCCUUUUUUUAUUCAAAUCUUAUUCUGAAUCACUCCCCUAUUAUGAGCUAAUAGAUUGAAAUGUAAAAUUGUGACUUUUGCUGGUCUUCUCCUCUUUCCAUACGUUUUGUUGUUUUCUUCUAUUUUGGCCCAUACCUCAACAAGCUCUAUUCCCGGUCUUCAAGAUUUGGUCUCUGUUUUGGAAUUAAAAAUUGAAAAAAAAAAAAAAAAGGAUACUCUUUUCCUGCAUCAAGAGCUCUCACAGAGGAUGUGUCAGAAUCUGAAAAACAAUCUGGGUCGUCUCCCUUCAGUAGCAAUUCGAAUUAGUUCUACGGAGGCUGCAUAUAAGGGCAAAAGUUGAGGAUGAGCAUUCGAGUGUGUUGAUUCUGGUGCUUGAUAUGUUGGCUAAGGCCUAUGUUAGGGUUGGUAUGUUUGAUGAAGCCAAUGAUGCUCUGUUUCAAACAAGAAGACAAGGGUUUGUUCCUCAUAUAAUGUCUUGCAAUUUUUUUUGAUGAAUCGCUUGAUUGAAUAUGGGAAGAUUGAUAUGGGGGUGACUCCAAGGUUUGGGAAGGCAGUCACAAGUUUUAGUACGGGCAUUAAACGCUCCAAAAUUCUGGAAUUGCUAUCACAACAUGGGAUCUAGAGAGGAUUGUCCAAGUGGCUUAUCGACUGUUUAUGCACCCAUUAAAUCUGGGUACUGUAAUACAGAUUUGAAGGUUCAUACGGGGAUCAGAGAUGUGGCUCCUCCGGAUCCGAAUAUUCCAAGGUUUACAUGUUUAUGUGCUCGCUAAGCUUGAUUACAAUGAUGUAAGUUUGUGGUUUGAUGUGGUGGUUAGAGAUAUGGUUUCUGGAAAUUUGAUUACUCCAGGGUAUCUACACGAAAGGAAGAGUGAGGAGCAUGGGAGUUGUUUGAAGAAAUGCCUACGAGAAGGAGCUUGAUUCCACCAUUAAGAAAAUCUAUAGUUUUAUAAGGGUAUUGUUCAGAAGCGUGCUGUUAUCACGAAACAGGGGGGAGAAAUCCAUAUAUUCGGCGAAGAGAGAAGAAACAGAGAACACGCAUUGAGAGGAGAGAGAUAGAUGGGCAGAUUCAAGUUUGGGAGCAAAUUCCUCGGUUCAAGAAAGGUGUAGUGACCGGAAACCUAGCAAUUGGAGAAGAGAUCAUGCAGCCACAAUUUCGUGAAGGCAAAAAGAUACAACAUGGGUGAGAAGCUCUAAAUUGUUCUCUGCGGAAGUACCAGCGGUUCAAGUAAAAUUAGAAAGAUAAGCAGUUCUGGGUUCCUAGCCAUCAUCUGCCCUUGCUUAUGUCUCAAUCAUACUUUAUCUCUAUGCUUUUCCACAACAUCAAAUUCUGCUGCCUUUCUUAAUGUUGGUUUGGAGUUGCUUGGGUUCAGGGAUCUGCACUUGUCCUAGAUGUUUAACUUGAGGAUAGAUAUUAUGAAGAACCUAACUUAAACAGUGGAGGAUCUUGUCAAAUGAAGGUUCCUAAUUUGCUCCCAUUUGUUUGAGGUGUCUUAAUUGAGGUUUGCUGGAAUCAGCACGUGGCCAAUUUUCAUGGCUGAUUUCCUACUGAUUUAUGGUUCAGGUUUGAAACCUGGUUUUGAUUUCAGUUGAUUAAAGCUAUUUGACAAUGACCACUGCAAACGACUUGUGGCUGUAAAGUUUGAGUUAUUUCGGUGUCCGUGUGAUGAUGUGAUUGCAGUGGAAGUGCUCAGAUCAGAGCUCAGUAGAAGAUCAUUGGCAGCUGAGCCUAAUAAGGAAUUCAAUCGGAAUGUUAACAUUGAGAUUUUCAAGAAAAGGAAGGUUCGCUGUUAAAACAGAGUGGAUAUCAGAAUGACCAAGAAUACGGAACUGAUAUUUCAGUAGGUUCUACUCGUUGCCCUCACGGACUAGUCCAGCAGUUUGCUUCCCUUGAUAACUUGAUCUAGCUGGCUAAGACUGAGAUACAAACUCCAUCUUUCCAAGGACAGAGUCUUGCAAAAGGGAAAAAGGAUUGCCCUUCGUUGUCUACAACAUUCUCAGUUGUGAGAGAGCAAAACAUGAAGUGAGAAUGGUUGUAAUGUUUGUGAAGCAAGAACUACCCAUCUCUGGACCGCAAAGGGCUCUAAGAAAUUCAAAGAGAAAAUUCAGUUACAGCAACUUCAAGGAACACUCUGGCAGUAAAGGAACUUUGCGGAAGGAAGCCCUUAAUAAGUAACCGAAUCCUAUGGUAAAGCAUGGCUUACGUCCCGGUACUUUGAAGAGCAGACUGUUUAAUAUUUUACCGAAUAAAAGAAGUAACGGUAUGAAAGUUCCAGACUUGGCAAUGUGUGUGCAGAUUUCUGAAUUGAAUCUUGAUGGUACGAUUGAGGAGCCGGAAUUUCUAAACAUAUUCUGCUCUUUGAAGUGACAUUACUUUAUAUGAAAAGAUUUCUAACUCUUCAUAUCGUCCAUGCAUUACUCCUCACACAAAUGUGGCUGCAAAUUUUCAAUCAUCAGACAUUGAUGACUCUGGGAGCAUUGACUAAGGACAGCAGAGAAUACAGCAGUAGUGAUAAUUCUGACUCUGAUUUAGGAACUUCCAAUUUAAACCAUUAUAAACAGAGAAAUGGCGUGUUGGAUAUAUAUGAAUCGAUAAGGUUUAUCCGGGAGAAGCAUGGUUGUUAGGAUUGAUGGAGGGUGAAAUUCGGAUUUAAGCAUCGAAGAGAAACCCGUAACUAGAGUAUUUCUAGAAACUUAACUGAAUAGCCCAGGUUUGGAUCCGGAGCUGGCAAUCUGAUGAUUCCAAGGAUGGGACUGUGGCACUCAUAAAGUUGUGACGAGAGUUUGUUGAAUUCAACGAGGGUGGCAAACAAAUUGAUGCUGAUGUUCAAAAGCGUAUCUCUGGUAGUCACGCUACUGCAUAUGUGACGACUUCGAUAGAGGAUAGUGAGCUGAUUAAUAAGAAAACCCUUCACCCAAAAUGUUUGGGAAACAUCCCUGCUAUUGAGAUGAGCUGAGCACCUCUCCGAGAAGUGGCUAUGUAUCAUGCUAAGUUGGCUGCCCGAAUUGAAUUAUUUUAGGAUCAGCAAAUAAAUAAAUAGAAUAAAGGCUCAAUGAAGAAACUUUUCCUCAAGAGCAUCCAGAAAUGCAGAUUAUCAAUGAUGUUGAUCGGGACAGAAAGGCUUCAUAAAUUAAUCCAGAAUUUGAAUACGUUGACGACCAUGUUGCUCUUGUAGUUUGUUUCUUUGAGAUGAAGAAGGGCCCUAAUUUCAACCUUUGGAAGCAUUUGAAGAGAACCAGAUUUAUCAAAAGAUGAUAUAGGAGGCAGACAUUGACUAAGUUCUCUGGAACACUUAGAAGUGUAAGUCAGAAUUUCAGCCUUGCUGCAAUAUAUGACGCCGACAUUGCCAACAAUUCCGCCAACCUACAGAAAAUUCCAAUGUUUGAUUUGAAUGCUGAUGAAAAACACAUUGCUUUUGUGAAGCUCUCAGAGAAGCACUGAUUAUUCCAUCUAUUGUACGUGUGUGACAUGAAGUCCAACGACAGAUUUGCUCCUCGAAGAUGCCAUGAUUGAAAUGAGGAUGAUGAUGCUUUGGCUAGUGGGAAUAUUAAAUCAUUAGAAAUCGACUAGGUAAAAGUUUGAUUGAUCUUGCUAUGUUUGAGACAACUUCCAGUGCUAACAGUAUGUAUCAGGCUGAACCUUUCUUCCUAGAGUCCAUUGGGUUGGUGGAUUUUGAAGACGAUUUUACUACUUAUAGUAAGUCGAAGCAAGUCAAAUCCAGCAGUAGUGAUGUUGGGACACAAUGCAAAUCAAUUAGUUCCUUGAAUUUAAACAGCAAAGCUGCAAUCAAAUAUCCACUCUUCCUAAUCCUUUACCAGCACCAAGCAAUUAAUGGAAUGACCAGAACGCAAAAGAUAACCCUCUCUCAGGAAAUGCAAGUCUCAAGAAAUGAGGAACUGCCGACAGAAUUGGAACACACCAGUUGACUCGCUUAGUUUGACAGAACACAUCAGCAAGUUAGCAUCUAACCAACAUGAAUAAGAAUCAGUGGGCUCACUUUACCUUGGUUGUCCUCUUGUUGAUGAUCUCCAAGUAAAUCAGAGGUAGCAAGUCCAGGUAUCAGAGAAUGGGGUAACUCAGCGAAGAGAGCAAGUGAAGAACCUACAGAUUGCCCAAUUACUCACCGAUAUGUUCCGGAUUCUCCAAUAGAAAGUGACAGAAUCAUGAAGCUGCCAGUAGGGGUUCCUGAGGGAGCUGAGAAACCUGCAGAAGAGUAUGAAAACAACAAAGAACUGAUCAUAGAGAAAGAGAGAGACGUCAGGGGGGUUUCCAGCCGUAUCCAUUGAAGUUGAAUCGGUUAAAUAAGAAUGACAUUCUGAGACAAUACUCGCUGAAAAUUCUAGAACGACAAAUUCUGAAGUGCAGACCUGCCCAUUGAUAGAAACUCCAUCUCAAAACCUUCAAACUCAUCCACUACAGACCAGAAUGUGAAAGAAAUCGUUCGAAGCCGGCAUUGGCAUUGGAUGAGCACACUCGGAGAUAAAUUUGAGAGCUGCCCAGAUGGUCUCCAAUCUUGAAGAUCUGAAAAAGAAUUUCACUUCUGAAUGGGAAAAGGGAGAAGAGAGCAUGAAGCAAACUUCGGUUUCCUUUGAGCCAGAGGAUAGAAAGGAUAAAUUCAGAUCAAGGCAAGUGUUGAAAUAGCGGGUUGAAAAUGGCAAGAAAGUGGAAGCAGUCCAGCCAGCUACAUUAGAAAGGGAAGAGGAAUUUAAGAAAAGAUAUGAAAGCUGGAACGAUCUAGAGGUCUUUGAGUUUCAUUAUGGUUCUCAUCAUCCUAGUGCUGGAAUUGCCCCAUCCUAUCUGCUGCGCCUGCCACCAUUCAGUGCAGAGAACCAAAAAUCACAGGGUGGUCAGUUUGACCAUGCUGAUCGCCUUUUCAAUCAUGGUUAAGUGCAGUUGGGAAAGGCAACACAUCAGAUGCGAAGGAAUUAAUUCCAGAAUUCUUUCAUAUGCCAGAGUUCUUGGAAAGUUGUUCCAAUCUUGACCUAGGAGAAAAACAAUCAAGGAAAAAGGUUAGUGAAGUUGUGUUACUUUCCUGGGCCAAAGGCAAUGCCAGAAAGUUUGUCAGGAAGCAUGGUCUUCAAUCUUUAGUCAGAUCAUGCACGAGUUCCUCGUAUAGCAGAAAGGAGAAGCUAAACCCUCUAAGGCGGAACCCCUCACAUGCCAGACAUACCACGAGCUUGUUGUUUUAAUUUAUGACUCAGUUGAAGUUGUUAAUCAGCUUAAACCACAAUAGCAGUGGGGGUCCUUGAGAGAUGUUGAUCCAGUGGAAUUAGAGCUAUAGUUGAAUCUGCUUGUGAGAAGCUUGUCACCUGUCAAAGUAGACCUCUAGAAUUCUAAUAAGUCUCUAUUUCCAUACCAGCGUUUCAGCCUCAAAAGUAGUCCCAAACUCCACUCCAUCACAGCAACCUUGCUAUAGGCAUCAUCUCCCCUACUUGCUUCUUUGAUUGGGAAUUUACUGUUUUAAAUUGAAUUUCAAAACCAUUGUUCAACUAAUCAUUCUCAACUUUGAAAAUUCAUCUUUAGACCUUCUCUAGGCAAUAAAAUCCAGAUUUCAACACCCUUUUGCUGCCAUUUUCCUUCUGGCAUAUAUUUUCAUCAUUUUCAACUAUUUUCAUGAUUUUCACGAUUUUCAACAAGCAUGAAUAAACUUCAUAAUUCCAAAUCAUGGAAUUUAUGGAAUCAACUCAUGCGAAAUUAAUUAGGGCUUUGGUGGGGGCCCGACAUUCAUGAUAUUCUCAUCAAUAUUGUUUACUUGAUAUGUUGAUUCUUUUUCUUCUUGAUGAUAAUCAUGAAUUCGUUUUAUAUCUAUUAUUGAGAUAUCCUUGCUUCCCAUAGAGAUGUGGAUGCUUGCUAAUCAGGUACGCCAUUUCUACCCCACAACCCUAAAAUUCUAUGAAUACGUACGAUAUCAUGAGCCAUGACCAUGUUCGAUACCAUAUUUGAUUGUCUUGAUGUUUGUUUGAUCAUCUUUGAUAAAAUACAUGUAAUGUGUCAUAUUUCCAAACUAAUCUCUUAUGUUUUAUGAUAGCGCUUGAGAAGCUGUUCAGGUACGCACUUCGACUCUCUCUUAGGGUUUGUUUUCUUGUUAGGCAUGCAAUAUUCGAAAUCACCUAGCCUACUUAGGUAUCCAUAAUUAACCGAUUAAUUGCCAUAUUCCCCUUAACUUAAUUAGUAGAGACCUCUUUAGGGCUUAGAGGGGUGCUACCUCCUAGAGGUACCUUCCCAAUAAGUAACCUGAUCCCCGGACUUAGACUCGGGUUUCUCAAAGACAUGCUUUUUCCAAAACUAUGGAGUCACUUUUUAGGGUUUUUCUUUCUUGUUUUAUUUUCCCUUUAAAAUAAAAAUAAAAUAGGUGGCGACUCCAACUUUUUUCAAAAAAUCAAAUUUUCACAAAUAAAUAAAAAGCGAGUCUCGCCGAUCGAGUGGGGACGCACGUGAAAAAUGCGGGUCCACAAUAGUUAUUUCUCGAACUGGUGUGGUACAGAUGCUUCCCUUUUAUGGAUUCAAACAAUAAAUCUCUCUCACUGAUUCAUCUUGCAAUGGCUCAUGCCUCUCACCUAACAUUUGUCAUUCAAGGUGAUCCUUAACCUUGGAUUACCCUUCAAAAGCUCGCAAGAGAUAACAAAUGGAUAUCUCCUUAGAGUCCAAAAGCUUACCAAGUGUUGGCUAUUCUAGAAAAUCCUACCUUUGAACCACCUCCCAAAGACUCGCAAGAGAUAAAUUAGUGUAUCUCAAUGGACGGAGAUCACUUGCCUUACCAAGUGUUGGCCCAGGUGAUUUAAAGGCGUUUUAAGUUAACUAAAAACAUAGAAACCAUUAACGGGUCACACUUUCUCUUCAUUAAAAGCCGAAACAACAAAACUUCCAAUUUUUGCAUUCGGCACCUUACCUAGCUUCCUUAACUCCAAGAGAUAAAAAUUCUAGCCACUCAUUCUCUGAGGAAACAUCCUCAAAGCUUGUUUUGCUAGUAAGAAAAAUACAAUCAAAAUGAGUAGGUAAGGCAGAGCAAAGCUCUGUGUAUUACUUCCUUCAAAACUAUACAAAAAGUUGGUAUCUAAGAACAAGCUCCCCAAGAUGCCUGUGUAAAGAAAAUUACAAACUAUAUAUAAGAGGUUAUUCACCCUUUGUUCUUACUUAUUAACUAAGGAAUCCUAUGAUUGGUGGAUUACAAGGAGAAAAUGGGGAUUUAAACAACAAAUAUCUGAAGUAAAAAUCUAAAAAAGUCGGUCGCAAAUAUCUGGAAGCACUCAGGUGGAUUUUGCAGCAUGCAACAUGGGCUACGAAAUUUCACAAGCUGAAAGUCUCCAUUUCGCACAAAAAGGUUGAUUUCGCAACUAGCAUAUUGUGAUUUCGCAGCUGCGAAAUUGCCUUUCAACUUGGUGCGAUUUGCUUCCAAUGGCCAUAACUUUUUCAUUUUAGCUCUAAUUUGUGCACUGUUUAAAGCGUUGGACUCCUGACUUCCCAAGCUUCGAAACGACAUAUAGUAUGCAUGAAAUGGACUCCAGGAAGUGCUCGAAAUAUGUCCAAGAAUUGCUAUCCUCUUGAAUUUCUUCAUGUUAGAUUUCUCUCUUUGUUUCUCCUCCUUGCAUUCAUGAUUUGCUUUUGGCAAAGGACUAUAAAGCUCUAAAGCUUGGAUUCUUCAUGUAAAUGAGCUUCCCUUUGCUUUGCCAAAGAUUAUAUAAAACUCUCCUCAAUCUUGGAUUGCUUUGGUGAUCAAAAAGCUAUCAAAAACACCAAGAUUAACACAAUUUGAUUAGAAAAUAUUGCAAGGGUCCUUAACAUGCCAAUUGAGUUAAAAGGUAAUAACUACUACUCAAAAGUGUUUAAAAAAGUUAAUUACAAGCUAUAAAAUAACACUUUUUGAGUAGUAAUCACUCCUCUAGGAAGCAUAGGGACAACAAACUAGCUCGAUCUGGAGAUGGAUGAGUAAUCGCCAUAGAAACAGAAGUGUCAGGAGCCCCAUCACUCAACUGUAACUAGUGAAAUAGAUACUGAAGCUCAAUCUCUCUAUCUGUAUGAACCACAUUGUCAAUCUCCUCUAGACGAGGUCAAAUCUCUGAUCAUUUGACAAAGUAGUUGGCCAAACUCAUCCUAAAAGGUCGAAUAUGAUAAUCAAAUGGUGUGUGAGACAAUCGAGCCUUCACUCUUUCCUUGUGCAGUUGCGCCAUGUAUUGGUAAUCGACUUCAGUAGGAAUGAACCCAAGUCCAAAUGUCGUAUCAUGGUCAAUAACAGUUAUAAACUCACUGGGUCCCUACUAACGUCGUCCUAACCUCAUACCAGGUAGAAAAGUCAUACCCCUCAUUAUAUCAAGAACCACUGUACUAUUGUGUUGAUCAAAUGACAAAGCUACAAAAUCUCUACAAAAAUCUUCAAUCUCAAGAGUCUGUAUCUCAUCAAAAGUAAACCCAGUUAGAAAUAGGUCAUCUUCACUGUGACUGAUUUGAAGUACUGGCUCGGAAGAGGAAAACAUAUCUCUAGUAAACUGUACCAUGAUGACCUGCCCUUCAUGAAUGAACUUCACCUUCUAAUGAAGGGAAUAAGGAAUAACUUCAGCUCUAUGUAUCCAAUGUCAACCUAAUAGCAAGUUAAAGGAUGUAGGAAUCCUUAAAACCUGGAACAAAGUAGAAAAUGUGACUGGACCAAUCAAUAAAUCAAUCACCAAGGUAUUAAUGACCUCCCUCUUAGUGCUAUCAUACGUUCUAACUAUCUGAGUAGAAGGACCAAAUUCUGAAGGUGUGAAACCAAGGGCUAUAGUAGUGGCUAAAGGGCAGACAUUCAGGGUUGAGCCAUUGUCCAACAUGAUAGAUGAAACUCUGUGGGCUGAAUAACCAACAGUGAUAUAUAGAGGGCGUAUGUGGUCUAAACCCUCAAGUGGAAAAUUGUUAUCUGAAAACACAAUGCAAGUGGCCCUAUUGGCCAUCAUCAUAUGAAUCAACCUCGCUAGAGUGGUGACAGUCUCUACCUUGAUCUAACUCAAGGCUCGAAUCAAAGCAUCUCUAUGAGUACUGGAUGAUGCUAAUAAACUCCAAAUAGAAAUACAAGUUUGGGCGCUCUGUAACUGUCUUAAAACCUCAUCAUCCUCUUUCCUAACCUCCUCACGAGGGGUUGCACCCUCAAAUGGUCUAACUGCUGGUGGUGGUGGUUGAGCUAUCCUCCCACUAUGAGUCGUAAUCUGUAUAUCUCUCCCCUCUAAAUCAUCAUCUUCUUGCCACAAAAUGAACUAGACAAAUGUAUCCUGACGUCUAAUAACCAAAUGUGUAGAAUGAGUCAAUUGGAACAGCGCGCCAUCUAGAAUCAAACUUAAUGGUGUGGAAACCUGAGGACCCAAUGAAAUCCCAUCAACCUCACUACUAUCAUACAAAACAAUCGACUCGGGUAAUCCAUCAUCCCAACUCAACAUAUGUAUAAUGUCAUCCUCUAUAAGGUCUAUGUGAUGUAUAUCUACUAGAGGUAGAGACACUGUAUGUGUAGAAUAGGCAGGAAGAAGGUUAAUGGUUACAGUUGGUUGUCCCAAGUUAACCAAACCCUGGUCUAUCAAAUCCUGAAUAGCAUGUCUCAGAGCGUUGCAGUGAUCCAUGUCAUGCCCUGGUCCCUGAUGAUAAGAACAAUGUAGGUCUAAUCUGAAAUGAGGCGGCACUGGCUGGGAUACUGGCUUUGAUGCCAAUAGAGUCAAUAAUCCACCCUUCAUGAACUUCCGAAAAGCUCGACUCAAAGGCAUACCCAACUGAGCAAACUAAUGUGAUGGCCUCUGCACAAAAGUAGUGGUCUACGGAGAUCAAGGUCGAGUGUAUGAGGCAUGAGGUCUCUCUAUGACAUGUGCAGCAAAAAUGGGUUGUGAGACUAGAUGUAGAUAAGUAAGAGUCAUGGGUCUAGAGGGAGUAGGUGGUUUAUACUACAUAUGAGGUGAUGGUAGGCAGUAGAAUCCAGAAGUCUGCCCAAUUGUCUGAUAGCAUCUAAAAGGUCUCAUCCCUAUUGAACUAAUAGCACCAACAUCUCCUAAUCUCUACCAUCCUAAAGGUUUCUUCCCCUUAGAGUUGGUAGAGGAAUACUCGAGCCAUAAACCUCUAGUUAUACCCUCCUCUAUACCAUAUAAGGCCUGUAAUAAAGAUCCAAAAUCCGUAUGAGGAAAUCUCAUCAAGUGCCUAGCAAACUUAGGUUGCAAGCUCCUCAUGAUCAUACUAAUCUGCUCAUUCUUUGAAGAACGAUCAAUAAUCUCUGAAAUCUUCUCCCUCUAGCGAGAGAUAAAAGAGGUGAUUGACUCCUUUAGCCUCUGUCUCAAAGCCUCUAACUCUCUCCUCGAAACAUCAAUGACAGUGUUAAACGCAAACUGUCUCAAAAACUCCUGGGUUAGAUCAUCCCAAGUUCGUCGGCGUGAUCCAUCCAUGAAACAAACCAACGCUGUGUUGCACCACUCAGGGAGAAAAGAAAAACCAUUUAGGCUUCAUCCAGUCCAUGGGCCCUCAUAACCAUACUGUAAAGCCUCAAAUGGAUACGAGGACAGCCUAUGCUCGUGUAUCUCUCAAUCUCAGGCAUCCUAAACUUGGCUGGUAAACUGGCCACUAGUGCUCCAUCAAAAUCCUCCCAAGUAAUAGCUCUAUCUGAAGUGCUCAUAUGUCUCAUCCUCUACUCAAGUCUAUCCAUACGAGCAUGUGGGUCCUUCUGAGAUCGGGGUAGGCAGUAUGAUAGGAGGUGGGGAAACCUCAGUCUGAUUAUGCAAAGUAAAUGGUAUAGGUUGCGAGGCUAACUAACUGGGUGGAGGGGGUAAUGGUACUAUAGGGUCGUACGGGGUACCCUCUUGAAUCCCAACCUAUUGGGUCUGCUGCCCAUCUAUCAUCUGACCAAGGUUAACUAUAGCCUCCUAGAUCGAAGCCAUGGUUGCAGCAAACUGGUCAACGGUAACUAUCUAUGAGUACAUAUCUCUUUGAUCUGAUCUCUAGUCUGAUUGGUCUGAUACUCUGGUCAAUCUACCUCCAACUCUAAUCGAUGAAAGCGAAUCCAACUUGAUUAUGGUAAACCCUCCUACAAAUAUGGAAACACUAGAUAAGGUGCAAUUUGAAGGUGACUCUGCAAGAAUGAACUGAAUAGUGCGCAGAAAUAUAGACCAAAUAUACUCAAUCUGAUAUCCAUUCCUGAUCACACCAAAAAGAGACUAUAGAGAGGUUAAUCGAACCCAAUUGUGACCUUGGCAUCUCUGAAGGUCCAUAGAUGCACCCACGUGUAGGAAUGAAAUCUUAAUUGGGUCUAAGCUAGCCUACAAGGUUGAGGUGGCUCUAUAAGAUAAAAUGGGUGGGUUAAAGGAUCCCUAACAUAAGCGAUCUGACAGUACGCAACCCUCUGCACGCCUCCAAGGAAACGGGGUGCUUCCAUGCAAGGUGGUCAUCACCUCUACACAUGCACUUCCUUGUUUUCCCAAGGGGUUUCUUAAUGGUGAAAGCUCUCUCAUAUCUCAACACUCAGGGUAUAAUCUAAAGUACGCGGUGAAGGAUGUGAGUGCAUCCGAAAAACCUAAGAUCUAAAGUGAGAUAGUAAACAAAGACAAGUAAUCAUACAAUCAUGUAGGAGCAAGAGUUGUCAUGAAACAAGCAGUCAUACCAAGAAAAUAGGCAUCAUACAAUCAAAGUCCUAUCUAUCAUAUGUGAAAAUGAAUCAUGCUAAAGUGAAUAAAGCAGUCAUGUGAUCAUGCAAGAUAAACAAGUAUAAAGAUAUGUUAAGAUAGCAAACCAAUCAAGCAAGCAAACUAAAUCACCUUGCAUAAAAAAAUGAGAUACACUCUAAUCGACCAAUUAAACGCCACAUUUUCCUCAACUAGUGUUCAAGCUUGAUCCUCAAAAUCCCUAGUGAAGUCACCAAUUUAUGGGCCCGCACGUGAAAAUUUUUCACGUGCGUCCCCACUCAAUGGCAAGACUUAUUUUUAUUGGUGAAAAAUUAGUUUUGGAAAAGUCGGAGUCAACACUUAUUUUAUUUUAUUUUGAAAAGGAAAAUAAAACAAGAAAGAAAACCCUAAAGAAACAACUCCAUAUUUUUUAGACAAGUGUGCCUUUGAAAAACCUGAGUCUAGGUCUGGGGAUCAUGUUACCUAUUAGGAAGGUACCUCUAAAAGGUACCACCCUUCUAAGCCCUACAAAGGUCUCUAUUGACUAAGUUAAGGGAAAUAAAGCAAUUAACUGGUUGAUUAUAGAUACUUAGGUAGGUUAGGUGAUUUAAAAAAAAUAGCAUGCCAAACAAGAAAAACGAAUCAUAAUCAUAAAGAAGAUUUAGGGUGUGUACCUUAACUGCUUCUCAAGUGCUAUCAUAAAACAUCAAAGUUAGUAUAGAAAUAUAGCACACAACAUGAGUUUUAUCCAAGAAAAUCAAGCAUACAUCUAAGCACCUAAGGAUCACAUCAAGCAUAAAUAAGGUUAACAACAACAUGCAUGUUCAUAGAAUUCCGAAAAAUAAGUGAUAAAGAGCAUACCUGGAUAGCAUGCAUAAUUUAUAAGAUUCCUAAAAAAAACUAGAGUGGUUAGGACAAGUACAUAUUAUAUAACAUCUUUAUUAUGUCUAAUAUACAAUACUAAAGCCAAAAUUGAGCUAAAAUUAAUCAAAUGACUCCAAAAAUAAUAACAAUUCCAAAUAAAGUAUAAAACCAUCAGCAUGCACUUAGAAAAGAAAGCAUCACAAAACAAUUUAUGAAGAAUAUCUUGGAGUGGAAUUUAACUACAAAAAAAAAAAAUUCAAGAAACAACUCCUAUACAUCUAGAACAAAAUACCAAAAACCAAGCACUCAUUUAAAUGGAAAAUUGCAGCAAAGACACCCAAAAGUUCUAGAAUGUCCAGAUUAGGUAAAAAAAUAGUGACAUGCAUAAACAAAUUUAUUAAAAAUAAUAAAAGAUCACAUAAAAUCAUAUAAAAUAAAAUAAAAUCACACGCAUCGUUCAAAAUGUCUAUAUCAUAGAAAAAAUAAAUCUAGGGUCAAGGAGUACUAAAAAUAUUUUUAAAACACUCCAACUAAUCUAAUCUCUAGAUUCCAUUAUGUACAGUACGUAUGAUUUUGAAAAAUCAUAUCUUCCUCAAAAAUGCAUAUUUUUUAAUAUUUUAUAUGUCUAAGAUCAAUUCAAGAAGUCUAGAAUUAAGAAAAAAUAUAGAAUCAAAUUUAAAAAGUCAUUUGUUAUUUUAUUUUAAAUUUAUAGGAAGAUUUCGAGUGUCUAGAAUUGGUUGAAAACAGAGCCCCCUUAAAGAAUCGUUUAUUCUUCUAUUCCAUAAUUGCUUUUUAACACAAACGAAAUUUUAAAUUUAAGUUCAAGAAAUGAGAAAAAUCAUACAAGUUUUGGAAAUUUUUUUAAAAUAUUCCAAAGUUGCUAAAACGAAUUUUAAAUCUAGAAAGCCAGCGGUUGAAUGAAAACUGGCAGCAUGGAAGGGUUUUGAAAAAUUUUCUUAUGCAGGGGUUCCAUCAAGUCCCAAAUUACUUUUGCAUGAGUUGGUUCAAUGAAUUCCAUUAUUUGGCAUUAUGAAGUUUGUUCAUGCUUGUUGAAAAUCAAAUAAAAACAAGAGAAUAGUUGAAAAUCAAAUAAAAUAGUGAGAAUGCAUGCCAUGAGGGAAAAUGACAGCAAAAGGUUUCUUGAAAUCUGAAUUUUUGAUGAAUCUAGAAACUCUUUAAGGAUGAAAUUUGAAGAAAACUAGAAUCGUUUAACAAAACAAAGAAAUAGGAGGAUGGUGUAACUGCCUUUGAGAAUGAGUGAAUGGUGCAUGUAGGUAAGGUCGUUUGUGGAGGCUGGCUGAUUCUAUAUUACGCAUGUUGCAUGCUGUAACAUGGCUUCAAAGAGGAUGCAACCCACCCUGUUUUCAAUCCUUGAUGCGGCUGUUCGUGGGGUCCAUUCAUAGAAGCAGUAGAGUUGUAAAUUCUUUUUGAGUUGUGUGCUGAAAUUGAAUUCCAAAUGCAUUUUGUCCCAUGUAGCAUUGUUGAUUGCAUGAAAGAUGAUAGCAUGUCUAUCCAUAUGCAAACUGUUAACCCUUUUAUGCAUAGACUUUCACAAAGUGCUCAGAGCAAUAAACUGCUAAUGCUAUGGGGUAUAGUCCCAUCAAUUUAAUUUCCUCAAAGGCAUCUGAAAGUGUUAUUGACCUGCAUAAAUGCACCAUUUUUUUUUCAUUUCGCGACAUGCAUGAACUCCACAUCAACGAGUUCACAAUUUUAUUUUUUUUUAUCAUCGACAAUCCACACAGAUAGCUUAGGCUUCUCAAACUCCUCAGUGUGGGCAUGUUAUGCACAAUGGAAUCUCUGGUUUUAGAUUGGAAUUGGGGUGUUGUUCCUGUUCUCUUUCCAAUAACAGUAUCACUUAGAGACCAUGGCUGUGAAGUUGAGGUUAGUGAUUGAGAUUGGAGAAUGAAGAAAGAUGGUCAUGCAUGGCAAUGAAAAAGUGAGAGUCUAGCACUCACGUGUCACCCAAUAAGAAUUCUAUGCUUAGAGAUCGGUACCUCGUGGAUGAACUUGGGGCUAAGACGCAAUAUACCUAGACCAUUCUGAAAAACAUCACAAAUAUACCCAACAUAUGGAUGUGAUUAGCCAUCAUCUCCAGGAUUUCCUAAGCUCGGGUUAUACGUUCUCUAGGAAGAUGCAUGUAAUGGGUAUGACGGACGAAAUAGAUAACCCCAAAUGUUGACCAGUCCAUUCAUCAAGAAAAACAUGUUCAACAAAUAACUCAACUACCAACCAAGUGUUUACAACAAAGGGUAAAGGCGAUGAAGAAUAGAGAUUGGGAGAUUUAAAAAAAAAAACAUCCACAUGAGGAUAGAAUGACACUCAAGCAUGAUAAGGUCAAUGAAACUGUAGCAGGAUAGCCUCCCAUAAAUGAGAAUGUGACCUAUAUCAAAACAGAUUACAUUAUCACAUAAUUACGAAAGUAAAUUCCCAAAAAGCAGUCUCAUGGAUAGCUUUCUCCUCAACUUCCUGAUGAAUUUACAUCUAAGCAAUUUACAGCUAUCCUUGGGUUCGGUUUAGCAUUAUCUGAAGAUCUUGGCACUUACCCGCUAGGUUCCUCAUCCAAGUUCCCAAAAUCAAAAUGUGGAAGUCAAAAUCAAGGGACCCAGACCACAAGAAAAAAUGUAUCAAAACAGAGAGAUGGUGAUGAUGCUAUUACCUUUUUUUUUUUUUAUCUCUAUCCAUUAUGUAAAAAUGGCCAAUCUCUUCUAACAAACAAAUGUGUUUUGGUAGGCUCCUUUCUUUGAUGUGAAGCAAAAACCCAGGGAUGGAGAGUAAAUAGAACAGGAAAAAAAAAACUCUAGAAAACAAGGAGAAGAUCAAGGUUGUAAUUAACAAAACAAACAAAAGAAGAAAAUUUUAAUAUCAAAUGCCAUUUCACGAGUAAUCCAUAUGCUUAAAGGGGUGGUAGAGGGAAAUAAAAGAAAAAAAAUCUAAACAAAAUAACAAAAGUAUGAUUUCUAAGGCGUAGUGCAAUUAAAAUGAAAUCAGAUCAUCCUCAUACUAAAUAUAACGAGCAAGAGAUGGAUAAUCAACAUUCAAAAUCACCAGUAACCUAACAAACGACAUCCAAACACAGUAAAGAAUGAAAGGGAAUGGUGUAGAAGGGAGAGAGUUUGAAAACCAUGCAACAAGUAAUCCAUACCCAAACCAUAACAAGAAUUUAAAAAAAAAAUGAUCUUUAGCAUUAAUACACAAAUCCGGAGGGUUGAAAAGAAAUGUAUAGGCAGCCAUGAGGAUCAUACCUAAAAGUCAUUUUCUGUUUCCCCAAAGACUAACAAACUCCUCUUCUCUUUGACCAAACCUGAUAACCCAGAUGAACUCCCUCUCUCUUUCCAAUGUGUGUUGAAAAAAAUCUUUUUUUUUUUUAAACCUCUUUUUCUAUCUCUUCGCCUCCUCCAAAACCCAUUUACAUGUUCUUUUUAUAACAAUUGGCAGUUGUUCUACGUCAGGAGUCUUCCUCUCUCCAAAUUCCCUGUCUCAUCUACCAGAAAAAUCUCUUUUAAAUUUCAAAAAACCAAUCCAUGCAUAUCACCUAAAGAGUCCUACCUUUUCCAAAAACUUCUCAAUUGGUAGAUUUUUCUAUAAAAACUUCAAAUUAUAAAAUUAAAUAAUUGAAUAAAUAAAUAAAUAGAAGAAUGAUAAAAUAAUAAUAAUAAAUGAACAAAUAACACGAUAAUAAACAAACAAAUAAAUAAUAAUAAAAUAACUAAAUAAAUAAAAGUGAUUGAUAACAAUAUAAAUAAAUAAAAAUAUAAUAAAUGAUUAAAUAAAGAUGAUUGAUAAUAAUAAUAAUAAAAAAUAUAAAUAAAUAAAUAAGUAAAUGAAAUAAAUGAGUCAUGCAACCAUACAAGUCACGCUAAGAAUGUCUAAUGGUCCAAGUGUGCCUAAGUGGGCCUAAGUGAACCUAUAUGGGCCUAAGGUAUCUAAAUGGGCCUAAGGUGGUGCCUAAUAGGCCGAGUAUACCUAUACGGGCCUAGGGUGAGACUGGGUGAGCCUAACUAAGUUUAACCUAAAGUGGACCUAAGUGAAGUCUAAUCUAAACUUGAAGGGCAACUAAGGUCAUAAUGUGGAGCCGAAUAAACCCCUCAACCAAAGUCUCCAAAGUGGCUCAGAAAAGAUAAACUAUAUGAGUAGUAAUGGGUAAAAAAAAAAACUACUGUGGAGCAUUGGAAGUGAACUUAAAGACAUGUGCUAAAAGAACAAAAUAGAGGGUUUGCAAAAAGACUUGGAAGGAAUAGUGACAAAAUAGUACAUAGUUCAUAGUUUAAAAGAUAUAUAAACUUUAGAAGACAUUUUCAUUUUGGGUGAAGACUUUGAAACCUAAAUGAAAACAGCUUUGUCAUGAAAGGUUGAAAGAAAAUUUUUUACAAAGUCAAGAAGAAAAAUUAGUGCAUGUUUGGUUGUUGUUUUUAAAAACUAUUCUGAAAAAUUUGUUUUUAAGAAUAAUUUUUGGGGUUUUCGGAAAAAAUAAAAAUGUUUGAUUGAGUUAAUAAAAAAAGUUUUUUAUACUAAGUAAAAAACAUGUUAGAAAGUUUUUUUUUCACUCCAUUUCCCCUCUCUUUCCUCUACAUUUUCCUCAUAUUCCCUUCAUCUAAACAUCGUUUUCUUUUUCUCAUCCCAUUUAAUUAAAUAUUUAUUUCCUUGUUUUCUUCUUUCUCCUCUCUCAUUCUAGUCCACAGUUACUACCGACACCCCCUACCAUCCAACAACGUCGUCAUCUCCGGAAACUACAACAUUUUCCUUCCUCUUCCAUACCCACAGCCCGUCACACCAUUUAUCCAUUUUUUUUCUCUACAUUUUCCUCAUUUUCUCCAUCCAAACAUCAUUUUCUUUUUCUCAUCCUAAUUUAAAUAAAUAUUUCUCUUUUUUUUUUCUUUUUUCUCCUCUCCCAUUCUAGUCCACGGUUAUCAUCUACACCCCCUACUAUCCAAAAUGCUAUCAUUGCUGCCAUUUUCGAAAACACAAAAAACAUGAAAAGAAAACACGAAGAGCAAGUGUUCUCUUAACAAUGAAAAAAACAACCAAAACACCUUUUUUUGUUUUCUAAAAAGAAACCUUUUGAGAACACGGAAAACACAAAAAACAAAAAUCAUCCAUUUUCCCAAACACGUUUUCACUAUUUUUGGUUUUCAAGAGCAAAAAACAGUUCUUGAAAACAGUAACCAAACAAGCUUAACAUCUAAUAACUCAACAAGCUAAAAAAAAAAUUGCCUCCAUUGUUUAUUCAUUAUUAAAAGGUCAAAUGAAUAUUGAAAUUCAUUAACAAAUUUUCAUCUUAGAUAUUUUGACUUGGCUAUGGUAGAUAAUCUUCAUGUGAUAUCCAAGUGUAACAUCAAACUAAGAAAUGCAAGAGAACAAUUUUAUCUAAUAUAAAAAAUAAAUUAAAAAAAAAAACAAAAGGAUGUACAAUAAGUUAUUAAAUCAAAAGUUAGUUGAAAACGAUAUUUGUACUAACAAAUUUAGUAUUGUCACAAACUAUUUUUUGUCUAACUCCAAAGAGUGGUCAUACUACCAAUAAUAAAAAAGAGAAAAAGAAUAGUUAACAUCAACUAGUAAAACAAAUAGAAAAAUCUUACAUAAAAUAAGGGAUUGAAGUUGAUCUUUUCUAUGAACUAUUGACAAUAGAUCUAGAGCAUGUUUAUUUAGAAAAAUUGAAAAUAAAUGUAAGGCUUUGACCAUUCCAUUGGAAAAUGUAAGUAGGAAAAUAUGUAAGCAAUUGUCAUGGUACAAGUGACAAGGCUACAUGAAUAUUUGCAAAAAAUAAUCUCCAAAUAUAAAUCAAUUAUGGAUAAACUCAAAAAAAAUAAACACAUGAAAGGAGUGUGGGUAUACCAAACUAGUCAAAGAUGGUUGUUAGUGUUAGCCCAAGGGUUCUCCUAACCAGGUUUUGAUGAUAACAAACCAUGGUUAAGUAACUAAUUGGUUUAAUGUUUAAGAAUCUCAGGUAUAAACUCGAAAAUUCAUCAAAUGACCAAAUGGAUACAAGAUCGAGACGCUUGGAAGACUUGAGAUCAUAGGAAACUAAUGUAAGAUGAAUGCAUGAGUGCACUUAGGAUUUUCAUAUGUUUUCAUGCAUCUUAGAAAACUCGGUUUAUUCCUUAAAACGUCGACUUCAUUAAAACCCGAGUCUUUAACUAAUUUACCUUAGGCAAAAUGUUUCAAAAUUGGCUUGAUAAUUUACCUAAAGACCUUGCCUAAGUGUUAGAAAAGAAAGGAAUAAAAAAAAAAUAGGUUUUUCGGGGCCAAAAAGGCUCAACCGGUCGAGGCUAAGGCCAACCGGUCAACCGGUUGAGGAACCGGUCUACCGGCUGAGGUCGUCCGGUCGAGGAAGGUUAAAAACCUUCUCUCUCUCCCAGUAGCCUUCUCUUCCCGGUCGAGGUGAUUCCUUUACCAGUCGAGGUCCGAUCGAGGCAACGGUAACCUGUCAUGCAUUAAAUGCUCCAACAGCUAGUGAACCGAUCGACCCUUUGCUCGUCCGGUCGAGGCUACUUUCUGCUGUUUUUGUCUCCCGAGCUUAGAAACUUAUAAAUAGAGAGCUCCACUUCAUUUAUGACUAAGAGAACUUUUACAAUCAAUUGUCUACCUACCUGUUUUUUAUCAAAAAGCUCUCAUUUCUUUCUUAGUGCAUUAAACCAUCACUUGCAUAUUCUUAGUGCACUCUUGUAAAUCAUCCUAGCUUUCUCUUGUACUUGAGCCAUCCUUAAGCUAGGUUGAGAGUUUCAUCUUUGUGUAAAUUGAGUGUGAAAGCCUUCAAGUGGUUCAAAUCUUGAAGAGAUUGUGUAAAAGCCCAUUGGAGCCGGAAUCCAAGUGUAAGAAGAUUGAAAGCUUGAUUGAAGCUUCAAGUUAGUGGAACCCUCACUCGGUUAGGAGAUUGAGGAGAGUGGACGUAGGCAAGGGAGUGUUGAACCACUAUAAACCCGAGUUUGAAUUCUCUAACUUUAUCUCUUUCCUUUAUUUAUUUUGUGCAUAUAUUAUUGUGUGGAAAAAGAUUUUGAAAAACCCAAUUCACCCCCCCCCCCUCCCUUUUGGGUAUUUUCCUUAAUUAUUCAUAGCCUUUGUUUUAUCAGUUAGAUAUGGUAGAGAGAUGAACUAUACCCAAAAAUGGUUGAUUGAUGGCAGAGUGAAGGUUUUAGAGUGAAUGUGGUGAUGACUAUGAGCUCCAAAAAUGGUUGAUUAAUGGUAGUGUGUGGGUUUGAGAAUGAGUAGAAGGGAGAUAAGUUACUUUUGGUGGAUUUGAGAAUGACAUAACAAAAGGGAGAUAUUAUGGAUUUGUAAGAUUUUGGGAUUUUUUUUUAGGAAGUGGAAAGGUUAGGGCUUCAAAAGAUGUAAAGAUUUUGAGAAUGAGAUGAAGAAGAUGAGAGGUUAAGUUUUCGUUAGAUUUUUGGGAGUGUUUUUUCUCUUUUCUUUAUUCACAUAUGGGAAACUUAACUGGUAAGGUAGAUGACAUUUUUAGAAUCCAAAUACAAAUAAGCUAAAAGUGCAUGAAGUUCCAAAUAUUUUACAAUUACAUUGUAAACAUAGAAAUACACAAAUAUGGAUUCCCAUUUUUUUUAAAUAUUUUCAUGUCAUCAUAUGGAAACAUACGUUUCCCUAUUAUUUUUAGCAAAGAUAGAUCCUCCUAUUGUGUGUUCAACUAACAUGUCUUAACUUUCAAAGAGUCUAUGUCAAGUUCCACUUAAGAAACUACUAUGACCAUAGUUUUCAUUAACACACCUCAUUAGGAUCACCCAAUGGGACACUCUGUCUCAAUCCCAUCAGAUAUCAUGGUGUAUCUAUUGAGAAUACCUAUUGCUAUUGGUUUUCAUCAACAAUAACCCGAUCCAUAGAAAAUAUAUGAUCAGCUUACAAUUUCACUUAUAGAUCAAAGUCACUAGUAACUUUAGCACAAGUUCAAUAUUCUUUCAAGGUUAAAAAACAACAUAAUAAAACAAUUUGGUGAGAUCAUGACAUGACUACUUGAUAGCCUUCAGUCAUGACUCACCGUAGGUCCUGUCCAAUGUGUAACCACAUACACCAAUGUACUCACCAUGGGAAAUUCAUCCCUCCAAUUAGGAGGUGGAACACUAUAUCCUCUAAUGAGUUGCCUAAACGCACGAAUCAGUUGUGAACAAGUCAUCGAUUUGUAAAAAAAACCCAUGAAUUUGAUCUUUCAUGCAAUUCCUAAAGUACCCAAAUCAUAUACAAUGUAAAAUAUGCAAAUAAAAAUGCUCAUAAAGUGUAAUGCAUGGAAAAAUGAUAGAUAAAAGUGAAAUUGUAAUACCCCACAUCAAAUAAGGGAAAAGGUUCUUAACCAAUAUAAGUAUAUACUCUUCUUAAUUUUAUAAACACGUUUUAAAGUUAUGAUAACCUAUUAGGCUUAAAACAUAAAAUAUCUAUACAAUUGGAAGCAAAUUGUUACAAAUGAUAUCUAACUUAAUCCUCAAUGCUAAUGUGGACCUAAGUUUUUUUGGUCUCGUAAGGGGUGUCUGUCUACUUGGCCUCACAUAAUCCUAUGGGACAUAAUGAGGAUGUUGUGUUUGCCAAGGGGGUGAUUCUAAUAUCCUACAUCGAAUAUGGUAAAAAGUUCAAAGAGUUAUACAUGUAUGAGUUCUUCUUAACUAUGUAGACACAUUUUAAAGUUAUAAGGAUCUAUUAGGCUUAGAGUGGGUAAAAAGUUCCUAGAGUUAUACAUGUAUGAGCUCUUAUUAACUAUGUAGACACAUUUUAAAGUUAUAAGGACCCAUUAAGCUUAGAGUGGACAAUAUCUACGUAGUUGAGAAUGGACUGUUACACCAGAUAUCCCCACUACAAUCAAGCUUUGAUACCUUUUAUAGGAAUCAAAUUAUGAUUGUUGAAGAAUAUUUCCAUGAGAUGGGAAUAGUGAUUAUGAUGAGCAAAACAACCAUAUUCACCUAUAGUGGUUCAAGAGUCUUCCACAUCAAUGAGAACCUAGUAAGAAAUGAUAACAAGAAUUGAAUAAUAUCUAAGUGAGAUAAAAUCAAUAUAAUAUGGAAAACCCUCCUAAAGAAAGUAGAAAAAAAAAUCAUAAAGAAGAUUUCUUCCAUUUUAAUAAAAAAAAAAUGGAAUAUAAAUCUUUACUAGUUUCCACACAAUGAAGACUGAUAGAAAUACAUCAAUACUUGAGAUGGGAAAUUCAUCAUCUCAAAAAUAUAAAAAAAAAAAAAAAAAAACGAGAAAAGCAUGGAGAGAUAAUACCAUAAGAGAUUUCACAAAAUAUUGAAAAAAAGAACCUCCAUAUGCAAAGUUGGAAGAAUUGGCCACAAAAGUUUUACAUUCAAACCUUGAUUUACAAGGCUCAUCAUGACCAUAAAUCUUUAUUGUGAUAAAAUAUUAAAGUCUAAAUAUGUGAUAACUUUGCCUAUGAAACACUAGAAAUUAGGAUUAUCAUGGUUGGUAGUAUCCGAGAUGUCGUCCUUUAAGAUUAGCAUUAAUGUGUUUAAAUAUUCAAGUUAAAAAAAAUAAUUAUUUUCUUAAAUUAAAGAAAACUCUAAUGUAAAAUAAAUAAAAGUAAAAAAGAUGAAUAAACAUUUUCUAAAAUAUAUAAUGAAAUAAACUAAAAAGAAAAAUAGAAAACCUUCAAAAAGUUUUACAAUCCAAUGUUUGAUCCUUAACGAGAGAAAUUAUUAUAAAAUCUAAGUCUAUAAUCAAAACCUAUCUAAGAUCAAAUUGAAUCUUAAUACUAAUUCUCAUAUAAAACAUUGUUUUUAACUUUAGAAAUUAGAUUUCUUAAACCUAUUAAUUAUAUUGGUUAAUUUAGUAUUCAAUUUUAAGCAUUCACAACAUGUGGGGACCCCCUCCACAUGUCCCAUUGUGGGAAACGCCCUCCACGUGUCCCUUUUUCGAUCUGGAUACCGUGACUGACUGUCGCCAGUGUGCAAUCCAUCUAUAUCAUUCCAUCCAGACUGCUACCAGUUCCAUCUAGCAUCCGACAUAAUGAAGCCCUUUUCCCACAGGACUAGGCAGCAUAAGGAGACCAAACUCCUAAAACAAUCAGGAUCGUCCGGUCAAGAUUCCCAAACCCACUAGCAUGCAUAAUCAUCCACGCCUGACAUGGGAAUGGCUAAUGGGAUCUCUUCUAACCCUCAAGUCCAUGUCAAUUAAUUGCUACACAUAACCCCAAACCAUCAACAAGUUGAUGGGAUAGGUGGCUAAACGAUCAAACAUCAUGGCACAUCAGUUAGCAGCACCUGCUAGCCGCCCAAAACUAUGAUGAUUGCCCUACCACCUGCAAGACAAUCAUUAUUAUAGAGAAGGUCAAAGUGCUUAGUCAAUACUACAGUGGCAUUCUUUUCAAACACUAUAAAAACCCUCCAAAAAUACAAACAAGGUACGCACGCGCACACAUAUUGGCAUAUUCACUCUCUCCCUUGAGGAGUUCAAACUAUCUCUGUCUAACUUAAGCUUCGGAGGAGCGUGCCCGGACCACCUGUUCGGACAUCCUUUGUACAGGUAGAAAGUUCAUCCAGUCUCAACACUGCUUGGCAGAAGCUCUGAGAGGCACAACGCACGGAGGAAGGUUGUCUAACCUCUAUUCACUUAGAUGGAUCUAACUCCAGUUGGCACGAAACCAACACAACCCAUAUCCAUCUUACAAAUUUGGUUGUUAGAUUCAAUAACAAAAUAUUAAAUCAAGUUAACUAGUGAUCAAAGUAUUCCUAAGAAUCACUAAUACUUCAAUAAACAUCCUUUGUACCUUAUCUAUAUGAAACUUGGAGAAAGAAUCUCUUCCUACAUAUUCAAAUAUAAAAAUACAAUCAAACCAUUCACACAUUACUGAACUAUAUCUUGAGGAUUUUUCACCUUCAUGUUAACAUCUUCGAAUCAUAUCAAAUUAGCCAAAAAUGAUGAAGGACUUUCCAAUAAAAUAGAAAAUAAGAGAAAAGUAAAACUUUAUUGAAGAAAGAAUUAAAAACAUGAGUUUCAUAAUCUAUCCUUAUGAACUCUACUUUAAAUCUUAAAAUUAAUUGAGUUUAUAUAGUAAAAGCAAAAUCCUAACACAUGGCACACUCUAAUUGGAUACCUUGAUCAAAAUUACAUCAUAAUUGUCUCAAAAGUCAUGAAAUUACAAGUUCCAAAUCAUCUAAAGGCAUUUCAAAUUGAAUAGCCAAUGUAGAAGAUCAUUUUGAAAUGGAAAAAAGCUUGAUCUCCACAUAAUUGCCCUUAAAUUUGAAAUUUUAAAGUGAAUUUGAAAUCAUCCCGAAUUGGUAAAUUUCAUAUGGAACUCAACCCCAAUGAAUUCAAAACAAGCAUGACUAUUUUGAAUUGAGCUUCUAUUUUUCUUUCCCCUAACUUGCUAAAUUCGAAAUGAGUAAGUCAUUUCGAAUUUAUGCUUUGAUGUGAGUAUUUCUACCUUCCAAACUCCAUUUUGCAUCUUUCUUCCCUUCCUUGGCUUGUCUUGGCCUUUAAUAUACCUCCAAACAUGAUUGAACAUCUCUCCAUGCCCUCCAUAGCAUGUUUUGCUCAUCUCUCUUGCUUGUUCCUUGUUCUAUGCCUUCACCUCUAUUCUUAUCAUCCUCAAUAAGCCUCAAACCUCUCUUUGAAACAUGAUUAAACCCUCAUCUACCUUAGUUGAUGAAAUUACCCUCAUUGAAUCGCUUUCUAACUCUUCUAUUUUGCAUUUUAGCUUAAAAUAAACGUUAGAUCCACAACUAGAAUACUGGUAUAAAUUGAAGCUAAGUUGGAUUAUUUGAGCUUUAAGCACCAUAUAAAUAUGCAUUUAUAUACCUUUAAAGUAUCUAUGUUUGGACUACAAUCAAAGCCCUAUAACAAUACCCAGAGAAACAACCAUUAUUUUCCUUAUUUUUCUCUCUUUCAUGGUUUACCAAUUUUAUUUUUUCAACGUCUCCAAAAGAAACCUCAAAUACUAUUUAUAUUUAGGCUUAGAAACGCCCACAAAGAACAAACCAACAUUUAGGCUUAAAGACUCUUGAUGGGUUAGUCCAAUAAAGAUCAUAUAAGUUAAUAGCCACAAAUAAUUGAUCUUCCAAUGCUUGCUUCUUGUUGUUUAAUAUAAUGAUUAAAUAAAUAUGGCAUCUUUUGCUCAUCCUAUACAAUGAUUAAACAAAGCAUCUUUGGCUCACCCAAAAAGAAUAUUUGUACAAUGAUCAAUAAGUUAAAUUAGGUUCUAAUAAAAAAAAUUAAACUCGAUUAAUUAAAUGAUAGAAAAUUAUGCUAACAAUUAACUAGCAUUUGAAUUUGAAUUAAUGGAUUUUCAUUCCAUUAAAAGAUACAAUAUGUAGUUGGCCCUUGAGUACUUUAAUCCUCACUCCCCACUCUGCACAUGGUGCACAUGCAUAAUUAGAGUCUUAAUUAAUUAAACUAACUAAUAAUCAAUAUAAUUAUUAAAAUAAUCCAUGAACACAAACCGAUUAGUUAAGUAUCGAGAUGUUCGGUAUGAUCUCAAUUACAUCACUUGUGAUUUCAUUUGCACCUAAUCAUAUGAAAAAUAAUUCCAAGUCCUCUUAUAUUCUAAUUUUAAUUUUUUUUAAUAAAUAUAUACACCAUCAUUAGUCAUAUGUUUGUAAUUAAUUAAAACUAAUGUUUUCAUAACAAAAGCAUAUACCAAGGGGACUCUUAUUAAAAAUGUUAUUUAAUUUAAAUACGUAAAAUAAAAGUAUGAUUUGAGUAUAAAAAUAUGAUCAAAUACAUGAUAAAUAUGUAAAAGAAAAGUUGAUAAAUGAUAUAAAAAAUACGACUAUCGUGAUGUAAAAAUUGUAAUUAAACAUGAUUAAAAAUGCAAAAAAGAUAAUUGUUAAGAUGUUUUAUAUAUUAAAACCCAUUAAUCCAAUAGGUAAACCUAAAAAUUGGUUGAAAAUCUUUAUAGAUUAUGAUGUAAAUUCUGAAUUUUGAAUUAAAAUGGUCUGUUAGACCAUAAAAAUAUACAUUUUAAACCUUAUAUUCAAUGUGACCUCUUUCCAAACACAUAAUUGUCAUAUCAUCCUCCCACAAAAAUGAAGUCAAAGUUGAUAAUCGAUUAAACCUUAUAUUCAAUGUGACCUCUUUCCAAUCACAUAAUUGUCAUAUCAUCCUCUCACAAAAAUGAAGUCAAAGUUGAUAAUCGAUGCUUCAUUUUUUAAUUAAAGCGUCAAUUGAUAAUUAAGGUUUUAAGUUAAAAAAUAAAAUCGCUAUUGACAAAUGAAACUUGAUUUUUUUAACUGAAAUUUCAAUUGGCAAUUGAGAUUUUAAUUUUAAUUUUUAAUUUUUUUUUUUUAAUGAUAUAACUCCUAGGUGGUAACAAAAUGAUCAUUUUGAAUAUAAAUUUUAAAAAAUUUCCCAAGGGCUAUUUUGGUCCAAAACUCACAAAUUCUCAUACUUGAAACUCAAAAACUACGUGAGCAAUGACACAAGCAAACUUCCUUUGGAACAACACAAAGUGGAACCUUUAAAUUAUUAGAGAAAGUCCUCCUUUAUUUUACCAAUGAUUUCCCACUAUAAUCUUAAUUAAUUACUUCAAAGGUAUGUUUUUCUUCCAAUGCGGUUUGCCACGUGGAUGCUUCACUCUAUUCCAAGUGUCAACCACUCCCGACGUGAGACAACCUCGAUCACAUGCUUCACGUGACUAUCUCAUUAUUCAGAUAAAAUCUGUUUUUUAAGGGUAUCAUUAUCUAUACAACACAAAGCCCAAUAAUGGCUGUCACCCAAUAACAUCUCGCCACGAUGGCAAAUUUUUUAUUUUUUGGUGUCAGCUUUUAGCAUCAAACGCAGCAGCUGAGACCUCCCAAACCUUAAUCUCGCCAUCUAGGCUUCCGCUACAAAUCGAUACGACGUCGUACGAGGUGCCACUGGAAACUGCCACCAACGACUUCACCGGCUUUACAUGUCCCUCCAACAUUAGUGUACAGUGAUAUCUUCCAUCCACCCCAGGGCGCCAAAUCCUGACCGUCCGAUCAGAGGACCCACUGAUUAUCAUGUUGUUGACGGUGAUUAAGCAUAGUACGGGUCCAGUGUGGCCCACCAGGGCUUGUGUCGCGGCCAUGUGAUUGGCGCUCUCUUCCCUCUCCCAGACCAAGAUCCAACUCUCACAACCGCCGGAGAACAGUGAGGAUCCAUCCCCGCUCAAUGCGAGCGCAUUCACCGUAGACUUGUGCUUCUCUAGGGUGGUUAUCAGCGUGUGGGUUCUCUCUUCUCCGGUUCUUUCCCAAACCCUGAUGCACCCGUCUGCGGAGGCAGUAUAGACGGUGCCAGAGGCGGAGACGGCGACGGCGUUGACAGCGUCGUCGUGGGCUUUGACAGACUCGACGCAGCGGAGGUCCGAUGUUCUCCAUAUCUUGAAGCUCUUGUCCCACGAAGCUGAGUACAUGAAACCCUCGGCCAUGGCCAGGCCCGAAACGGCGUCGUUGUGCUCGAUCCAGAGCCGCUUCUUGUGCCGCCGGACCCGGACGUAGUUCUUCGGGAGGAUGGAGCGGCGCAAGAAGUCUUUAACGGUGGGGAGAGUAGAGAUAAGGCGGUGGCGUUUGGAGGCCGUGAUCCGCCACACUCUAAUCUUGGAAUCCUGAUGAGCGGUGAAGAUCUUUCCUUCGUGGAAUGCGAUGGACUUGACUGAACCAGAAGUGGGCUUGUUGUUUCUGAAAGUGUCGAUGUGGGUGUGGGUAGUUAAAUCGUAGACGUGGAUAUCUUCGCCGGAGGCAGCAUAGAGGAACUUUUCAUGGACGGCGAGGCAGCUGAUAUGAGGGGUCAAGGUUCUGAGGGAGGAGACGCAGAGGUGAGAAACGACUACGUUUCGGGAUUCGGGAGAGCGACUUUGUAGACUAGCAGUGAAGCUUGUAGUUUCCUGUGAGAGUGUGGAGGUAGAAGGGGUUUCAGAGUUAAUACUUGUGUCGGAAGUGGGGAGUAUCUGCUCCGGUAAAGUAGAAUCGGCAGUUGCGAGCAAUGAUGGGUCCUCCAUAGCUCUGGCAGAUAGAGAGAACCAGGGGCUGUUUGCAUGAGAAAUAUGAAUGGAAUUGUAGAUAAUUUAUAAUACAAGGCAGCUUCUAUGGAAGUUUGAAAUUGGCCUGUUUGGUGAUAGUUCUAAAUUUCUUGAAAGCCCUUGUUUGGUUACACACUUAACUCUCCAAAUGUAAAUGGGCCAAAAUAUUUUCUUAUUUUUUAUUUUAAUACAAAAAAUCAAAUCUAAGUAAAUUAGUUUUUAUAUAAAAUUUUAAAACAAGUCAAAUAAAAUUGAAAUGUUCUAAUUUUUUUUUACUUUCAUUAUUUCUCGUUUUCCCUUAAUUUUUUUUGCUAACCAAACAUAAUAAACGGUGAUGAAGUUAACAAAUGGCUCGAGGGGGGUAACAUGUAACUUUUUAUUUUACGGGUAAAAGUUAAAUAAAAAGCAUUUAUACUUGCAUGAUAACAAAGAAAUUUCUCUUCUUUUUACAAGAAAAGAUUUAAAUCCCCUUACAUGUACCGAAUUCGUCUCAUUGAUGGUUACAAAUUAUUCAUAAAAUCACUAUUAAACAUAAAAAAUUAUGAAUAUUUCCUAAAAUUACUAUUAAACACAUUUUAAAAAUAAUUCUAUAUUUAAUUUUAAUCAUAAAAUAAAUUUUAAACAUGUCACUAUCUCGACCCACCAACCAUUUCAUAAUGGGCCAUUAUUGAACUUGAAUAAGCCCAAUUCAUUUCUCUCCCUACACCUACCUCCCCAUAAAAUAUAAAAUUAAAAAAAAAAAGCAACCUAGUUUAGAAAAGGAGACACAAAUACCAUGGUAUGAUAUAUUUGGGGUAAUAAACAAGAUAAAGUGAAUAAAUAGUAAAUACAAUGGAUUUAAUUAAUAAGGAAGGGUCUAAAGGUGUUCCCUCACAUGUGAUUAGGUUCCAUUAAUGUGGAGACGUGUCACCCUAUGGGUAACCCCUUUUGUAGAGAAACUUUGGUUAGAGACAUUUGUGGAAAAGGUAGGCCAUUUUUUAAGUGUAGAAGGCACAUGUUUUUUGACUAGUAAUUUCAGAUUCACUUGGCCCCUUAUGAUUACAAAUCAUGUGAUGUGCCACUAAUAUAAUAAGCUGAUUUACAUUAAAUUAAAAUAAAUUAAAGUUGCCUUUGCUUCCACUUCUUGGGCAAUAAUUUUGGUUGGGGUUUUCAAUCUUGUUUUAGGUCAGCAAAUUCACUACAAAAUGCUAAACUUUUCUUCUUCUGCCCUUUGUUAACUAAUGCUGAAAAUUGAUUUCCUUGGGGUUUUAAUAUUUGGAUCAUAAAAAGUUUUUUUUUUUAAAAAAAAAAAAUCAUGUGAUAUAAAAAAAAACAUAAAAAAAUAUGGACAUAUUUGGUAAUUACUUUUAAAAAUAAUUUUGAAAACUAGUUUUUUAGAACAAUUUUCUAAUUUUUGUAAAACAAAAGUCUAUUUUAAAACCUAAAAUAUUUUAAAUAUUUUUAAAUAUGUUUUUAAAAAUAAUUUUUAUAUAUAGUAUUUUAUUUUAAUCAUUUUACAUAUUUAUAUAACUAUUUCUUAAAACAACCCUUACAAAAACAAGUAAAAACAUCAUAAAAUAAUUAAAAGAUGUUUUCUAUUCUUAAGAAUAUAAAAUUAAAAACAGUUUUUUUUUUUUUUUUUUUUGUUAAACAAGUUUUUUGUAUUUUUUGGUCUAGAGAAUAGAAAACUAUUUUAAAAAAUAGUUUCAAAACAAACACCAAAGGUUUUCAAAUAAUAUCUUUUACUUAUUUUUAUUUUAAAAGAUUAUUUUUAAAAAUAAUUAUAUAAAGACAAAGAUUAAUUAAAAAUAAAACAUUACAAAUAAAAUUUAUUUUUAAAAAUAUAGAAAUUGGUUUACAACAUUUUAAGUUUCCACGCUUUUGCUUUAUAAAACAUGAGAAAUUAAUUUUAAACCUUCGUAUAAAAAACUAAAAUAAAUGACAUGAGUUUGAAAUGAUAUAUAAAAAUAAUUUAUUAUCUUUGAAUAUAUUUUUUUAUUUUCCUUCAAAUCUUCUUGCAAUUUUUUUCUUAGAUUUUUUAGGAAUCAAGUGUAGCAUUGAUAAAUUUUUUAAAAUUUAUUUAUUUUUCUUCAUUUUUCGUGUAAAGAAACAAGAAAUCAAAGACAUAAAUUUUUAAAUGUCUCUCAAUUGGAUCCUGGUGCACUAAAAUGCCAAUGUCCUUGGCUAAUGUAAUGAACCAAGGUCUCUAAGGACACUUGAGAUUUGUUGUUUGAUUUGCUAUCCACAUGAUUUCCCUUUAUGAAAAAAAAUUCAUUAUAUUUGAUUUUCCAUGGUACAAAAAUGAUCAUUUAAAUGCUUUUGAAAGUUUUAUUUAAUUUUAAUUUCACUAAAAACAGUUUUAAGCUUGGAUUUUUAUUUUUUUAUUUUUUGUUUGGAUUUUAAAAUAUAUGAAGAAAAAUUGUUAGGAAAAAUGAACCCGAAAAGUGGGACUAAGCAAGAAUCCACCAAGCCUAGAACAAACAAAUAGAAAAAAUAAAAUUUUGAAAGAGGACACUCAUCGAAUUAGGUUGAGACAUGACAAUCACUAUCUUUAAAGUAGAUUCACCUUUCUUAGGCAUUAAACUAGGUGCAAAAGGGAACCAACGAGUUACCUAUACGACUCAAUAGCUAGAACUUUGCCUUAGGUACACACCUUUGGGUAGGUAUAGUACAACUCGAAAUAAGAAUUCCUUCAAAUGAUACGAAGGAUGAAGGGAAAACAAGAUGCAAGAACAAACUUAUUGAAGUAGGAUCGAAAGGUUGCGCGUAAAAUAUGAUGUAUAAGAGCACUACUCCACAUGAGCAAUUGCCAUCAAUGAAAAGAACACUUUUAUAUUAAAAUUAAAUAAUUUAAAAAUAUAUAAAUUUUCAAUUAGAUUAAAUUAGAUUUUAUUUUUUUCAUAAUAAACAUAAAUUUGAUAAAAUCAUUUUAUUAUUUUUUUCUUUCCUAAAAUAUAUAAGUUUCAUAAUAGUUUUAUAAGGGCUUUAUAUAUAUAUUUUUUAUUCAUGAAAAACUUUUUAUUUCCACAAUUACUAAUAAAAGAAUUAAAAUGAUUAAUUAAAAUUAUUUUUAUAACAAGUAAGGUAAGAUAUUUGGAAAUUUGGGACAAACUAGCCUUUUAUGCAUGCAUAAUGUAGUGAUUGGACUGCUUUUGAAACUUAUAUGCAAAGUAGCCCCUUUGGAUCUACAACGGCCAAAGAAUUUUUUUUUUUAUUCUUUUAAUUUACUUUACUUUCCCCCACCUUUUCCCUCGUUUCUCUAUCUCAUUCCCUUUUCAAUAAAAAAAAAUGAAGUCUUAAUUAUCAAUUGCGAUUUCAGUUAAAAAAAAAUGAAGUUUCAGUUGAUAAUUGAAGAUUUAACUUAAAUUUCGAAGAAAAAAAUAUUUUUUAUAACAUGAGUUCUAUGCGAUAAUAAAUGAACUAAUUUAAAAAUAAGUUUUACAAAAAAGUUAAACCUAAUUUUUUUUUUUUCUAUAAAAGAGUUAUUUUGCUCCAUAACUCACAUAUUUGAGUACAAAGAAAAUAUACAUCUUAUUACUUUUUUCACUUCAACAUAAAAAAGUAAAAGCAUAAAAUUUAGAUAAAUUACAUUAGAAAGUAUUAAGAUAUUUUUAAACAUUAAUUUAACCAUCAAAAAUUUUAUUUGAAGUUUAAAAAAAACUCUUGUAAACAAGUUUAAGUACUCCCAAUUAGCACUUCACAUUAUCAUUUACAUUGUUCUUCCAAAAUUUUGUGAGAAAGGAGAAGUUGCACACAUUCUUAGUGUAAAUAAUAAUAAAAAUAAAUAAAUAAAUAAAAAAAAUUAAAAACAGAAAGAGAGAAGGCCCACCAUUGGUCCAUGGGCUUUCUACUUUAGAGGCUCCCCCACUUGUCUCAUCAUUAUACCAGGGCACAUGUGCCAUGUAAGCCCAAAACACUCAAAUCUCACUUUUAUAUCAUGGGUUUGGACUUUGGAGCUUUGAGAGAUUUUGAAAAAGUAUAUAUAUAUAUAUAUAUAUAUAUAUAUUGAAAUAUGGUUAUUAAAAAAUUAUUUUUAAGCCUAAGAUAAUUUUUAAGAUGUCAAUAUCUAAUAAAAAUUAUUUUUUUAAGAGAGAACCUCUCUUUGACUACUAAAUUUUGAAGUUCUCUUUUUAAUUCAAAAUUCAAAAUUUAUAUUGAAUUUAUUUGAUCAUAAUUACAUUUAGGGAGUAAUAUUACUGAGGAUCGUAUGAUAGCAUCUAAAAAAUAUUUUUCCGAUCAGUAUUAAAAAUAAACCAUCAAUUAGAUGGUGUUAAAAGCCUUGUAUCUCAAUCACAUUUAUUCAUACAUUGAUCGACUUUGACGGAGGUUCAAUAAUAUUGAAUAAGUUUGAUAAUGUUAAAUUAAUAUCUUAGUAUUUUGUUUUUAUUGAAGUUACCUUUUUAGGAAACAUCUUUUGAUUACUAUUCCAUAGAUUGUAAUAAAUAUAGAAUUAUUUUUUUAAUAAUUCUAAAUUCUAAAUUAUUUUUAAAAGUUCAUAAAUAUUUUUUUAUAAAAAAAAAUCAUAAAAAUGUGAACUCCUUUAGACUCUUUUGGCUACCCCAACCAAAAAUUUAUUAGUUAUUUUAAAUGCCAACUAUGCCAUUAAGGCCACUAAACUUUUAUCCCAUCCUAAAUAAAAAUAAAUGAGCUAACAAGAAAAAUUAAAGUGUGUUUGAUUUAAAAAAAAAAUUGUUUUCAAAACAUGAAUAAUCUUUAAAAAAAAUGUCUUAAUUAAUUUUAAGAAUAAAAUUCUAUUACAAAAUUUAAAUAUAAAAAACAAAUUUUCUUGUAAUUAAAUAAAUUAAAUUUCUAAUAAUUUUUUUUUUAAUUUGAAAAAGACAAGAAAAGAAAAAGAAGUUAGAUCUUUAAGGGAAAAAUAAAAUAAAAUAAAAAUUUAAAUGGGCAAAAAGGGAGAUGAUGGAGUAUUAACACAAAACCAUAGUAUAAAGGGGGGGAUGGUCCCAAAAAUAUUAGGCAUCAUUGUCUUAAUAAAUAUAAGGCAUGCCGUAAACUUUGAGGAACCCAUUUCUCUAUUCACUCACUAUUAAUUAAAGAGUAAAGCAUGGAAGGAGACAUGAGGGUAUUGUCACUUUCUCGAGAAAAUUGUCAUCAUCUACACCAACAUCCUCUUCUCAUUCUCAUGGAUUCUAGCCUUAGGGCUUUUCACCAAUCACAUCUGGUUCACAGCUCUAGAUCUCUCCGCUCAACUCAAUUCCCCCCUUCCUCAAUUCCAUUAAAAAUAUUAUUAUUAUUAUUAUUUUAAAUUAUAAGCUUCAUUUGAAAGUAUUUUUUGAUUUUAAAAUCAUAAAAUAAUAGUAUUUUUAAAAAAUAAUUUUAGAAUAUAUUUAAUAAUUGUUUUUUAUUCUUCAGAAUAAAAAAAUUAUAUUUUAUAAUCAAAAACCAUUUUCAAAAAAAUAAUUAUAUAAAUAUGUAAAAUAAUUAAAAAUAAAAUAUUAAAUAUAAAAAUUAUUUUUAAAAUAUUAAAAAUAGAUAAAAAAAAUAUUUUAAGUUUCGUUGUAUCAUAAAAUAAUUUUGAAAAACAGUUUUAAAAAACUGCAGCGAAAUAGGCGCUGAUUUUAGAUUUUUGUCUUUUUGUGUUAUGGGGACACGUGUAGCAAAAAUGGGACAACCUGGAGACCCAGCUUCAAAGAAUUAAGAAACUGUAGGAGACAUGUGGGCAUGGCAUGGAAAUAUGGUACAGGAACAAUUUAAACCUCAUUUUUAGCAAAAAUUAAUUAUAAAAAAAAUUAUAUGUAGUGGUUUGACUCAUUCAUAUUAGGGUCAGAAAAUUUAUAUAAGACAGAGUCGGUGAUUAAUGGGAAGAAGAGAAGGAUUUAAUAUGGGGUUGGUAGUCCAAAUUAUGCUUCUCAACUAUAAUGCCGUGGGUUUGGAAAGAAAUUAAUACAUGUGGACUGAAAAGUAAAGAAGAAACUCCAAAAAAAUAGGGAACCAACACGUGGCGGUAGGACAGGGAAAAUUCAUGAAUUGCGGGUGAGAAUAUCACCCUCAUUUACUCCACAAAAAAUACGAAAUAAAAAAAAUGGAAAAUAAUUGCUUUUCCCCCUCUCUCUCUGGAUACAGUAGAGAGGGAGUGUGUGUCCAAAGAAGAGCACAAAAAGAAGAAAGGAAUGUCCAUUUCUAGAGAGAGAGAGAGCAGACAACUCUGAUUUCAAGAGAGAGAAGGUAGAGGAAGAGAGGGAGAGAGGGGGAGAGGGAGAGAGAGAGAUGGGGGGUGUGACUUCAUCCAUGGCUGCCAAGUUGGCUUUCUUCCCACCAAACCCUCCAUCCUACAAGCUAAUUACGGACGAUGCCACCGGCCUCUUGCUCUUCAACCACUUCCCCCACCGCGAAAACGUCGACAUUUUGAAGCUUCCGACGCGCCGCGGCACCGAGAUCGUGGCCCUCUAUGUGCGGUACCCCAUGGCCACCUCUACGCUGCUCUAUUCCCAUGGGAAUGCGGCUGAUAUCGGCCAGAUGUACGAGCUCUUCAUCGAGUUGAGCAUUCACUUGCGGGUUAAUCUCAUGGGGUACUUCGUUUUUGCCUUGUCCUUUUCUGGAAUUUGAAAAUUUUUGAUGGGUUCUUUUUGGAUUUGGAGAUUUUGUCUGUUGCUUGGGUGGAUUGACUAGAUUUUGGAGUGAGUUGAUGUGUUUCUGUUGGUUGUUUGGUUAGAAAUUGAUUUUUUUGCUUACUCUUUACUGUGAUUUUGAGCUUCUUUCUUUCUUUCCUUUUUUGGUGGAGUAGAGACAGUGAUGGGCUGGAAUUUAUGGUUAGUUUCCUCAGUUCUGUUUGUUCAGGUGGAAAUUUUUUCUGGCUAAUGUGUUUUGGUUAUAACUGAGGCUAAUUGAAGAUACAUGAUGGAUUUCAUUAUGCUUCAUAGUUUAAAUACCCUGGAGAUAAGUAUGGAAUUUUAAAAGCCAUUUUAUUUUUUUGUGGAAAAUAUUCCCUUCAUGGAAACAAAGAUUUUUCCUGUUGUGGAUUCCUUUUUCUCCCCUUUUUUUUUAAUCACAAGAAAGGGAUAUUGGGUUGGGUGUUUAAGUUUUCGCUGAAAAAUGGGAUUUUGGUCGGUUCUGGUGUUAGUGUUGGUUACAAAGGAAUGAUUUUCAUCAAAAGAAGUUGACCUAAAAUUUAUUAUAUCAAGUUUGAGAUCUGCAAAGUCUAAAAUUGUUGACAUUAGCUUAAAUCAAUGAAUUAAAUUAAAGUGGUGUUUGGUUUCUGCAUGUUGAUCUGUUUCUUUAGCUUCUCAAGUGGGUGAUGUAUGGCUAAGGUACCAGGCCGUAUUGGGAAAUCUGUGGCUUGAUUGUGGAGGACUGAGUUUCUUAUGAAUUUUGCUCGAUCCACUUUGUAUAUUUGGUUUAAUCAAUUGAUCCUCACCGAAGGAUAACAAAAUAUCAAAUGGCAAUGGUUGAAGAUAACUCUGGCAUCUCAGAGAUUAAUGUGAUUUUACUUUUGUUUAUUGUCAUUUUUCUGCUGUGGGAUUUCUUAGAAAAGUAAGUUUUUACUAUUGUUGAUAAUAAUCUGGUACAUGUUGUAGAAGAAUAAGUAUUGCAUCCAUUGUGUGUGAAAUGUGCUAAAUUUAUUGUCAGAUUAGUUAUGUUUCAAAAGAUUGAUGUAAAUGGUCUUUAUCUUCUAUCAAGGUGAAGGCAAAAAAGAACCAGGGUAGAGGAUGUGUGAAAAUGCAUGAUGGGUAAUUAUUUAAGAGGCUUUAGAUGCACCAAAAUUGUGAAAAAGAAUUUGUGUAGGCCCCUAAGCAGUUGUGAGCUAUAAUGAUAUGCAGUUCUACAAUUUUGUAUCUGCAUUGAAUGGGAUUUUUAUAGUAGAUUGGAUGUAGAAGAGCUCCUUCACAAAUUUGCAUGGCCCCUGGCAUUUUACUUUUAUAUUUUGAAACAUGAUCUCGACUUUUAAGAACAAAAUAGAUCUUGGUAGGAUUACUGAUCAUAUAGACCUCCAGUUUAAAUGAAAUCAUGCUUAAUAACUCAAAAUGACAGAGGCGUUGGUUGAUUAUAUAGUACCAAGUAAGACAGGAAAGUUUGGAUGCAUGCUGACUCUAGAGACUUGUAAUAGAGAGGCAAUGAAAUUUUUUUUCCUCUGCACAUGUAAAUAUGAAUUAAUUCUUCAUUUAUGCUCAUUAACAAGGAUCCAUAUUGUAUGAAUUAAAUGUAUGGGAAGUACACCUAGAGUGUAUAACAAGUGGAACCAGCAGGGUGUUCCCCCAUUUUUUUUUUUUAAAUUUUAAUUUUUGGAAAUGCCAACUGAUUUAUUAUUGAAGAUGGAUUUUCAGCAGGAGGGGAAAACACUCCUACAGGUAACAGCUGGUAAAGCUGUCAAUAUAUUUAGCAGAGAUUUUAUUUUUCCCUAAAAGUUUCUUUCUUUAUUUGAAUCGAGCCCUUUAAUUUCAAAGAAUUAAUUAAAUGGUCCCUCCCAAGUAAGAUGGAUUUAUUGUGGCGCCCUUAAUACUGUCUAUGUUUCCAUUGUAGCUUUAGGUUGAAAUGGAAAAAUAAUAACAGAAUUCUUGGAUCUCCCACUGAAAGUUAAAACCAAGAGAAGUAGAGAAUCAAAAGGCAAGAUGUGCUAUGUUUUGGAUUUAUAAUAUGCUAGCUCAAAUCAUGAAAAAAUUAUUUAAUUUUAGAAUUUGUGUUUGGAGUAGAAAAACAAAUUGUCAUAGAUGCUGAUUACUUUUGCUAGUAAUUAUAAGUCUUUUCUAAUCUUUUUAUAGGAAAUAUAUUACAGACUUCUCGUUUAUUUUUUCGUACAUUGUUUAAAGAAUACUAGUGUUUCCUAUUUUUACUUCUAGUGGAAUGUGAAUAAGAGUAUUGAUUUGUUUUUAGUUAUUUUUAUCGUACUUUUGUUUCAAAUUAACUGUGUUUAAAUAUGUUGUUUAAAAACUCAUGGCACUUUAACUUAUAAAUUCUGCAUUAAUGUUCUCCAUGCUCCCUCCCUAUUCCCAUUCCCUACAGAAGGAUAUAUUGUUUAUGAAGUAAAGCUAUUUUUUUCCCUUAUGAGAAACAAAUUGUGUAGAAGUGUAACUUCAUCCUUACAUGUGGAGGGGAAAAAAAUCCUUCUAAUGCUAGGGAUUGCAACAUCAGUUUUUAAAGUAAGUUCACUGGGGUCACACUAUGUCAUUCCUUGGGAAUUGCAACAUCUGCCGAUUUAUAACUGGUUGCCUUACAUUAAAACCAUGUUUUUGCAUGUUGCCUUUUUACAUAUGAAAUUCUGGAGGUUGUAUGAUGGAACUGGUUGGUUAAAUGAUUUGGGAUGUAAAAUUUUCUGAAUGCAUUUUUUAAUUAUGCAGGUAUGAUUAUUCUGGCUAUGGGCAGUCUUCAGGAAAGGUAAAGCUGGUUUUUGAAUUAAAUCUAUGGUGAUUUCCUUCCCAUUACACAAAAGCAUUUAAUGAUGUUGGUACCCAAAAAACUCUUUCUAAAGUGUGAUGUAUACUUGUUUGCAGCCAAGUGAGCACAAUACUUAUGCAGAUAUUGAAGCUGCAUAUAAAUGUCUUGAAGAAAGCUUUGGUGCGAAGCAGGAAGACAUCAUCCUUUAUGGUCAGUCUGUUGGAAGUGGGCCUACUUUGGAUCUUGCAGCUCGUUUGCCUCGAUUAAGAGCUGUUGUUUUGCAUAGUCCAAUACUCUCAGGCUUACGAGUCAUGUAUCCUGUGAAACGUACAUAUUGGUUUGAUAUCUACAAGGUCAAAUACUUGUUUUCAAAUCUAUUUGCUGCUUAUUACUCAUCAUAUCUAAAUAGACUUUCCAUCAUGUUCUUCUCAUCUGACCAUAAUUUUGCAUUGAUAUUGUGCAGAAUAUUGACAAAAUCCCAUUGGUGCAGUGCCCUGUACUAGUGAUUCAUGUAAGUAUCAAGAUUCUGAUAAUUUCAUUUUGGUAACUGCACAAAGUAAUUGAAGCUUUCUCACAAGUUUCAAGAUAAAUGUACGAUGCUAUGAUUGCCUGAAUUGAUUUCAUGCAUGGCUUAAUUUAAUGCUUUAUCAUGCGAUGAUAAUCUAUGCAAACUAUUGGAGGCAGUUGAUCAACAUGAGAAAUGAAAUUUCUGAUUCAGCUGUCACCAUAUAUAAAGGUACAUUUCAUCCUUCAGAAUAAAUUCAUAAAAAAAAAUGGUCUCCUUGCCAAAUUCCUUUUGCUUCUCUCUCUCUCUCGGGAAGGGGAAUCCAUCCCAGCAGUGAGGCAAUUACUCCAACUGUUAGCAAAGCUAACCUGGGAUGAUAUAGGCCUGCCCUCUACCCUACAUUAGAGAGGCUCGAAUUUGGGGUGUCUAGUUCAAGGGCUUCAUUACCAAAAUUCAUAUGAUAAAGAGAAAAAAAAAAAAAAAAAAAACCUGAGAUGGGGGUUUAAAUCCCUCUUAAUGAUCAUAUAUCUGUGAUGAAAUGGACUUAAAAAGAACAGGGAUAGUAGUUAGUGAAAAUUUGACAAAAUAUUCUAGAAAUCUACCAAAACUAAGUCUAAAUCACAUGAAUGGACUGAAUAGAGAGAAUUUGCAUGAAAAUAAAGGGAAGAGUUACCUAUUGAAUGUAAGCAAACUUAAAAUGUUUUUUUAUUUUUUUUCCUGACUUAAUACUAGAAGCCUGCUGGAAGGAAGUUCCUUAGAAAGUUAAAUCAGUCUUGAUAGUAAUAAACAAGAUGAAAGGCGAGCAGGCUGCAACUGGCUUGCAUUUCAGCAGUAGUGUCACAGUCCACGUCAGUAGGAAAUGCUGGUCCUUUUAACAUGACCAAAAACUUAACUGAUAAAAUAUGAUGGUGCAAACUGUUUAUUUCAUGUUACACCAUAUUUCCAAACUUCCUGUUGCUGAUGUUACACAUUGGAUGAGGUCUAUCAGUUCUAGCUGAUGUAGGAUUCAACAUUUUCAACUACCUCUUUGUUUUAUUUUUGCAUUGGUCUUUUGGCUAAGGGUUUAAUGGAUUACAGAUGUCGGUUUUCUUGUCCCACGAUUGAUAAUUCUCUUGUUUUGCAUCAUGACCAUUAACAAUAAUUUUGUUGUUUGUUUUUGUUAUGGCCAUAGAUGUAGCCUGGUAUACAUAUUUGAUAUUCAAAAUAUUAACCCUAAAAAUAUCCAUUUUGCAAGUUAACAUGUCCACCAUUUUUAAUCCAUUUUAUUAAUAACUAGUUUCUUUUUUUCAGUGCAUUCAACAAUGUUGGCUUUGUUGUUCUUAUUUAAACCCCAUUAUAUACUGAGUAGAACUGAUUUAUCAUUAGGCAAUGGAAUGGCAUGGGAAACCUACAACCCUCUUGCUUUCAGAGGUGGUGUGUUAGAGAAGGUCCUACAUGGGUUUAGAAACUCCUAGUCCCUCUUCUUUAGUAUAUUUCUAUUUCAUUUGAUUAGAACCUCCUGAAACAUGUACUAUUUGUUUUCAUAUUGCCAUGGAAAGUUGAAAAACCAAAAUCUAUUUUCUAAAAGAACCUCUGAACUACUACAUGUUUAAAGGAUAUCAUGUCUCUGUUUGACAUUUUGUCAUCUAGACUAGACUGAGUCAUUGCAUUCUCUUGGAUCUUUAUUGAGUAUUAACUUUUUCAUUUUGCAUAUUGUUGUGCAGGGCACAGCUGAUGAAGUUGUUGACUGCUCUCAUGGCAAGCAGCUUUGGGAACUCUGCAAAGAGAAGUAUGAACCCUUAUGGUUAAAAGGGGGGAAUCAUUGUGAUCUGGAGCUGUAUCCAGAAUACAUUAAACAUCUCAAGAAGUUCAUAUCCACAGUGGAAAAAUCACCUUCCCGGAGGAGCAGUGCAAGGAGAAGUGUAGACCGGCCAGAAUAUUCCAGGAAGAGUACUGAUUGUUAUGAGGCUCCAAGGAAGAGCACAGAUCAGGCUCCAAGGAAGAGCACGGAUCAGGCUCCAAGGAAGAGCACUGAUAGGAGAGACAAACCAAGGCGGAGCACUGACAGGCCUGAAAAACUGAAACUCUAUGACUACAAGUCUAAUGAUGUUGACAAGCUUGAGAAGUUAAGAACCUCUCUUGAUCAGGUAGAGAGAUCUCGGAGAAGCGUGGAAUACAAUGAUAAGUCUCGGAGAAGCAUCAACCAACAGUUGGAAAGAGCACGGAAGAGCGUGGAUUGGUUGGACAGAAUACGUGCCGGAUAAAGAGCAUUGAGUUUAUUCUGUGGGAGGGGAAAUUAAAAAAAGAAAAAACAGAAUGAAGAAAGAAGAAAUUACAUGGCUUUUUUUUUUUUGUUUGUUUGUUUAACUUAUGGUUUCAGGUUUGUGUGUAUUUUUGCUCUGGCUGGUUCCAGAAUGACUGUCAUGGAAUGCAGAGUUUGAUAUAAACGGAUUCAUUAUCCAUAUGAUUGUAGUUCAAUGGAAGUACCCUAACCUCUGUCUUUCAUUGUAACCCUUUUAGAAGUAGUGUCAUUCUUCGGGUUCAGGGAUGUUUUUGUAUUUGAAGUGUUUAAUUUUUUCCCAUUUAUCCAAAGACACCAUGUUUGCUUCUCAUUUGCAGCUGUCCAUAUUUGGUGAAUCAGCAUGUACUAUAAUGGUCAUAGAAGCAUGUGGCACAAUCACUUAUUUGGCCACUGAAAAAUCUUCACCCAUGUCUAGAGUGGUUCCAUUUUGGGAUUUUUUUCUUAUGGGACACAGCCUCUGCUACAUUUCCCCCAAUGGUUCUUAUCUCACGACCAAACUACCUGGAAAUCCAAAACUUCUGCAACCUGAGCAUCACACUAAACUUUGGCAGGAGAUCUUUCAAUAUAAGAAAACUGUUACAUCCAUCAAAACCCAAGAAGAUUGAAGCAGGGGAGGAUAUCAGGUAACGAUAAAAAAUGGGUUGUGUCUCGAAAGCUGAGUUUGAGUCAUUUUGCAUUGGUAAAUUAUUCUCGGAAUUUCUGUUCAUCUUGCAUUUCAGUUCCAGCCUUUAAUUGGGUUUCCUCUCCGGAAUUUUGCUGAAGAUGAUCUGUAAGACCUGAGAUGCAGGGUACUGCUGGGAGCAUAGAAGUUGACCUCCAAACUAGCUCAUGUUCAAUGGAGAAGCAAGUUGGAAAGCUUGGUCAACAAGGUGUUGGAUGUUUGCGAUGUGUGCCAUCAUUAUUAAAACCAAUACUAGGCGAGUGCAUAGCUGCCUUUACUUGCAGCUCAUAUGUAUUAUAGUUUAAAAUCGUCUGUUUGCUUGGGGUCCAAGCCCACCAAUUCUAUAUCUUCUCUGAAACUUCUGCUUUACCCAUCAGGGUUGGAGCUCUUUCCCUUCCUCUGUUCUGCGUUUACUCAAAAGGGUUUGUUGCAUUUUCACCUUUGCGAGAGUAUCAAUACUAAUGCAGUUUUCGCAUUGAGAUGAUGGCAUUUUGAUGUUUCAACCAUUCUACAUUUUGCAGCUCUAGUCUUAAUUAUAUCUUAAAAAGUUGGUCAUCAAUCUCAACAAGCUCAAGGACAACGAGUCGGAGAAAUGACUGACAACAGCAACAUGGAAGGAAUUCAAGAUGACGUCAAGGAUCCAUAUUCUCCACCAAGAAAAAGGAUAAAGACCGAUGAUGAAGCCAGUGCAAGCCAAGAAAAUGCUGUGAACUUCUCUGGAUCCUUAGUUCCCACUGCACUCAAAUACAAGAUCCAUGCCCAUGAAGGUGGCUGCAGCUCCAUUUUAUUCCCAUUUAAUUCUCAAAAUUUGAUCAGUGGGGGAAAGGACAACACGAUAAAGAUAUGGGACACAAGCACUGGGGCACUUACCAGCCUUCUUCAAGGCUUCCAAGGCUCAGUUUAUGAUCUUGCCAUCAGCUCUGACAACAGCUUCCUUGCUGCAGCUCUCACAUCCCGAAAAUUGUGUGUAUGGGAAUUGAAUACUGGUCAAAUUCGCCAGACUCUCACAGGCCACAGCCAAAAGGUUUGUGCUGUGGAUGUGGGCAAGGUCCUUAGCCGCUAUAUAGUUAGUGCUGGGAGUGAUCAAAUGAUAAAAGUAUGGGACUUGCAGCAAGACUAUCCUGUCUGUUCUCGAUAUAUCUCCAGUGCUUGCAAUGCUAUAAGCUUUUCCUCGGAUGAAACCACAAUUUGUUCAGGCCAUGCCAAUGGAAAGGUCAUAUUCAGCAAAGUCAAUAGAUUUUGGAUGAAUCAUAGCAGUGAAGUUGAGGCUCAUACACAGUCUGUGACUUCAAUCUGCCCACUUCAAAAUGGGAGUCUCAUACUGAGCAGUGGAAGGGAUAAUUGGCACAAUUUGAUUGAUACCCGGACAAUGCAAAUCUGCAGUAAAUUCAGAACCAGGUGCAGCAGAGUGGCUUCUAAUUGGAGCCGGGUGUGUGUCAGUUCUGAUGACAAUUAUGCAGUUGUGGGCUCAGCUGAUGGAUCAGUCUAUGUGUGGUCUAUGCAGAUGGGAAGAAUGGUGAAUGCUCUGAAGGGGCAUACUGCUCCUGUUCUCGCUUGUUCAUGGAGCGGUAUGGGGAUGCCACUGGCCUCUACUGAUAGUGAUGGAACUAUUUGUAUUUGGUCUUGAGAUGAGAUUUUGGAAAGCAUUCAGAACAAAAAGACUGAAAAAAAAAAAAAAAAAACAAAGAAUUGAAUUAAUGGUUAUUACUUUUAUGCUUUUAGCCCGGAUAAAUUAAGAUCAGACUGCAAUUCCUUCAAAAUUCUUUCUUCUGAAUUCCAGCAAAAUGUCAUCCCAGAACUGCCACUUAUCAUGAGUAGUGCCAUUUAGCCAUGAGAGCAUGGGGACAUGAGGAAUGUUCUUCAUGCCCAUGAUAGCAUUUUGUGUAUAUUUCAAUUUUCCUCUGAUAAUGGUUGAUUCUGAUAUCUCACAGCUGCACUACCUGGAACUUCAAAGCUCAAAGCAGUGACCAUUCCCAUGGACGCUUCCCCUCAACUUCAGCUGCCUUAGCAUAUCAGCAUGAUCUUUUCACAAAUCAAAUGAUGUAUUUGACAUCAUCCUUGGUGUAAGUCAUUUUGCAUCUCUAAAUCACUCCUGUUUUCCUGCAUUUGAAUUCCAGAUUGUCAAAUGGAUUUAUUAACAGUGGGUUAACAGAAAGAACUUUUCUUCUCUCUGAAUGAUGCUCAAGAUGAUCUUUGGUGGUCAAAUUUAGAGGGUACAUGCCCUAUUUGGACCCAUGAUGCAGGGUACUCCAGAAAGCAUAAGUGGGUGCCAGAAGCUGACCUCCAAACUGGCCCCACAUUCAUUGAAGAAGCAACUUGGGAAGCUUGGUCAACAACGUGUUGCGGGUGUACACAAUAAUUAUUCAAACCAAUGGUGGAAGAGUGGAUAGCUGGCUUAUUUGCUUGGGGACCAAGUUUACCAUUUCCUCUUCUUCUUCAAUAUCCUUUGAUUUGAUUCUUAGACCGAAAGGCAAGUGGCAACAGCAGCAUGGAAGGAAUUCAAGAUGAAACCAAGGAUCCAUCUUCUCCACUGAGAAAAAAAAAAAAAAAACCUACUCUUCCCUUUGGGCUGGGUGAAAAGACUACUUGUUCAAUUUGAUAUUUUGGAGAUAUGAUACCUCCUCAAAUACCAUAGAAUCCUAGGUUGUCAAAUAAAUAAAUAAAUAAAUAAAAAACCAAUUAGGACUCAAUAGCAAAAUUCAAAACGUGAAUUGACUUUAAGAUAACAAAAAUAGGCUUUAUUUUUUUUAUGGUCUUUAAUUUAAAACUCACUCAAAAAGCCAAAAUUAAAAAUAUCAAGUAAGAAAAAUUAAGAUAACAUAUAAUUUCAUAUGUAAACGAUCGAAUCCUUAGAUGUCUUAUGAGGUGUUAAAAAAAUGGUUAAAAUAAUUGAAUAAGUGGAUUACUAUGACUAUAACCCUUGACAAAUUCAUUAAAGGCGAAAUUGAUUUAUUUGAUGUUAUGGAUUUUUGGUUAUGGAGGGACCAUUUCAUUUUUGUAGGUGGUCCUAUCUAUUGCUCUUUCCUUGUGCUUAUAUCACUUUAAGAGGUUGAUUUACAUGUAUAACCCUUGUAACUUUAUGAUUGUCUAUGAAUUUACUAGGUCCUAGUUGGAAGGUUGCAAUUUUUUAAUUUUCUCGGUUUUUUAACUAGGAAAUUUUAGUUGUUGGUGUUAAAUAGAUGGUUUGUAGACUUUUGUUACUCUUUAUGUUAUUUUCAAAUUAUUAAAUAUCAUGUUGUGUUAAUUUAAACUUGUUCAAUUUGUUUCAUUAGGACCUUGUAAUGCAAUCACACUCUUUGUUUCAAUUGCUAUUUUUGUUUAGGUAUUUUAAUUUAUCUAUUAGGUCAAUUUGGUUAAUUCUAAGGAUUUCAUAAUUGGACAUUGAACCCAUUUUAUAUUAUGGGAGUUGUCGAUGUAUUAGGCGUUACUUUGCCUGGCAAUAUUCAUGGUGAUACCACAAAAAAUAUCUUAUUUUAAGAUGAUGAUGACAUAGACAUUUUAAGCUUUUAAUCCAACUUAAGGUAAAGAAGUUUAUUCAAUGGUCAUUACUAUCCGUUUUUUAUCCCUAAUCUUUGAGGUUACUUUUUCUAAUAAGUGUUGAUUACAUUUCUUUAUGUUAUUUGUAACAUUAACAAGUUUAUGAGUGAGUGUUCUUGAGUAGUCAGCCCAUCACACUUUGUUUCUAGGAAAUAUAUGCUAGGAAGGAUCUUAAAUUUGAGACUUUAUGCACUAAAAAUAAAUCUUAAAUGUGUUAGAAGUUAUUAAUAUAUUUAGUUACUAUAUUAGAAUUAUAUAUUUAGUUACUAUAUAUUUAUUUAGUUACUAUAUUAGAAUCAUUUUCUUUCUUUUUAGAAGUAAGGGUAAAUUAGUCUUUAUUUUUUUUAUUAAGUUUAUUUAAAUUCUAAUGAUGUUGUACAUAUUUUCAAGAGAAUUGAUAAUAAGAAAUCCUAGAUUUCCUUUUCUUUCUUUUUCUCUCUUCGAAUUUAUUUUUGGAUUUUAAUAUGGUAUCAAUGUAAAAUUGAUUUUUAAUGAGACUUUUGAUUUGUGAUAUCAUGGAAGAGAGUUUAAUUUCAUACACUGAUUUUCAUAUGUGUUUGAUUUGGAAUCCUUUUUUCGUCGUAUUUGAUCGUAGGAUAUUGUAAUGGGUGGUUGCAUUGUUCUUCUCCUGUUUGAACCUAGUAUUUGAUUUCAUAUUCAUUUCCUUCUAUUUAUAUUUGCUUUCUUUUGUUUGGUGGUUAUUCAUCAUGACCCAAAUGAUUCCGUUCAAACUAUUAGUGUGAGAUUGGAUGAAAAAAAAAUUAUUCGUGUUGGGGUUAUGUGAUAAAAUUUUUUUUAAGGGGCAAAAAGAUGUGAGGUUAUAUUAUUGGCACUCUACGCAAACCUAUGAAUGAAAAUGAUGAAAAAUAUGAAGAACAAUUAGAUAUUUGCGAAGUAAGCAAUUUAAAAAUUAUUAUUGGGAUUGACAACUCUGUUGAUAAUUAGAUGGACAUACAAUUGGCCAAGUAUGAAACAACCAAAUGAGAUUUGUAAACAUUUGAAAAGAUUGUAUGAAACUACCAAGGAGAUAUGGGAAUAUUUGGAAAGAUUGUAUACGCAAUUGAAUUCUUUAUUUAUUUGUUAGAUAUUAAUCUAAAUUCUUUGUCUCUAUUUGUUGAAUAUGAAUCUAAAUUUUAUCUCUCUCUUUGUUGGAUAUGAAUCCAAAUUUUGUUUUUCUUAUUUUGUCAUGCCCCAAAACCCACUCGUAUGAUGACCAUUUCACACCUCAAGCCCGAAUGCUCAAAGUGGAACAAUAUAAACAUUCAUAUUGUAACUGAAAAUUACCAAUUACCAAAUUCCUGUUCAGAAUAGUAAAAUAAAUGCAUUCUAAAAUAUUCAGAUAUCGUUUUUAAAAACUAACACAUCAAUUAAAGUGUUAUUGUCCAAAUAACUCCAAACUAAAAUAAUUCAAAUGGGAAUUAAAUUUUAAUAUCUAAACAAUGUCCAAAAUAAAGUUUGAACCAAAAUUCUAACAAAGAAAAAUUCCCUAGUUUAGCCAUCACUCCUUGUCCGAACUGAAAGUACUUGAAAAAGUAUCAAUGAAGGGUAUGAACUUAAAGCCCAAUAAGAAACAUCAAUAUAGUUUCAUGAAUCAAACAUUUUCAAUAAAACUUUCUUAUAUCCAUUUCAAAACAAUUUCAUAUUAAAACCAAAUAAAAUACAUUAAAAAUAUCUUUACUCUAGUUAUUGAAUAACAAAUGGUGUCCAAUUAGGUGAGACUUCACAAAUAAGUGACUAGUUUCAAAUUUGUUCAAUUUAAGGUGAACAAAACCAAAUGUCAACAAUUAUAAUCUAUUGACUAGGGUCAUAAAAUCAACUAUUAUAUCUCAUUGACUAGGGUCAUAUAAUAUCAACUAUUAUAACCCGUUGAUUAGAAUUGAAAAUGUUAACAAUUAUAACCCGUUGACUAGAAUCAUAGAAACUAGAGUCAAAUACUUUAUUUUAUUAAUUCAAACUUAUAAAACAAAAUAUCAUAUCUACAUAAUUUUCAUUUUUCAUAAACAAAGAAAAUGAUCAAACAUUUUUUCCAUGAAAAAACAUAUAUUUGAUUUAUGCAUAGAAAUAAAAAUAAUAUUUUUAGACAUUUCAAAAUAUAAUAUAAAAAGAAAAUUAUUUAUUUUUACAAAAUCUACACUAAUUUCCCUUUCAUUAGAUAAGCACUCAAAAACAUUAGAAAAUUAAUCCCAAAGAAUCUACUCCUCUUCUAACAUAACAUUAAAAGAAAAAAAAAUCAUCUAUUACUAUUAACUAUUUAUCUAAAAUUAUAUAUUUGAAAAUCCUAAUAAUUUCCUAUGUUAUGUCACUUGUAUUAUUUUUAACUUAAUCAAUAACAAUUUCAUUUGUGAGUUUCUAAAUUCUUAUAAAGUUGGUUUCUUUCCAAAAUUUAUUUCCAAGAUUCUAUUAAUUUAUUAUUAUUAUUUUCUUUUCUCAAACUCUUAACCUCCAUACUCACAAAUUUGAUGUAUUUUUCAUAUCCGAAACUAUAUUAUAUAUAUAUAUAUAUAUAUAUAUAUAUAGAUCUAUUCAUUUGAGUAAUCAAAAUUUGUCAAUCUCCAUUAAUAAAUCAAAUUAUGUUAAUAAAUUUUUAAUCUUUUUAACCUAGAAAUUAAUUAAUUGAACCCUAAUAAAAAAUAAAGAUCCUGCAACGAAUUUUUUUAAGUAUUCAAUACUAUUUAACGAAUAAAAAAAAUGUAAUUUAAGAGUUAAAAUCUUACCUAGAAAACUGAUCUUACCUAGAAAACUGAUCUUUAACCUUAAAUCUCAAAUUCUUCAGUCCUACCUUGCCCUACACUCUUUGAUCUUUCUGAUAUUUGUGUAAGAGGGUUUUCUAAAUAAAUAAAAAAUAGAAAAAAUCUAAUUUAUACCUAAGGCUUCUAAAAGAGAAAAGACUUUUAUAUCCUUAUUAAUUUAAUUUAAUUAAUUAAUUAAUUAAUUUUAAUUUAUGAUUUUACCCUUGGUUUUGGGGUAUUACAUAUUCUUCUAUGCUGAUGGAUAUGAAUGUAAUCCAAAUUCUGUUUGUCUUUCCUUCUUCUAUGAUUUUGUGUCUUCUUUUGUCUCUCUUCCUUAAUCUUUUCUUGAUAGUUUUAUGUCGAUUUCUAUCUCUAUUUCCUUUAUGGUUUUAAUUUUGUGUGUGUGUGUUUUUUUUUUUUUUUUUUUACUAUUUCUUCUUCUUCUUUUCUCAUUCUUUGAUAGUUUUAGUUUUAUGUCUUCUAUUACUUCUUCUCUUGGAGCAUAUACCUUUCUAUUCUAACUAUUUUUUCUUCCUCGAGCAUAAACUUUUUCUAUUCUUGUUGAGUCUCAUAAUGUCUUUAAAUCUGAACUUAUUCGUAUUGAUCAUUUCUUAAAUGAUACAAAUAGUUUUGAUGCAAAUAUUGAUACUUUGGUUUUUGAUUGUCAUGCUCCUUCCUUUCCUUCUAUAGCUACUCAAACACCUUCUAAGAUUGUGGAUUCUCCUCUCCCAUGUUCUUCUCAAUGUCUUUCAAGUUAUGAUUGAGGAACUUUAUGCUUUGCAUUAGAUUAAUACUUGACAUUUGGUACUUCAAUUAAAUAGUACAAAACUUAACUGGUUACUAAAAGAAUUUCUCAACAAUAUAAUUGCAAAAUUGUUUACCAAGUCACACCCACUUCCACAAUUUCGGUUUUUGGUUGACAAACUAUCGAUGUUUCUUACAAUCGCAUUAUGAGUUUUGUGAGAAAAUGUUAGACGUUAUUAAUAUAUUUAGUUACUAUAUUAAUAUUAUAUAUUAAGUUACUAUAGCCCUGACCUGUAAAUGGACCUUUAUGAGCCUCUAAAAUAUCUUUUAGCCCAUGACCAAUGCCCUAAGGCACGUAAGUUCAAAGCCAGACUGACUACUCCAAGAGCACUCAUCCAUAAACUGUUAAUGGUAUGGACGAAUCUGUUCCUUCAUCCAAAUGUGUAAAAGAUUCUAGCCGCACUUAAAAGCUGAAUACCGAAAAAUACAAUAUUUUUGUUACUUGACCAACCAUCAGGAGAAGCAAAUACAACGGGGUACAUUAAUCAGUAAGAUUGAUGAAGUAGCAAUUAAUGCAAAAACAGCCAAUUAGUUUAUUUACUUACUAUAUCAAAAUUAUUUUAUUUCUUUUUUAGAAUCUUUUGGGGAUUUCAACAAAAUGAUCAUCUUUGUCCUUGGAUGAUAGCUCAAGAUCAACAUCAUAAAAACUUUAUAUUCCCUUCGAAGGUUCUACCCUAAUUUAUAAUUUUAUUUAUUUAUUCUCAAAUUUAAUAACAAAAAUUUUAAAAAAUAAAGGUAUAAUUUCAACCUUUCUAAACAAAGAGUUUAAAAUGGGAAAUCGACAUCUGCUUAAAUUUUAUUGGAUCUAAAGCUUGGAAAGAAAAAAAGAAAAAAAGAAAAAAAGAAAAAAAGAAAAACCCUAAAAGCACCCUUACAUAUAUGAAUUGUCAAAUCAAUGAGAAUUGUUUGAUUGAACGGAUUGAAUUCGUUUAGUUAAGUUUGUUUGUUGUAACACAUGCCUCUUUUAAAGAUUCAUCAAGUGGAAUUCUGUUUUAUUUCCAAAUUUUAAAUAAAAUUGAAAAUUAGUAAGCAGUCCAUGAACUCAAAACAUUUUCCUCCUGUGUAGCAUAUUCCUUUCGCAGCGGAUGCAUCAAAUCGACGUGUCUUAGUAUCUGUGGGCAGUUUUAAAUAUUUUGUUGACAGCCCUGUGACGUGAUCAUUUUUGUUUAUAAAAUAAAUCUAUUAUUAUUAAUAAUUAUGAUUAUAAUAUUAUUAAUUUUCCGGACUUCUUUAAAAGCCCUCUCCGCACCCUCGAAUCUGCUUGUGAACGAAACUAUUCCUUUCUCAACACAAUCUAUUUCGAUCGAAAUAUGUAAGUACAACUAUUUCAGAUUUGGUAUCUCUUGUUUGGUUGCCGAGAAAACAAAGGAAAAGAAAAGGAAUGGAAAAUAGAGGAAAAGAGAAGGAAUUGUUGGAUUCAUAUGUUUCUUUUGUGUACGGAUUGAAAAAUCUUAAGUGAUUUGGGUGAAGUAUUUGUACUUGUGUUCGUUUUACCGGGAUGUGAUCCAAAAUUUUUAUUUUUAUUUAUUUUUCUUUUUUCCGGUGGUUUCUCGGCCACCAAACUGAGCAUUAGAUAUACGAUGGAGUCGUUGUUUGCUUGAUGAUGUUGAAUUCUUCAGGUCACAGGAUGAGGUGGCGGUUGAUGCUAUUAAACACGCUCUAAAGGCUCUGCGGAAGCGGCAUUUGCUAGAGGAAGGCGCUCAUGCUCCGGCUAUCGUAGCUCUUUCCAAGCCUUUUAUUUAUCAGGUUCUCUGUGUGUGUGCAUAUUUACUAUAGUGAUUAAUCAACUGGUUAUUUUCCUCUAUUGUCAGUGCUACUAAGUUGAAAUUGAACAUUGUAUUUGUAGUGCAAUCUAGGGUAGUCAGAUUGUAUCACUGUAUGGAUUGAGUUGUGAACAGUAGAAAAUUAAAGGAAGGGGCAAUCCUUAUGCACACAUGAACUAUAGAAAAUUAUGCUCAAGUAAAAUAAAACCUUAUCCCAAUUACUCAGGUUAGGGAUGCAAAUCCUUAAUUUUCAACUUAUGUAACUCCAUAACAUUAUAUACUACAUGUCCCACUUGUAGAAAUUCUCUUAAUUUGAGAGGUAUUUAUUAUCACCUUUUUCUGUUAGAAAAAAAAAAUGUCAUUCAUCUUUCUUAAAUGUAUCAAUUGCAAACCAUUUAAAAAGUCGUGGACAUACAUUCAUCCAUCUCCCAAACUUGACACCGGUAAAACUGUUAAUAGGAUGUCCUUAAGCUUUGAAGAAGGCAGCUGUAUGAUACGGAAGGUUGUACUCCUUCCAAAUUGUUUUACAUCCUGUGGAUAAGAUCUAUGCUCCAAACUGGCACAUUUCAGAAUUUUUAAGUGCCCAUGAUGGGUGUCACAAGGUGGGUAUGGAUUAUACAGUUAGCUGGUAGCUGGCAGUUGCACUAUUAAGCACAUCACUGAUUACAUAGAAGUUCUCCCCCCCCAAAAAAAUUGUCUCAAUUCUUAUGCAGCUAUUAUGCAGAUGGCAAUAUUACAUAGACCUUCAUCCACGGUGUUAAUAAGUUGAUGGUAUUGUAGCACAUGGCCUAAUAAUUUGCCAACUCAGAAUUACAAUUGGCCAUUACCAAACAAAAUGCAACAAUGGAUAAGUUACAUGGGUUAAGGUAGAAAGAUUAUGUAUCGUAAAAAUAAACCUAAACCUUAGUACAUGUAACAAGGGAAUUUGAGAUGGGCCCACUUGGUUCUGUACAUGACAUGUCCAGAUGGUAGCCUCCUUGCCUAAGGCACCUAAGGAAGUUACUUUAUCCAGGGCAUAUGUGAUGGCUUUUCCCAUUUAGAGUUUCCUACAUGCCCCGACUUACCUGUGUGCGUUACAUGUGCUACCUAACUAAAACUGCACUAUAUGCAGACUUAUCAAGAGUGCUUUAUAGAUGAAAUAUAUCAAGGCCCAAUGAUGGCAUUUUCCUGUGGACACUCCUGUAGCACAUCAACUAGAUGUCAUUAUCAUUGGAAGUUAGAACAUAUUUGGAAUUUCAAUCAAAUGACUAUCAGAACCAUGAUUUUGGGUGUAUGCCUCAAUGUUAGAGAGCAAAUUGCCUUUAGCGAUGUGCUUAUUAAAUUGUGGCACAAUCUUAGGAGUUGUAAGGCAUAUCUGCAAUCUACAUGCAUGCAUAAGUCCAUGUAACAUACCAUAGUAUGUCACCCAGAGCAUCAUAACCCAGAGUACCCCAAUAUGCCUCUCUGAAUACUUGGAAGACUAUGUUAAUUCUCAGAUCUAGUAAACAUACCAAGCCUAUCCGGUGACAUAAUUGUUGCUUGAACUAGUUGACCAUCUUUUUCCUACCUCAGGGAUUAUUUUCUCUAUUUGAUCUGAUUGUCUGGAUUUGGUGCAGUGUAUCUUUUUUCCAUCUGAUAAAGUUGUGGCACAAAAUUUCUACAAUGUGUUUAUUUGGCAUGGUUUCUCUUGAUGGAUUGUUCUGAUGCUGCUGAAUUUUAACAAUAUUUCUUAGUUUUGGAUUCUUGGUUUUAAUUCCUUUUGACUUUUUCUUGAAUUACUUAUAAUUAGUCUGAUUGAGAUUGGCUGGUUGAUGUCCUUGAAGGGAUCUGAAUGGAAAGAUAAAGCAGAAAAUCUUGAAGUGGAACUACAGCAAUGUUACAGAGCUCAAGCUAGAUUAUCAGAACAGCUUGUGGUGGAAGUGGCUGAAUGCAGAGCUUCAAAAGCCUUGGUUCAAGAGAAAGAAGCAAUAAUCAAUGAUAUACAAAAUGAGCUUACUAAAACAAGGUUAUCUUUUAUUCUUAUGCUUUAGUCAUGUAGAAGGUGUCUUUGAAAUUUCAAGUAGUAUGAAUCGCCUAACUCAAUUAAAUGCUCCAGGGAUGAAUGCUUGCAACUAAAAGUUAUUGUAGAAGAAAAGACUAAAGCUUUAGAAUUAGUUAUGAGUGAGAAUCAGGAGCUUAAAGCACAGCUACAAGAGAUGACUGUGAAAGCUAAGAAUAUAGAGGCUGAAAAUAAGAUGUUGAUUGAUCGCUGGAUGUUGCAAAAGAUGCAGGAGGCUGAACACCUGAAUGAGGUAUUUUAUGUUAUUGUUAUGGUUGGGAUCAAACACAGAAUUAGGUCUAGAUGAUACUAGUACAAAUUGGUAUCACUAGGGAGUGACCCAGAGAAAUGGCAUGAUGAGGGAAGAAAAACUUUGUUACCAUUCUGUGCUUGAUUUUACUGAUGAUUGGUUGGCUAUUAUUAUAAUUACUGGGCAAUACAUCAUUGUUGUCAGAUGUAUUUUGAAUGGGGAUUUUUACUCUGCUUUCAGAUUUGUAUUGAUUAGAUGAUACUCUCCUGAUUUUGUUCACUUUUUAAUCAUCUGAAAGAGAAAAACCUCCUUCCCUUACCUUUUAACUUUUGGACUGAAUUUUUUAUCUGAAAAUUGAAAAGAAAAGUCUUCUUUCACCAAUUUUUCACUGUCCAACUGAUAGGAUAUCAAUUCACGUGGUUUAUAUGAUUUAGACCUGGUUUGAUGCAGCUUUUUGCUGGAAGCACUACUUGAUGAAACUGCUUCAUAGUCAUACUAAAACAUUUUAAUCCAACAUAUAACAACUGAUAAGAUAUCUAUUUACCUGGUUUAUAUGAUUUAGGCCUGGUUUGAUGUGGCUUUUUUCUGGAAACACUUCCUGGAUGAAAAAUGACAUUGGCUGCUUCAUAGUUGUACUAAAACGUUUUAAUCCAACUAUCUAACAAUAACAUUGGCUGUAUACAAUAUUGGUGGAGAUCCAAUGGAUUUUUUUUUUUUUUCAAAGAAAAGAAAAUGAAAAAGGAAAAAAAAAGAAAAGAAAUAACAAAUACUCCAUAAACCAUUCUUAUACAUUUUAGUGUAGGGAGAGAUUUAAGUGUUUAAUCCUCUUUCAGUUGAUUAAGUUUGCUUACUUUUGAAAGAAUGUUCAUAUAUUUUUAGUCUCUUUCCAUCUGAUGGGUUGUCUAACUAUAUUUUAAUUAUUUUAGGCUAAUGCUCUUUAUCAAGAUUUUAAAGAUCAGCUCAAGGCCAGUGGUAUAGCACAACUUGCUCGGCAGCAAGUGGAUGGUGUGGUACGCCAAAGUGAAGAAGGUGCCCAGUACUAUGGGGAAUCAACUGUUCCGAAUACAUGUAAGCACAGGAUCCAUGCCCAUGAGGGUGGCUGUGCAGCUAUAUUGUUUGAGUACAACUCUGGCAAUUUGAUUAGUGGGGGACAUGACCGGGCAGUCAAAAUGUGGGAUACAAACACUGGAUCAUUAACUCGCACUCUUUAUGGUUGUGUGGGCUCUGUUCUUGAUCUUGCUAUUACACAUGAUAACAGAUCCAUAAUUGCUGCAAGCAGCUCAAAUAACUUGUGUGUAUGGGAUGUGAACUCAGGUCGGAUCCGUCAUACUCUUACAGGCCACAUGGAUAAAGUUUGUUCUGUAGAUGUGAGCAAAAUUUCAAGUCGUCAUGUUGCAAGUGCAGCUUAUGACCGUACUAUAAAAGUUUGGGAUUUGCAGAAAGGUUAUUGUAUCAACACUAUCAUUUUCCACAGCAACUGCAAUGCACUUUGCUUCAGCACAGAUGGACAAACCAUUUGUUCAGGUCAUGUUGAUGGAAAUCUUCGAUUGUGGGAUAUUCAGACAGGAAAACUACUUAGUGAAGUUGCUGCUCAUUCACUUGCUAUUACAUCUAUCUCUUUGUCUCGAAAUGGGAGUGUGGUAUUAACAAGUGGGAGAGACAACUUGCAUAAUUUAUUUGAUAUGCGGUCUCUGGAAGUUUGUGGCACAUUAAGAGCGAAUGGAAACAGGGUGGCAUCUAAUUGGAGCCGAUCCUGUAUAAGUGCAGAUGACAACUAUGUUGCUGCUGGAUCCACUGAUGGAUCUGUGCAUAUUUGGUCAAUACUAACAGCAGAAAUAGUGAGUACUCUAAAGGAACACACUGCUUCAGUUCUAAGUUGUUCAUGGAGUGGACUUGGAAAACCUCUAGCCUCCUCUGAUAAGAGUGGAAUUGUUUAUACAUGGACAUGAUCGGUCUCACUUUGACAGUUGUAACUGUGACAGAAGAUUCUGUCUCUCUCAAUCUCUUUGCUGGCUUUGUGUGAGAUACCAAAACCUUAUAAGCCAUUUCAGGUUGCUUGACCCCAAAUCACACUACACAAUGAUAAUGUCCUUCCACUGCUUGGAAUCCAGAUGUUUGUGGGCUUCUAGUUGUAUAGGUUUCUAGUUCAGGAGAUGCCAAUAAUGAACAUCUAAAGUCCAGGUGUACCAUGACCAGAAAAGGGUCAAUAUUGUUGAAGAAAAUGAGGGUUACUAAAAGGAAUUGUUGUGACAGUGCAUCAGUGGAGUAUUUCAUUAUUUUUUAAAUAAAUAAAGGGAACUUGUUUGGUUCUCGGUUGGUAGAAAUGCAUGCAAUGUUCAAUUUAUAUUUCCGUGACUGAUAAUUUUUUUUGACAGGUUGUUUUCACUCUUGAAGAUGUGGGAGUUUCUUGAAUUUUGAACUUUGUCCAGCUUCUUCUUAUAGGAGCUGUUAAAGAGUUUAUAUAUUGAUUUUAUGUCUGUUCUUUAAUUUUUUUUAUUUAGACUACUUUGCUUUUUUAGUUCUUCUUAACUACAUUAAUUUCAGAUUCAUUUUCUUUGGGGUAUAGAUAAAAUUUCUGACUAUAGGACCUCAAAACAAGGUAAUCUGACCAAUUGAUGCAAUGUGUGAUGUUACUGCUCUCAUAUUUUAUUUAAUGCCCCUCUAUUUCCAUUUGUUAUUACCAUUCCAUGUUAAUGCUAACAUUUUAUUCUUAAACUGUUUCCCAUCACAUCAUAUACAAUAUGGUAAGAACAGGGUAAUCAGUCAUUAUUAGAAAAAACCAAUUCCAUGGGUGCAAUUGGCAAGAAAAAAAGAUGAACUUCAGGUAAUCAGUCAUUAUUAGAAAGUUCUUAAUGAGCACUCUUACAAGAAUGUAAUUGUUCUUCAUGAAAGUUUGGGAUUUCUUUGUGCUUCUUUAUCAAGAAUAUUGCUAUCUGCAGAAAUAGCUUAAAGUAGAAGAUGUCAUCUCUUUUGCGAGAAAUGGUUUUUUUAUUUUCCAAUUAAUUUUUUCUCCUUAUGCUUGAGUUCCAAAACUAUUAGGCAACCAGAUUUUCUGUAUGACUAACAAGUUGGCUCCCUAUGCAAUAAUCUUGAAUCCAAGGGCUUGUAAUCUACUUCUGCUGUUUGACAAUAGAUUUCAAUAUUGCUAAUAUGGCAUAAGUGUUCUAUAAUUUUUUUGAUAGACUAUGGCAUAAAUGUUCAAUAAUACUAUGUAAGAAUCAGGAUCAUUGUAAGACUGACUUGCAAUUGGUCUUAUUAAGUAGUUACCAUAAGAUUGUUAUGAGUGGAACAUCCACUCUGGAAUGCUUUUCAAUAGUAUCCAAAAGCUAACUCAUCUGUCUUUGCUUCCAAUAAUUCAUAUUUUCUCAUCUUUGUUGCAGAAUUCCUUUGAAAUGCUGUCAGUCGAUAUAUGAAUCUGAUAUUGAAUUGGAGCCAAUGGAUUCAUUGCCUAUUAGUUUAAUGCCUAUCUAAUUUCUCCAUUAUUUAGCUGCUGUGGUUGAAAUUAGGGAUUAUUGGAUGAACAUAUUGAAAUGAUUAUUACAGAAAAUACUUUAUUUUCAUGCAUGCUGAGUUUACUAUGACUAUUUUAAUUGCUGAUUGGUCCAAAGUUAUAUAUGCCUUUGAAUAGAUUAAUAAUCUUUGUUGACCAAUAUAUUCUAUCUUCUUUAAUGAUUGUUUGUGGUUUAAGACUUUAACUUUCAAACCUUAUCAGUUCUCCAAACCCAGUAGGGUGACUUAAACCUGAAAAACAUUCAACAUAAAACUGAACGAUUAAGGUCAUUUGGUGAUGGAGAAAACCUGUCAAGUUUUACUUGACUAUCCUAUUUUAUCCCCCAAAUUUCCUCCUGAUCCUCCUACAUCUGAAAGAAAAUGAAUCUCAUGCAACAUUCUACAACUCAUUGCUUUACUCUUACCUAGUAUUCUUUCCUUUCCUCUCCAUGACUACAGUAAAUACUCAACAUUGAAAAUUUGACUUCUACAAGCACAACUUUUGGGAAAAUGUAGAUUUAGGAAGAGGCAAGAUGUUGUCAAAGUUGAUUGGUGGUUUUCCAUGUAAGGUCUGGUAAUCAGUCCAAAUCCAGUUUGGGAGUUGAAAUGGUUGUAGAUGGUUACAGAUGGUUGCAGAAAGAUGUUUUGUUAACCUUGGCAUUUAUUUUCAUCCUUCUAAGGAAUGUUCGUGCACAGCUUUGCAUUCCCUCCAGCGUAUCCCCUCAAUCUGAAUUCUGAUGUAUUUGUUAUUGUACUCCAUGUGCUGCACCUUAUGCGUAGAAUGUGCAGCUUGUCAGCUUUAGUACCAUUGCGGUUCUAUUGCAUGAGAGGACUUGAGAUGGUACCUUGUGCACAUUUCUUGAAAGGUGAAGGCAUGAGAUGGGGUUCAAAACUUGAGCAGCUUGCUACUUUAGCUCUAUAGGAUGAUGCAGAAAGUAAUUUUUUUUAACAUAAAAGACACUGUUUGUGCUUCAUCAGCUUUCAUUUUUAAGAACUUGAGAUUUCAUGAAUCGGAAAAAUCUAUGGAAUGUUGGCAUGAGGUUAUCUCGAGUUCAGUUUAGUUGAAUAGAAUACCCUUAAGCGUUGGUACAAGCCAACAACAAAUGAAGACAAUGCAGCAAAAAGAUGUAGAUCACAUUGAUGAAAACUACCGAAAGGGAGUCCAACAAAAAAUCUAUAUUGUGCAACUAGAAGAGCUAAUAUCCCAUGUACUUGACCUAGUUUUGUCUUGAUCUUAAUUAAGUAAUCGAGCUUACCUGCUUGAAAUUUGUGAAAAGCAAUUCUUAGCUUGUGGUUAUGGAGUCAUUCAUCCUUGGAUGGCUCGAUGUUCCUACCAAUUAAAUUGAGCUCUCUCUUCUCCAUGGUGGCAUGCUGUUGGAGUUUUACAAGUGAAAAAUAUGCACCUUUUUCUCCCUUUGCAAGUAGCUCACCAUGCGACCCCUCUUCCACAAUCUUCCCAUCAUCAAUCACUGAUAUUUUAUCUGAUUUUUGAAUUGUGGACAGUCGAUGAGCUACAACCAGGCAUGUCCGACCAACCAUGGUCUUCUCCAGUGCAUCUUGAACAAGGCUCUCCAAUUUGACAUCCAAUGCACUCGUUGCCUCAUCUAAAAGCAAUAUUGCAGGAUUUUUCAAGAUUGCUCGAGCAAGAGCUAAUCUCUGCUUUUGCCCUCCUGAUAGUUGCACACCUCUUUCCCCACAAUAGGUUGCAUAACCAUCCUUCAUGGAACUGUUCAUUGAAGACACAUUUGACACAGAAUUUAGAAAGUGAUUGUGCUCUGAAAAACAUAAAUAGCUAAAUGAAUAAAACAUAAAUAAAGAUCUUGGCAAUAACAAACCUUAUAAAUUCAUGGGCAUUUGCUACAGUGGCCGCUUCAAUAAUCUCAGCUUCACUUGCAUUCUCUUUCGCAUAUGCAAUGUUUUCCUGGAUGGUUCCUGCAAAUAGAGUGGGCUCCUGACUUACCAAUGCAAUAUGUAACCUUAAAGCUCUUAGAUUGUAGUGUUUGAUGUCAAUUCCAUCAACUUCAAUAGAUCCUUUUGAUGGGUCAUAGAAUCUCUCAAUCAUUCUGAUGACAGUAGAUUUUCCAGAUCCACUUUGGCCAACUAAUGCCACUACUUUUCCAGCAUCAACCUUUAGGCUUACACCCAUCAAUAUCAUCUGUUUUGGUCUUGUUGGAUAAAAGAAAUCCACCUCUUUAAAUUCGAUAUCUCCAAUAAGCUUUUCUGGUUUUAUCCCUUUGAUUUCAUCUGGGUCCAUUUUGCUCUUUCUUUCUAGAGUCAUAAAAACUGACUUUAAUGCAUUUGUGCCCUUUGAUAAAUCAGCAGUCAUGCUCCCCGUUUCUGCAAUAAGUCUCCCUGUUGCCACCAGGAUGAAAAAUGUCUGAAACAGGUGCUUAUAUGAAAUUUCUUUAUUGUAUAGCAGCCUCCCUCCAUACCAGAAAAUUAGUCCUGCACUACCAGAAGUGAGGAACUGUGAGGUAAAUAGCCCAAGCCCAGCAUACCAAGAUUGUUUAAGGCUCUCAUUCUUGGGAUCUUUCUGUGUAACCUCAAAAAGUGACAAAACCUUUUCCUGAGAAUAGAAUGCAGUAAUGAUUCUGUGGUUCCCAACAGCCUCACUUGCUAAUUCACUGCUCUUAUUCUGCGCUUUCAAGAUUUUCUUGGACAUACUCCUCAUCAUUACUGCUCUAGUAUAAAAAGCACCUAUGAUGAAUGGUUGUAAAGCGGUAACUACAAUGGCAAGUUUCCAAGCUAAAACCAUACCCAAAAUAACUGCUAAAGCUGCAGCAGAGAUGGCUUGAGUCAACAGUGACAACCGAUCAGCAACAAGAGUUCUUGCCAUGGUCGAAUCCACAGAUAAUCUCGAACAGAGAGCCCCAGUGCUGUUGUGUUCUUGAUCAAACCAUUCGAUCUCAAAUGUCAAGAUCUUUGUGAGGCUUGCCUCCCUGACCCUUCUUGUUAGGUUCUCUCCCAUAACACCAAAGUGGUAAUGCUGAAUGACAUUGGUGAUGAAAGCAAAGAUAGCAAAGGCUAAGAAGGCAAAACAGUACAUUUUUGUUUGUGAUCUAAUCUCAUCAUGGUCAUUGAUGAAGUAAACAGCUAGAAGUGCACCCAUGCAGAAAGAGCUCAUUGGCUGAACUAAUCCAAAGAUAAGAGCACCAAUGCAACCGACUAGGGUUGGCUUCCACUCUGGUGUUGUCAUCCACAUCAGUUGCCAUAUAGAUGGGGGGCUGUAAUGAUCUUCUGACUGUUGGUUGCUGUUUGUCUGAUGACUAGGUAACUGAGGACUCAAUUUGUUUGCUAUUUCUGCAGUGGGGGCAGCUUCUUCAGUGGUGGAGGUGGAAUUGUGACUUUCAUUUCCUUUAGGCUCUGAUAUGAUUUCAUCUUUCAUGAAUGUUGUUUUCUGCAGCUGCACCAUUGCUGAGUAUGGCCCGUGCCUGUUUUGUAUAAGUUGGUCAUGGGAACCAGCUUCCACUACUUCUCCAGAUUGAAUAACAGCAAUCAAGUCAGCAUUACGCAGUGCAGACAGGCGAUGUGCAACAAUUAUAGUGGUUCUUCCUAAUGAUGCCUGAUUGAAAGCAUCCUGGACAGCCUUUUCAGACUGGGAAUCCAAUGCACUAGUGGCUUCAUCAAGCAGCAGGAUUCUUGGAUCUCUUAGCAAUGCCCUUGCAAUGGAAAUCCUUUGUUUCUGCCCUUCAGACAUCUGAAUACCCAAUUGUCCUACCUGAUAAACAUUAAUCCUACGCAUUAGUAUCUUGUUCUUUUUAGUCAGUCAUAGAACUAUAUGGCAGAAAAGCAAAUGAUAGAUUGUCAUUAUUAGGUAGAUCAGCAACAACAACCAAUAUUGGAACAAAAUACCAAAGCAGAUAUUGUUUAAUACUUACCAGGGUGUCAUAUCCAUUGGGUAGUUGUGAAAUGAAGUUAUGUGCAUUGGCAGCUUUAGCUGCUUGAACUAUCUCCUCCUGUGAGGCCUCCUCUUUUCCAAAUAGAAUAUUCUCUUUGACUGUGGUUGCAAAAAGUAUAGGCUCUUGGGCAACUAGACCCAUCUGGCUUCGUAACCAUUUUAGCUGAAGGCUUUUUAUGCCAAUCCCAUCCAACAGUAUCUCUCCCCCAAGAGGAUCAUAGAAUCUUUGGAGCAAAUUAAUCACAGUAGAUUUACCUGAACCACUGCUACCCACCAAUCCAACAGUCUGGCAAGCAACCACUUUAAGAUUGAAUUUUCUUAAUACUAAGUUUCCUGGCCGUGAUGGAUAUGCAAAAUCAAUUUCCUCAAACACCAAUUCACCUUUGACUUCGGUGAUGGUUUUGCCUUGUUGAUCUGCAGAAUCUAUGCUUGGUACACGCUCAAUCAUUUCUAAAAUAAGUGCAGCUGCUGCAUUUGCUUCAGUAAAGUGCUUCACAUUGAGGAAAGAACUGCCAAGAGCACUGCAAAAAAAGCAAGUAAUUAACAGCAUUGAUCGCUAAGGGCAUAUUGAGUGUGGAAUUCAAGGAUUUAUAGCUUCUAGUGACCUGUAAAAUCAAUUGCCACUGACUCUUUGGAGAAAUUUAGAAGGUUUAUAUUAGAGGUGUAGAGGAGUAUGUUCUAAAUUUUACAUUUCCAAGCAUAAAAUUUUCAUUUUGCUAUUUCUCCUGAAGAAGGUCCUUAAAUUUAGGAUUAUUGUCCUUUCUUACCUAUUCUGUUGAGUAACCUUUAAUCAUAAAACAGAACCAUUUUUAGAUGAACUAGAUCCUGUAUUCCUAAUGAUUGGCUUGUUCCGCUUAGUCAGUGUGGUUACCAAGAGUGAUCUAGAGAAUAUUUUAAUGAAAUAGGCUUUAGAUAUCCUUUCAAUGGCAUUACGAGUCAUUCUUCUAUCAACUUGCUUUCAAAGACACCUGAAAUGAAUCACACUGUUUAAGCCAUACCACUUCGGAGGGAAAUUUCAUGUUUUAACAGUAGAAGACAUUUCUAUUUUAAUUAGUCUUGUCUUCUUUUUGCAGCAAUAUAUAGACCAGGGUUUUAAGUGUCAUGUCUUGAGAUAAUAGGGUUACAGUUUAAAAGUUGCAGCUUCUUGAGGAAGAUUGUGAGAUAUUAUGAAUAUCGCUAGAGAUAUUUCGACACCUCAAGAUCUCUCUGCUUAUACUGCUUAACUAUCAAAAUAUUAAGAUUCUUUUUCUAGUUCUUCUGUUUCAUUUUGCCACUGUGGAAUCUAUUUUCAUUUGCAACCUUGUAAUGCAAAGCCAAUUUAAUCUGCUUCUGAGUCACACCUAUGUUUACUAAGUAACUCAUUGUCUUCUUGAUUUUCUUCUGUGUUCAGUUCUUCUCUCUAUUUCACCUUCAGUUCAACUAAUCCUAAGUAGUAUAAAUUUUAAGUUAUAAGCUUGCUUGUGCUGUAAUACCUAGAGAAGAUUGAAGUAGCAAAGUUCAGGUUUCGUUUGUGAAACUACAAAAACUACAUUUUUCUCUCUUUUUAUGCUUUAUCUUGCAUAUUUCAAUGUUUAUGAGUUUACCUACAUGAAUUGAUCUUCUGUAAUUGUUUUAAUGUUUAUGUUGCUUAUGGUGUUUGUAUCUACAUCAUUGUCAACAUAAAUACCCUAUAUGUGAAUUAUUUCUCAUUUAUGCAUUUUAUUUACAAUACUUUGACUUUAAAUGGUGCACACUGUUUCUAUAAGUACUUCUAAAGUUUUAUUUUCAAAUUUCAUUUCUUCGAUACUGAUUUAUGUCAUUUUUCUAAAUCAAAGUUGCUAUUUGGUAUAUUCUUAUUUUCUCUACAACAUCUCUGUGGUUCUUGUCAUGAAGACUUUGAUAUUUAGGACCUUAGGUACAAUGCACAAAAUGUACCAGGAUUUUCACUAUCUUGGCUGGUGCAUAAAAAUAUCUAAUCCUUGUGAUUUUCCCUAUCCAUAAAGAGAUCAGAUGAAGAAAAUAUUAAAGUUUUUUCUUAUUAUAGGGAGUGUUAUAUGCAUGUGCAGGAUUUUCUUUUAGGGGGUUUAGGGGAAUGGGAGGUGGGUAGGAAAUAGUAUCUUAUGUUGAACUUACAGUCCUCCGUAUAUUAUGCACACUCCUGUAGUGAAAACAUUGCCACCUUUAACUCCUUUGUCAGUGACCAAAAUGCUCCCAUACCACCCCUGUAGUGCCCAAACGGCAUAUGUAACUCCUAUGCUGCCAAUGGCCAUUCCCUUCAUCAGUCCUUGUUUGAUCCCUAGCUUUAAAAUCGGUUCCAGUGCAACUGAAUAGCUUUUCACUGUUCUUUCCUCUCCAACAUAAGAAUAAACAGUCCUGAUUGAUGAUAUUGCCUGCUCCACAAUUCCUCCAGCAACAGAAUAAGCUUCUUGUAUCUUCUCUCCAAGCCCUGAUAACAGCUUUCCAUAUACUAUUCCUGGAAUAAUCAACAUGGAAAGUGCAGGAAUGGCAACAAUAGCCAGUCUCCAACAGAGGUACAGAGCAGUCAUUUGAGAUGUGAUGAACAUUGCUAUAUUCAUGAUGAAAUUUGGAAGCUGUCAUGAAUGCUAAAAUAAGUUAGUAUGCUGAAAGUGAAAGAUUAAGUACUUAGUUAAAGUACAAUUGUUUUAAAAGUUUUCUAUUUAGUGGAGCAGGCAAGUGACCUUCUCACUGAGAACUCCUUGUAUGACAAGAAUGUCUGUUGAAAUACUUGAGACUACUUGGGAGGUCAUGGAUGCGCCAUGAGUUCUCUCGAAGAAUCCAACAUCUUGCCGCAGAACUGCUUGUAAAUAUUUCCUGCGCAGUCUAGAAGUUUGCCUUUCUGCGGUGCGUGCCCAACAAAAUCCUUCUGUUAAAGACGCAAACAUAAUGGCCAGGAGGUGAGAGAUUCAGUGGGAUUGUUAUGGAAUAUUACACAUCAGUCAGUAGGUAAUUAUGCGAUUUUUAAGGUCAUACACACAGACUCAUGUAUAUAUCAUGGUUCAAACUCUGUUAUCAAUUGGAUGAAUCAUGGGUCCUGAGUGCUGAAAAUGAGGAUGGUUUUUCUGUUUAGCAGCCAGGUGCAUGCCUUUUUAAUUUUGAUGUCUCAAAUCCUAUCUUCCUUUGACCUCCAAUCAUUAGACAGCCAAGAGCAAAAUGAUAAUUGCAUUGAAGCUUGAAGAGAGAAUUGAGGAUAUGACAUAGAUGUGAAGAUCUCCUAGAAAGUGUGUGAAAAUAAAAAAAAUAAAAGGUCUGAUUGUCGACCCUGAAUCUAGGGAAUCAAAGAAAGGAACAUCCUAAAGAGGAAAAUAUUAGAGAUAUCUCCACAGAUUUUGUUGGACCACUAGAUGCUUCUAUAUGAUAUUGAGUCACAUCAAUGCAUGCCUUACCUGAGUUCCAUAUGUUUUCUAGGAACUCAACCUAACAUGUACACCCAACCCACAGAACUAAAACAAAGGCAAAAACCAUAUCUCUGGUGUGGUAUGCACAUAAGUCCAUUUGACUGGCUUUCCCAGAUAGGAGCCUUCUGUCUUCAAACCAUAUAAAUUCUCAUGCUCUGUAUAAAUUUCUUGCUUUGAUUAUUUCUCAUGUUCUCAUGGGGUUUGUCGACCCAAUUCCACAAAACAGUUUUCGAUAUUCAUGAGAUGAAAUGCUAGUGCAAUCUCCACUGUUCUGUGCAGGCUCUGAUUAAAUAUCUUGUUUACUAAAUCUACUAUAUUGUUUGAAAUAUAAAGAAAAGCAAGGUUGUCUCCUUGAUAGUAUAGAGAUGAAAGUUCAGACCAAAUACCUAGAAAUGAACCCGCACCUAUGCCAAGUGCUACAUAGAGUAAGGCCAAUGCGUACUGCAAAAUGGGGAAAAUAACAACUGCUUCAGUAUAUGCUUGUACUUACUGCAAGAAAUAGAUGGUUGGUUAUGAUUGUCAACCCUCAUUGCUAUUAAUUAAUAGGGGAUGUGGUAUUCUAUGAAUCCUCCCAGUUCAUUGAUUGUUUCUGCAUCUCCAGAAAACAUGGGUGUCUUCUAAAUUUAGAUAUGCUAUGGUUCAAAAUUUCUCUUAUAUUUACAAGCAGAAAAUGAACAAAAUGGAACUUUCAUACUUAAACAGAAAUUGAACGUUAACUUUUGUCUAUUAACCAACCUUAUCUAUGUCUGCAAGGGAGAGAGAUGUAACGGCGUAAGCAUUCAUCAGUUUGCUGAUAACCAGCAUCAUAGCUGACAUGGUUAAUCCGUCUGCAACACAGCCAAACGUCCCCAGUGUCAUCAACACCAUGUCCUUCCAGUCCGAGUAUCUCAAAAUCGACCGUAAUGACCCAGAUGGAGUUGCAGGUUUCCCACUUUCUUCAGGUUUGGUUGAUGAUACAUCAUCCUUCUCUAUUUUUUCAUUUCCUUCUGGUUUGCUUGUUAAUGUAUCAUCCUUUUGUGUUUCUAAAUCGAGUUUUCCCAUGUUUCAGUGACUACUGUCUGAGUUUCGACUAUGAAAAAUUGUGUAGACAAUCCAUACUACAUGUUUAUAUGGACAACAUAAUAGCCCUGGAGCCAAUUUACUAUUACUAUACCGAGCUAGGGACAAUCGUUUUAGCUGAUGUCAUGGCUUACAGUUAAUGCAUCCAGGGAUGUAACAAUCCUAUUGUGAUCUGUUAGUAUUAAAUCAGAUCAGCAUCAAGAUUGCCAUAUUAUUGUGCCUUUGAAAGUAACUUUAUCAUUAGAAUGCUUAAAUUAUUGUAGUAACAUUGACUUGGUCAUGAGGUCUGGGCUACAUGUCAAUUCAUUUCUGCCUUAUUAUAUUGUGAGAUACAGUUUCCUGUCUCUCUUGGUGUUUUUUUUUCCCAUUUCAAGUAGGAGAUACACUCAGUAUCACAGGCUUCAACUGUGGUGCAUUAUAUCAGGAGGACAAAGGAAGCUUGUCAAUACCAUUUUUUUUCCUUUGGAAGCUACUAUUGGAUCACUUUCAUGCUAAUAGAAUCAAACUAUUACUAUAUUUGGGAAGUUUAAUCUUACUUCUAAAAUUUGGCCAGUCCUGUUGCCAUUAUUUGCGCAGGAGCUGGUUGCCUUCUUCAUCAACGUCAAAGAGAAUAACACCAUCUAAAUGUGUCAAACAAUGUCUCUGAUGUGUGUAAUUGAAUCAGCAUGUCCUCCCAGUUAAUCCAUGUACUCUGCUCCAAAUCUUUUUGUAUGCAUUUUCUUGUCCAGAGCAUGACUGCCAACGCAGUUCAGCCAGUUUUCGCUCAAUUUCCAGUCUCUUUCAUUUCGUCAUAAAUCAUUUUUCUUCUUCUAAUCUCUUAGGCCAACAGAUUCGCUAAGAUUCAAAACCGUGGUCUGCUCUGCUUUUCCAGCUACUGAUAAGAAAAUACUUUUGGUCUUAGUGGUCACGAGGUCUCAAACUAGUAGCAAAUUUUGAGAAAACCCUCCCAGGCUUAGAACAAAGAAGGUAGAAAUCUUUAACUAUGAAUGGGGUUGUGAGAUAGUUGAGCUCUUCCAAAACCCUGGGCACAAGAACUUCUAGAAAAUCUCUAAAACUAUCUCAUUUCAGUUUGUAUCAACACAGGUCUAUUUUGUAGCUAUUGGAGUUAAUUCUGAAAUCUCUCUAUGUGAAUCUCGCUGUCCUCAUUCUGCUACACUAAUAUCAUGUUCCAUACAGGUGGGAUUUAUUAUUGUUAGUUAUGCUUUCUCUCUGUUCUCAGGUUACCAGAGCAAGCAGAGGAAUCCUUGAUGCUGUCGGGCUUGUUCAUGGAACACCAAUCCAUAAUAUGCAGCUCUGGCGGGUUGGUCUAGCCAACCUAAAUCUGAUAUGACAUUUGGGCAGUUGGUAGAUAGUUUAAGCUUAAUUUUUUCAAAAUUUAGUUGAGGUUGGCUCCAACAAAAAGCAACUUGAGCUUAAUCCAAGACUGGUUUAGCAUUUUUAUAAUUUAUAUUACUACACAUAAGUGUUAUUAUUAUUUUAAAAGAAAAAAAAAAUGAAAUAGUCUAACUCUACCUUACAACUUGAGCUUGACUCAAACUUGAAAGAGUUGUAUUAGGCUGAACACCUCAAAUUAAAGCUCGGGUUGAAUUGAAUUUGGGUUGAACGUUUAUUAAUUCGGGUUGGGCUGAAUUUCCUCGAAACCAACCAAACCUGCGAUGUAGCCAAGCCAUGAUGUCUGUGACAUGUAAUUCAGUUUUUCCUUCAAAAAGAGGAUGAAAAGCUUGGUUAGAGAGAGCCACAAUUGGUAAAUGACGAAGUGGUUAGUAGGGGUGGGUGUCACGUAAUUCAGUAGCAAUUUAACAAGUGAGAAAAACAAAAUCACUUUCCAAUAGAGUUGAGAAAGCAACAGAUCCAUUUCCUAUUAAGCAAAAGCCUUUAACUUCCACCCCAACAGAACCUGUAAUGUCUAGGACACGGCAUUUUCGAAUUAGGAAGCCAAGAAUCUAGGGAAUUAGAACAAAAUUUUCGUUUCAACCCAGGACCAGAUAUUUGGGAAAAUCACCCCCACACCCCACAUCAACAAGUAAUGCAGAUUGGGUUAAAGCAGGUAGGUCUGGGUCCAUGCUGUCCUUUGGAUAACUCCCAAUGAUAAGGCAACAAGGCAUCACCAGCUUGGGGGAGGUGUCAGUUAUAGAAUUGAGACCAUGAGACGCCUCAGCAAGAGCUUCCAGCCACACAAUAGAGUGCAAGCAUCCAAGUUGGUUCCCAACCAAAUAAGUCACGCAUCCAUUUCAUGGGAGAACAAAUAAUUUGACAAAAGCUAGGCCCAAACAGAUAACUGUUUUUUUUUUUUAAAUAUAAAAUAAAAAAUAAAAAAAGUACAAUGUUUUUAUUAUUUAAAAAAAUAAUUAUACAAAUGUAGAGAGAGAUUAAAAAUAAAAUAUUAAAAAUAAAAAUUAGUUUUAAAACAUACAUAUAAUCAUAUAAAACAUGUUAAAAAUAUUUUAAGUUUUUAAACAAAUUUUUAUUAUAUAAAAAAACGAAAAACAAUUUUCAAAAACUGAUUUUUGAAAACACUUUCAAAAUUGAGCAUUUAGCCCUACAUACCCCAACGCGAAUUAUGCAAGGAAUGAAAUCAAACCCAAAAUUAACCCAAAACCAACAUAGUGAUUAGAAAGCGAAAAACAUAGGAGUUGCCCAUAUGUCUAAGUAGGAACUUAAGGAUGUGUUGGAAAGAAGAUUGCCCACAAAUUUCACCCAUUUCAUUAUUAUGGGCUUUUUUGCUUGGCGUCGAAGCAUAUUUGGCUUUAGGUAAAAGACAAAGUAGUUACGAUGACUUCAUAUUCCACUUGCAGGAUAUCGUGGCUCCAAGCCUCUUACUACGUAGCAUUGCUCGUCACCUUCUUCCCUACUCUCUCUCUCUAAGAUUCUUAAUAACGUGUUUGGCAUGCAAUCUUCCUAAACUGCACAAAACACUCCUAGUUUUCCAGGUUAACUGCUAAAAGAACUUCCCCCCUUCUUUUUUGGUGUAAAAGCUUUGAAAGAGUUAACUGAAUCAACCUUAUAUAAAGGAUUGCUUGUAUGGUUAAAUCAAUUCAAUCACCAGCUAGCUUCCUUGUUCUCCAUAUUCCUCACAACCCCAUCUUCACAUCCUUCAUUAUUGUUGAUAUAGUUGAUGCCCAUAAGGAACCUUCAACUUCUUCAUUUAUUAUCACUUGUUUUGUUCCUGCACUCCCAUCUCUUAUCUUCCAUUUGGUUAUUCUUUCAUUCUUCUAUAUAUACCUGGUUCAGAGUCUCUCAGUUGCCAUCCAAGUAUCAGAAAAUGAAGCGGUUUUUCGUGGUUGCUCUCUCAUUGGUUUUGGUUGUUGGGAUUGUUGAGAGUUUUGAUUUCCAUCAGAAAGAGUUGGAGACUGAAGAAAGUUUGUGGAAUUUGUAUGAGAGGUGGAGGAGCCAUCACACUGUGUCUAGGAGUCUGGAUGAGAAGCACAAGCGCUUUAAUGUGUUCAAGGAGAAUGUGAAUUUUGUCCAUGAGUUCAACAAGAAGGAUGAGCCUUACAAGUUGAAACUCAACAAGUUUGCAGACAUGACUAACCAUGAGUUCAGAAGCACUUAUGCCGGCUCAAAGGUGAACCACCACAGGAUGUUCCGAGGGAGCCAACAUGCAGCUGGGAGCUUCAUGUAUGAGAAGGUAAAGAGUGUCCCACCAUCUGUUGAUUGGAGGAAGAAAGGUGCUGUCACACCCAUCAAGGAUCAAGGCCAAUGCGGUAAGAGAUUUUGCCAAUUUGACUGAUCAUUUUCAAGUGUUAUGCAGAUACACAGUUUUUUUCGUGCUUGUGUGUGCCUGUUCUGAGUCUAAUUGUUGUUGAUGGUGUUACAGGUAGUUGCUGGGCAUUUUCAACGGUUGUGGCGGUUGAAGGAAUCAACCAUAUUAAAACAAACAAACUAGUUUCUUUGUCUGAGCAAGAGUUGGUGGACUGUGACACUUCAGAAAACCAGGGAUGCAAUGGAGGCCUAAUGGGAUAUGCCUUUGAAUUCAUCAAAGAAAAAGGGGGUAUAACAACAGAGCAGAGCUACCCUUACACAGCUGAAGAUGGAACUUGUGAUGUGUCAAAGGUACAUGGUUAGCAACGUUUGGUUUCAUUUAAAUUAGGUGUCUUCUAAUAAUGUUCAGUGAAUAUGAAGUGAAGAUUAUGACGAUGAAAUUCAAUGGUUUUACAGGUGAAUUCGCCAGUAGUGUCUAUUGAUGGCCAUGAAACCGUACCUCCUAACAAUGAGGACGCUUUGCUAAAAGCAGCUGCAAACCAACCGAUAUCCGUUGCCAUAGAUGCUGGGGGUUCUGCCUUCCAGUUCUACUCUGAGGUAUACUCCUGUCAUCCUGACUCAUCUACAAUCUGCAUGAAAAACCUAGCAUGCAGAUUCCAAACCUAUCUACAUGGCUUCUAAUGAUUGUGGAAAACAACAAAAUAAAACUGUAAUCAUAAACAAAAAUCUACAUAUGUUUAGUAGAAUCUCAGUUUAGCUUGACUAGUUCCUAAGAAUCAUUUUCUCGUAUUUGAAAACCUAGACACUCAAUAUAACAACUCGGAUUAGAAUAUCAGUUUAGCUUGACUUGUUCCUCAGAAUCAUUUUCUCAUGUUUGAAAACCUAAACACUCAAAAUAACAACUGGGAUUGUCCCUGAAUUUGGUGUUGUUAUAUACAGGGGGUGUUUGCAGGAAGAUGUGGUACAGACCUAGAUCAUGGGGUGGCAAUUGUGGGCUAUGGAACAACUCUUGAUGGGACCAAAUACUGGAUUGUGAAGAACUCAUGGGGAACUGAUUGGGGAGAGAACGGUUAUAUCAGGAUGAAGCGAGGCAUCUCUGCUAAGGAAGGACUCUGCGGUAUAGCAGUGGAAGCUUCAUAUCCCAUCAAGAACUCCUCAACAAACCCUGUGGGAGCUCCAUCCUCUCUCAAGGAUGAGCUCUAAGCGACAUUCACAGUGAACUAUAGCUUUUUUCAGCCUUCGCAGAUAUUUUGUGUUAGAGUUGCAUGCAGCAGUCCUCAUGGUAACAUGACCAAAUAAACUUUGUCUGACAGAUUUAUAAUAGCAUCGUUAUUUUAAUGUAUCUGCUAAGAUGUGUUUCACGUAUCAGAAUGAAAUAAAGUGCUCGAUUUUACUCUUUUGUUUUACGUAUGUUUUAGCAACAUGAAAGGUUGUGUAUUGGCCUAAGGAAGAAUCGACUAACUACUACAUAAUUAUACUUUAACUAGUCUUCCAUAUGAGUUUCUAGCUCAUGCUUCAGUUUAACAGGUUGCUAGAUGUUAUAUGAUUCCUGGAAGCAUGAGGUACUGCUUGAAUUUUGUAAGAACAUACCAUUGAUCAUUUGCAAGGUUGGUAGAUACUGAUAUCUAAUUACCACAAACAAAAAUCGCACCAUUCUUCCCUGCAGUUCUAAUAUUCAUAGCCAUGAGAAGUUUUGGAAGUUAUCAUACCAGUAAGUCCUAAAGUAAACAUCAAAUGAUCACAAACACAAAGAACAUUGCCCACUAUGUUAAAUUGCCCCUUUCCAGUUGUUGUCAACACAACCCCAGAAAUAGAGAGCAUGAAAUGGAUUUUCAGUGCGGUAUCAUGAACAUAUGCUAUAAAGGGUAUAUGAUUUCAACAACUACCCAUUGGCUAUUAUAUUCUUGCUCAAUUGUAAUGAUCGAUCAGACAAAAGCUCAACAUAUCAUAGAAGCAUUUUAUUACUAAAAUGUUUCAAAGACAAUCUAGGAUGGAGUAGUUCUUAAUUAUUAAUUCUGAAGUACCAAGCAAGAAGCCCAAACAUAGUGGAAGCUUCAUCCAUAUGACAAAUCAGAUUGUUUCUAGAACGUGCUUCAAUCAUAGGUUCCCUUAAGAUUUAAUAACUAGACUAGAGUAGUUUGUAAUUAUUGAUUCGGAACUAAGAAGCAAGAACCCCAAACAGAGGUAGAAGUUCCAAACAUAAAAUUCUAUAUAAUUCAUCAACCAUAGCAUCUGAUGGGGUCAGUGCAGCCCUUUUCAGCAGACUGGCGUAAGCCUUUACCUCCACCCUUUUCCAGAUAUUGCUGAUGGUACUCCUCUGCUCUGUAAAACCUCUUUGCUGGAAGAAUUUCAGUGACAAUGUUCUUAUCAUUCAACUCCUUCUGCUUAGCUUCCAAUGAUUCACGAGCUAAACGAGCCUGGGCCUCAUUGUAGUAGUAUAUCCCCGAUCGGUACUGUGUGCCCACAUCAGCACCCUGACACAAAUGCACCAUAAACAAUUUAAAGGUCCCUUAGUCCCUUGUCCAUCAUGACAUAUCUUUUGUUCCGGUUGCUUGGGGACUGGGGACGACCAGAAAUGAGACCAAAAACAUUCUUAGUUAUAGAGCCAUACCCUACUAAAAACCUGAAAUCUCAGGAACACUUUGGCCAGCAUGAAUUAAGUCCGAAGCAUUUUGAUCCAAAGGGAAGUGUUCUGAUGUUAUUUGGGAAGCAACUUUCAACAGAAAAUCAAUCAAAAUGCAUAUUUACCAUAGCAACUCUUUAAACAGAGUCAUCAAGUACCAGACAUAAUGGCAAGAGUCUUUAACUCAAGAAAGCAUGAUCCUAAAACUCAAAAUCCAUUGGAAACCAAUAUGUUGGCAAAACUGCAAUCAACAGAGAUCUCUCGCUCAUCAAUCUUAAAUUCUCAACAGAUUUUCCAACAACCAAACAGUUAAAACCAAACCCUUUUCUUUAAUCAAGAAAAUACAAACACCCUUUUAUGCAUAUUGCACAGGGAAAAAAAAAGGCAAAAAGGAGGGUGGAAAACGAGAAAAUUAGGAAUGUACCAAAAAGCUGAAGGAGGAAAAGGAGGGUACCUGGCGAUUGAGGCUGGUGGGAUCGUGCCGAGACCAGAAGAGAGAGAGGAGGUUGGAGUAGGGGCACACAUCGGGGUCGAACUGGACCCGAACCACCUCCACAUGGUUGGUGGUUCCGGUGCAGACGAGCUUAUAGGUUGGGUCAGGGACGUGGCCCUGAGAGAACCCCACCUCCGUCUUCACCACCCCAACAAGUCGCUGAAACGCAAGCUCCACCCCCCAGAAGCACCCUGCUCCGAAUUGAGCCAACUCCAGACCCGGGUGGUCUGGGCGAUCCGGAUCCCGUUCCAGAGCCGGGUUAGUGCUGUUGGCCGCCAUUGAUAGUGAGAAAAUGUUAGAAAAAGCUGUGGGGGCUCUUAUAGAGAAGCCACAACAUUGAAAGUGAAUGAAUCUUAGCUAUAAUCCAGUCCAGACACAGAGAUCUUGUUUCUUUGCACGGAGAUGGAGAUUGGUGGGUUCUAAUAUCUUGUUUUUCUUUCCCAACAUGGAGAUAGAGAUUGGUGGAUUCAAAUGCCUCCUCACACGUGAGAAAUAAUAUGAAAUUAGGAUUCCGCAAAACAAAUCGAGGCAUGCGAAAAAAGGAAAAGCAUAGAAAAUAUGCUCCUCUUAGCACAAAGUUAAUCAACGUUCUUCUUCCAAGAUACAACGAAAAUAAUAAUAAUAAUAAUUUUAAUUUCAUGAACCAUGUAUCACAAGUUGCUCAUAAAAAAAAAAAAAAAAAUUAAAGAUGUAUUAUCACAUAAAAUUCAAAGUUAUCUCUUUUUAUAACUCUUUAAUUUAUUUAAUAUAAUAAAAAUAGAAGAAAAAUGGAGAACGCGAUUCUAUUACAUCAUAACUCCAUUUUCUCUUCAAAUAACUCACUCACUACAACAACGUUCACAAUAAUUAAGAAUUAAUAAUAAAAAUUAAGAUAAUAAAAUAUAAAAUUAAAAUAACAUAAAUAUAAUAACUAUAAAUUUUAAUUUAAAUAUAACAACCCCCACAUAAAUUAAAGGGAUAAUUGUGUUUUCAACUCAUAUAGGGUUCAUAAUUAAGAUAAGGUCCUCCAACCACCCAUAACUGAUAAUAAGGAUAUGAGAUAAUAAUUGAUAAAAAUACUCACUUGACUCAUUUUUGUCUUUAUUCUACUACUUGCCACUAUUCUUUCUUAUUUAAUUAUUUUUGGAUUUUUCAUUAUUUUUUAAAACUCUUUGAUAAAUAAUUAAAAAAUUAACAUUAUUUUUUAUUUUUAAAUUAUAAAACAAAAAUAUAUUAAUGAUUCAAAGACUAUUUUGGAAAAUACUUUCUAAAAAAAUAUUAAUUUAAAUAAAUAAAAAUUAUCUUUUACAUUUAUUUUUAUCUUUUACAUUUUAAAAGUAAAUAAUUUAAUGAUUAAAAUACCAUUUAAAAUAAAAAUAUUCACUAUUUUAAUUUUUUUAUACUAAAAAGUAUUUUAAAGUUUUUAUACUAAAGUCAAUUUUUAAAAAAUUUAAUAUAAGGUUAAUGUAGAAAAUAUAAAAAUAAUUAAAAAUAAGAGAAAAAUAUAAAUGAAAGGGUAAUAUAAAUUUAAAAUAAAAAAUGAAAAUUAAACUAAAAGAUAAAUACAAAAAGAUAAAAAAUAUUUGGAUGAAAAAUCCCAAAAUUUUUAUCAUUGCUUAUAAUAAGAGCAAAAAGAUUCAAUAUCUUUAAAAAUGAAAAACAAAAAAACAUUAUUGCUUUUUAUUUGAUAUAAAAUAGAAAUAUAGAUGGGAAGAAAAAGAAAAAAAAAAGUUAGAAAUGAGUAAUAUUUAAUAAGGAAUAAAAGGGAAAAAAAACACAAAAAAUUGAAAUUCACACUCACUUGUGCCUAUAUAAGGAUUAAGGGUAUUUUAGGGAUUAAUGAAAGACAAUAUCUUCAUUUUAAUUUUCAUAAUUUGUUUGGAUCUUGGGCUUAAAUAUGCAUGAUAUAUGAACCAAACGUUAAUUUUUGGGCACAGCUGGGCCCAAAACACAAUUCUCCCUAAAUUAAAAUUUAGUAUCGUAAAAUAGCCAAAUUACUAUGUAAUAAGGGUAGGUGUUUUCUUGUAUUUUGAAGUAUAUAAGGAAUUCAUUGUUUUGCUUCAUUACACGUCUUAGGAUCAUCUUCAACUAAGUAUGUGAAAAAGUCAAUACCAAAAUUCUUUUCAAUUCUCUCUUUUACUUCUUCUAAGUUCAAAAUUUUCUUGAUUUUCGAAGUUUAAAAUUGAAGUAGUUUUUACAACAAAGCUAGAAUUUUUUCUUCAUAAUUUAACGAAUAUCCAAUAAAUACGCAAUUUAUAGCUUUUGGACCUAAUUUUCUCCUUUUAUUUAUUGGAAUAUUUGCUUUAGCUAAACCCCCCACACUUUAAAAUAUUUUAAAUUAGGUAUCCAAUUUUUCCAAAUUUCAUAUGGUGUUUUUUUUUUAACAUUUAUAAGGAAUUCUAUUAAGAACGUGACAAACAAAGUAUAAGGCUUCACCCCAUAAAUUAUUUGGUAAACUUGAACUAGUCAAUAUAACAUUUACCAUAUCUAACAAAUUUCUAUUUUUUUUCUCUCUACAACUCCGUUAGAUUGAGGUGAAUAAGGUGUAGUAAUCCCAUGUUGAUCACAAAAAUCAGACAUUUCUUUUGAUAUAUAUUGACCCCUCCAUCUAACCUUUAAGUUUUAAUUUUAUUUUCAACCAAAGUUUAUAUAUUUUGAAUUUAUAAUAUAAUUCAUUAUUAGAGUUAAUAAGAUAAAUAUAACAAUAUUUAGAAUAAUCAUCAAUAAAUGUAAUAAAAUAUCUUAUAACGGGUAAUAAUAUUGUUCACGGUGAAUUAAUUCUAAUAAUUUAAUUUCUCUUUUAACAAACUUAAAUGAUUUUUCUAGGUUGUGUAUCUUGUAUCCAAACUUCACAUUUUGUCUUAGCAUUAAUUUCAAACUUUGGAAUAAGAUCUAAAGUUGUCAGCCAAAAUUUCAUUUGUUGUUGCCAAAAUCUUAAAAUUUUGGCCAAGAGAACUUCUUUAGACUACAAGAUCCAAUUUCUAUAGAAGUCAUAUUCAUAAGGAACUUAAGUUUAAAGAAAACCAUGUAUUUUCUCUUAAAAUGUUGGAGAUAAUAUCAAAUUAGGAUUCAACAAAAGAAAAGUUAUUAGAAUAUACUCAAAAUUCUUAAAAAUUGUGACAUGAUAAUAAUAAAUCAAAAAGUGUAUCAAUAAGAAAAUGAUAAAGAUUGUGAAAAGCUUUAUUGAGGUACAUUGAUGCGUUCUCCUAAAAGAAAAUACAUCAUUAAAAUAUUGCAAAAAAUUUAAUUCCGCAAACCAAAUGUCAUAUGUUGCUCAUCAAAAUAAAAAAGUAAAGAUGUAUUUUUAUCAUAAAAUUCUACUCUGUAAAACUUAGAGUUCUUUCUAUAGAAAGAGAGAUUUUCUUGAUUUUAACAUAAGUUAUUUUUACAAUAAAAUUCUACUCUUUGUAAAACUUAGAGUUCUGUCUGUAGAGAGAGAGAUAGAGAUUUUUUUUUGACUUUGACAUAUGUUCAUUACUCAAUUUUAAUUAUGCAUAUGUUCAAUUUAAGAUAAAUAAUCAAUUCUAAAUUUAGGCUAACCAAUUAAUCCCCCUAUGAACGUACUUUUCGGAGAAAAUUGUGUUUCUAGUAAAUGAAAACGGCGUCGUUUGUUUAAGUGUUGAAGACGAGGAUGGGUUGUUAUUUAUAAGUUAUAUUACUUAUUAGGCAUGUAAUGUAAUCAAGCGGGGAUGAGCUGGGCCUGGCCCUCUAGGCUUGGACUUCAUAUGGGCUCCAGGCUGCCAAGCCCGACCUAAGGCCCAUGGUCUGGGUUGGGCUUACGAAAGCCGUUGUCUAUUUGUACGAGUCACGAGUCGCGAACCAUUGAAUUGGAGUGGUGUUAUCCAUCGUCUGUACUAAUUUCUUUCAAAAUGGGGAGCUAAUGUAGAAGCCACUUGAAAGAAGGACCCAUGGUGGAGCUAGCUGCCCAUGACACGUCUAUGCUUUUCACAACUUCAACAAUUUCCCUGUCAUAAAGAUUGGGGGCAUGCCCACCCCCAAUCUUUUUUAAUCAUGGUCAUAGUUUUACCACCAUCAACCUUGAAGUGAGCGGUGACUCAAUUAGAUCCCCAACCCCACCCGUCAAUGAAACACCAUCAAUGCACACUCAUAAAACAAUGUUUUCAAAAGCGGAUCGGAUGGAUUGAUUAGACCAGUAACAAUUCCAAUUUGAUGCACUAAAUUGGGUUGUUUUUGCUUUGGGUCGAUAUGAGAUCGUAUAAAUUGACGUUCAAUGGCCAAACCAGAUGAAUCGACCAAUUCUUAAGGAAAGUGAGACUCAUUCUUUACUAGAUAUUGUCCUAUUUAAGGACAUAGUAGGUUUAUGUCAUCAAGAAAAGGUAAACCCUUCUCUACAUUCACUUUUCAGAUGAUGUGAGACGCUAUAAUCCAACUUUUUAAUUGGUAUGUUUAAUUAGAUAUUUGUAUAUCACAAAUAUUUCACGAUCUUUCCAUAUAGGAUCAAUAAUUUAUUAGAAAUUAAAGAGACUUUUGCUUUGCACUAGGGAUAGGCUCAACCGAACUAUGCAUCACUUUUUGUACAAUAUACACAUAUAAAAAUACAAAUGUGUUUUUCAAAUUGUUAUCAUAUCAAACCAUUAAAUAUUGUGCAAUUAUUUACAUUGACAUUUAUUUUUAUAAUAACUAUUCAAUAUGAAAAUAGUAUAAAUUAAUUAAUAUAAUAAUUUUUAAAAUUUUAAAAUAAUAAAAUAUCUAAACAUAUAAAUAAAAUUAAAUAUUAUAAUUAUUUUUCAUCUCAAAUAUAUCUUCAAACUUAAAUAUUAUACAUGUUUUAUUAAUAAAAUUUAAUACAUUUAUAUUUAUAUUCAUGAUAUAAUUUGAUAUAUCAAAUAUAAAAAAUAAAAUAUUAUUAAAAAAUUUUAAUUACAUAUUUUUAAAUUUAUAUAAUAUAUAAAUUAUAUUUAUGUCAUCUUUGAUUCAACCGCGAUUCAACCAUCAGCAUGACUAUUGAAUCAUGAAUUAGUAACUUAUUCGAUUUAGUGACCGAUUACCCAAUUUUAAAUUUAUGAAAAUCGAUGGAUUCAAAAUGGAUCAAGAUAGUAGGAGAGCCGAAACCCAAUUUAUAUAUAUAUACAUAAAAUUGAUAUGGUAUCAGAGUGAAUUCCAAGUUUUAAUGGGUUAAUGGAUCAAUACAAAUAACAUCUACAGAUUCAAUAUCCAACCUUUUAUUUAGUAUAAAAUUAAAUUAAAUUUGAUGGUAUAGUAUCAUUACCAUAAACCUUUUCAAGACACAAAAACACAGCCCCAGUACUAAGGCAAUCAUCAUAGUCUCUUCUAGUGGGAAGGUAAGGGCACAAAAUCAUAGGAUCUCUUUUGAAUUACCAGUGGGGGAUAUGCAGGUGCAGGUUGCCUUUUAAAAAAGGGGCCCUUUCCGCCAGGAAGAAGCUGAAGGCAUGAUGUUGCAUGCCUCUUUCCAGGAACAUUUCUGACCCUUUGGACUAAAAGAAUAUGUGGUAUUUUUAAAGCCAAAUGCACUCUUUGAAAUCCCACCACCUGUGGAUCAAAGUAGGAGAAUGAAGGCCUCCAUUGUCCCCCACCACCAUCACUGCUCUGCUCCGCUUUGGAAACAGAGCACUGCCUUUUUCCUCCAAAACAGAAACAUGCAGCAACUACAAUGACUUUAAUUGAUGUUUUCUUGGGGGAAAGGCAUAAUUCAUUUGCGGUAUACUUAACCUCAGUUUAAUUAAUUAAGAGUUCAUGUGGCAAGAUCUCUACGAAAAACAAUUUUUUUUUUUUUUUUUUUUUUGUUUAAAUUCAACUCGGCAUUCACCAAAUAAGGAGGUUAACUCAUAUUUUCUUCAUAGAAGGCGUGUCAAGUAUUCAUAGCCAGCCAAGAGAAUGGGACAUGUGACAACGUCCUUUGGGAAUUGUCAAGCUAUAACAAAAUCAAAUCAUAAUCAAGGGACCCUCAAUACUUGGAUUCAGAGGGAAAAAACUAGAAGAAAAAUGAAAAAAAAAUUAACCUUUUUUAUAUAUUUAUUUAUUUAUUUAAAUAUUUUUUUUUCUUUCUUGCAAUCAAAGGAAAAGUAAAGUAACUUGAAUACAAAAGUAUAACAUUGCUCCUCAUUUCCUUAGUAAAAAAUUAAUAGUAAACAAGUCACUAUCAAAAGAAGCUUAAGCUACAAUCUAUUUCGUGACCAUUUUUGUAUGUGUUUAUAGAAUGCUAGUAAUGAAAAACACAUGCAGUGUUCAAAAUCUUGCGAAUACUCAGUUUCAAAGCUUAUAGUCUGACUAGUAUUUUGAUUAAGAAGUGACGAAUUGUAGGAAUGAGAGAGGCAAUUACAAAAUGAACUAAGUAACUUGCAUUCCCACUAAAAGGAAAGUUGUAGGUUGACAGACAACGACUCGACUGACUUACCCUACUUCCUUACUCUUUCACUCACCAACCUUUAAAACAGGGGUCCCACACUAGACAACAACAAGAGAAAAAGCCAAAGGACACUUCACUUCAUUUACAAACAACCAGUAACCCAACGCAAUUCUUUGAUGAAUAAGCAAGAACCGCAUGCGUACUAACAAUUACUCCUCACAGUCUAAAGCUUCCAAGUCCAUGGCGGUGAUCCAGGGUCUGUCUUGGCUCCUCUUCCCUUUUCCUCUUAGGCAAGGACAAGGAAGACAUGGCUUUGGCUGACACCACCUUCCUUACAAGUAGCUUCCACCUUGCAUCCUCACCCUUUUUCACUUGUUGUGCUUUCAAUUUGAAUUGCCUGUCAAAUCCACAAAAACCAAAAUGAUCAAUUCGAAGGCAUAUUCAUAAAUAAGAAAAGGGUGGAGGAAAAUGGUAUCUUAGAAAAGGCCAUAGGUUGAUGGAACUUGGGACCCACUCUCUUGAUAUUUAUAAAUACACGAGUUAGAGGUGAGAACUUGUAACAUCAUCUUUUUCACGGUAGGCCACAAGCAACCAUGACUCUUUCAGAGGAUAUUUCUUAUCAAGAUAAUACCGAUGAGAUUUUUUUUUCCUGAUAGUUCUGAAGUAUAUGAGAUGAUGGUUAAAAUGACAAACUACCAAACACUUGGACUAUAAAACAAACUCAUAAAUCUUUUUCAAACCAAUAUGAGAUGCAUUAAAGGAUGGAUUCUCUCAUUUGAGCCACAAGUUAAAGAGGGUCAUUCAAUGGGUUGGAUUCAUUGAAUCAUCGUAAGCCUUAGUCUAUUCACAUUUGUAAUCACCUAUUGAUGUGAAUGACCAGAUUUUGGCUGAUAUAUGAUUUGUGAUAUUGACUCUUUCUGCCAGUCUUGUCUAUGGGGGCUGCGAGCGUGGGUCCAAUCGAAUGGAUGAGAAUUGAGAACCAAUGAAGCAUGACUUAAAGAUGCAGGGGACCGUGUCCUUUAUGGAGUAAGAAAAUGAAAUAAAAUGAAAUGAAGCUAUGGACCACUGUUUUUACCUGCAAAGAGGAACUCUGCACAAAUCGGUUUGGUCACAGAUGGAGGAGUGAAGGCGGAGGAGCUGCCACAUGCGCUUGCACCGAGAGCAACCUCCAUUGACCCUCUUCUUGCAGGUCCCGAAGUGUUUAAUUAGCAUCUGCAGACCAUGACACGUUGAAAACUUCCCACAUGGCCCCUUCUUAGUUGUAGGCUCCAGAUGGUAGGGCCCAACGCUCGUGCACCCUUCUGUGCAUAUAUGCUCCAAACAUUCCAUCGCCUCGCUCAGCUGCAGAUACAAACACCUUUCCUCCCUACGCCGCCUACUUCGCUUCUUCCUCUGUUUUACGUUAAUUAUUAAAGCAAAAGUGAAUAUUUUCCCAUAUUUUUAAGGGAAUCCAAAUAGAGGGAUAAAAGGACUCUGUUGCGGUGGCCUUACCGAUUCAGAUUCUUCCAUGAACUGCAUAAUCUCGAGCUCGAGAUGGGGGUCGUGAUCUUGCAAAAACAUCCAACCCUCAGUCUUCUCCACUGUCUUGAAAUGAUCCGAGAUCAACCUCAUGCACUUAAUGUAGAGAUCUGGGGCAUCGCAGAGCCUCGCGAGCUGAAGCACGUCCACUACAUUGUCGUUUGUCAGCCGCUUAGCCAAUCCUUUGGUGCAUCUCUGCUUCAGCUGUGGGACCAAAAACACAUGCGACAGAGCCAGCAGAUGAAUUCCAUACGUCUCCAUUUCAUCGUCUGUACACCUGCAGACCAGGGGUUUUUUUAAUCAAUUAACACCUCGAUUAAGCUAAUCCCGAUCCAAAUCCUUCCACUAAUACAGGGCAAAUACUCUAAUUUAUGAAAACCGAAAACCGACCACUGAACCGUGGGGCUCUCGAUGCGCCACGUGUGAUAGAUUGUAGGCGGACGGCUAGCAUCCUUGGACGCUUUUUAUUUUUAAUUAAUAUUGAAUAACUUUUUUCUUUUCCCAAAAGUGUAUGAAGAACGCAAGUGAAGAAUAUCUAAUUCUGGUCCACCGCUCAGAUCGGGCAAAAGAGCCAAUCGUUGGACCAGUGGCGGCCAAGAUUUCAGCAAGUCAGAAAUUAAAAAUGGAGUGCGGAUGGCAACUGACCACGACGAAUAGAGGAACCGAACGAACGCCAAAACGGCGUCGCAGGGAACGCCGAGGAUCGGAAUGAUCUUCUCCGAUCGCCGAUACUUCCGUGGCCGAUCCAGAAUAUUCUCCAGUACCGGUGAAACCGAAGCCUUCAAUUCCAAAGAAAAAAAAACCAAUACCAAAACAACAAAUAUAAGAAAAACAAUCAAAACUCAUCGAAAAGAUUCAGAAAACCAAAAAAAAAAAAAAAAACACCCUAAGUUCAAGAAAGAAGAAGAAAAAAGGCAAAAUCCAAUUGAACGUUACCAAGACGGAAGCGUUAGCCGGAAUGCGAAGUCCGCCAGACGUGACGAUAUAAACGUCCGGCUCACGAAUUGCACCGGAGAUUUGAUCGCAGUCAGAGGCGAGUUCCAUAUGUUCGUACAUGUCACCGGAAAAGUUAAACGGCGGCGAUGCUGUGGUGGUGGUGGUGGUGCUAAUUUCUUUCCUCAGAGAGAAACGUGUCGUUCCAGAACGUGCGAGGGGAAUGAGGUUGCUCCCGAUUUUAUAGGCGCGACGACAGAAAUGCGAAGCGCUUCUCAUAUCCCCAAGUGCUCUACCAGGUGCGUGAACCACACUGCCCGAUAUUUUCACGGCUAGAUAUCUAAAGUUGGAGCUUAUUUAUUUAACUACAUUAGUUUGACCAUUUCCUUUUUCAAACCUCUUACACAAUCUUCCUUAUUUAAUUAUGCACAUGGAUGAAAUGAAAAGCAACACUAAUGUCUAGCACGUUACAAAACUUAAGAGCAUGUUUCACAUUGUGAUUUCAAAAUAUUUUUCAAAUAAAAGAAAAAUUUUAAAAAUAAAAAUAAUAAUAUAAAAAGAUCAGAAAAAGUAAAUAAAAUAAAAUCGAUCUCUCAAUUAUCUACAAUUUUUUUAUAAAUUUUAUUUAUUUAUUUUUUAAUUAUUAAAAAAUGAUUUCAAAUCUAAUCAACACAUCAAUUAUUGAUUUUUAAAAAUAAAUUAAAAGUAAAAAGUGUAACGAACCAAAUGAAAAAAGGUAUUUUCAAGCAUUCAAAAAUACUUUUAAUUUCUUUAGAAUUACAGUCCACAUCAAGUGAAAAAAGCUUUUCAUGGUAGCUUACGGGCGCGUGGGUAACACAAAAAUGAGUUGUGCAGCAACUAGGAAUCCAAAUUUAACCCAUGUUUAUUGGGUGUCCAUUUUAGGGGGAGGUGGAUGAGUUUAGAAGGUGAGGUGGAAAGGAUAAGCCACCUCGUCAGCUGGGGGCAAGGCCGAGUUGAAAUAAACGGCUCUUGGGGCCAAGAAGCGCCGGUUCACCAGGUCUGACGGGUCACUCGUUCUGAUCCGUUUCAUCCCUACUUGUUCCUUUGUUUAGUGACAUGGCGACACCUAGUGUCCCAUGUGGCAUAAAGCGAAUCACCGCUAAACGAAGCUGGAUUGAUCAAUGACUGGUUGACACGUAUGAAAAAAGAAGAAUGUGGGCCCACGACCCUUUUGGCGUGAUCAAGGCUCCGGUGGUGCGCCGCGAGAAACUACUAGAAAAUGCGAGAAAGUAGGUGUUUUGUUUGGUUAGAAUGGAUUGGGGUGAGUGUGAUUAAAGAAGUGAAGUUGGUUGGGAUAUGAAAAAGGUUAGUGGAUUAUUCUGAUUAAUUUUUAAUUCAACUUGGAAGUGGUCCCCUUUCUUCAAAGAAGCUUAUCCAAAGGUAGCUUUUUCAGUGUGUUUAUUUUAUUUAUUUUAUUAUUUUAAAAAGAUAAAAAUGAAAACAGGAUUAUCGCACUCUGAGUAUGUGAGUUAAUUACAUGUAUCCAUAGCUAAAAGGAAAUGCAAAAGCGAGAGAGAAUCAACACGUACAAGUCUCCCAUUAAAGGGAUUUCAUCUCAUUGUCCUCUUAUCCAAGAGACUACCUAAUUGAUGGUUUUAUCCAUUUUGGGCGACUCUCGAAGUCCAUAGUAGGUAGGAUGUAGGAUGGUAAAUUCGCAACUCUCUCUAAUAAAUAAAUUAAUAUCUUGGUCCAUAACGAUUAAUGAAAAUAAAUAAAUAAAUAAAAAACAGAAAAUCACAUGGACCAACAUCACUCAUCUAAAAAUAUCUCGAUAUGACCCAAACCCACUUACUUACAUUCAACCAAACAUCUCUACUCUUGAAAUUAUUUCAAAAGCUAAGUGUGCAACAUGAGUUAUCAAAAGUGAGUAUAAAACUAGGAUAUAACACCGCAUAGUCUUUCCCUAACCCUCAUGCCAUUCAAAUUUAGCCUAGUUGAUUUUUUGAUAACAUCCCUUAUGCUUGCAUCUAAUUAUGAAUAUAAAUUUGUAGACCCGAAUUCUUGACAUUCAUCCCCACUCGACUGGGCUUUCUAUUUAUAAAAAAUAUUUUUUUUUUUGUAAAAAGUUUGGAGUCAUCAUUUAUUUUUUUAAGGGAAAACAAAAUAAUUUCUUAUUUUGGAAAAAUUUAUCCUCGAAAACUCGAGUUUAAGUCCAAAGGUCAAGUUACACUACAAUAAUGGUAGCACCUCUAAGCCCUAUACCUACCGUUUCUAUCAAACGAAUAAAAGGAAUUAUGAUAAUUAAUUAAUUAAUCAUUAAUAACAAGAUUAAAUACAUAAAUCAAUAUACACAAAAAUAAUCAUGAAAUCAAAUUAUAAGAAUGUACAAGAUAAAUGACAUGAAAAUUAUGCAUAUUGAUUUAUUAAAUAAAUUGAAAGAGAGGUUUAAUGAUUUCAAAGAUCAAACAUAUUUUCAAGAAAUUUCAAAAAAGGUUUGUUCACAUUAAAAAGAAUUUUGAAUUAAUUAUUUAAACUAGUUUAUUUAAAAAAAAAGUUUCAAUUUAUUUUUAAUAAUUGAUUUGAUUCAAUCUUAUUUGUAUUCAAUUAUUAUUCCCAAGAAAUUUAUUUAUACCUCUUACUGUUAAAAGAGUUUAUCAAGAACAAUAAAAAAAAUGAGUUUAUAAGAAAAUGAUUUUUAUUUACAUAAAAGAAUGAAUUUUUGUAAUUUUAUUUAAUUAUUUCAUUUUAAAUUUUAUUUAAGAAAAAGGGAUUUUUACAAAUUAUUUAGAAAAAAAAUAUUUUUUUUACAAAUUUAUCUACAAAAGAUAUUUCUUUAUUUUCAAAACCCUUAAAAUCCAAUCCAAUUUUAUUAAUACAAAAAAAAAUAUUAAUAAGAAAAUGAUUUUCUAAAAAAUUAUUUUAAAAAAAUGUUUCAAUCCUCUCUUUUAUUUACAAAAAAUUAUUUAUUAUUUGAUUUUAUUAAAAAAAUCUUAUCUUUGUUUGAUUUUAAAAAAAGGUUUAUAACAUUAGGACUUGAAAAAAAAAUAUAAACAAUGUUAAAAAAAGGAAGAUGUCAAUUCAAUUUUAUUUAAGAAAAGUCCAUUUACAAAUUUAUUUAUGGAAAAAAAAAGGUCUCUUACAAAUUUUCUUUAAAAAGAUGAUUUUUCAAAAUUUUAGUUUAAAUAAGGAAAUUUGUUUAACUUUUAUUAAGAAAAGAAAUUUGCCUUUUAUUUUAAAAAAGAAGAUUUUUUUCAUACGUUUAUCUAAAAAUAAAAUUUAAUUUAUCUUUUAUUCCAAAAUAAAGACCUUUUCACAAUUACAAAAAAAAAAAAAAAAUCAAACAAUUUUUAAAAGUUUUUUUAAUUAUUUACAAAAUAUCUUGCAAUCCUUUUUUAUUGACAAAAACCAAUUUUUAUUUAAUUUAGAAAAUAUUUUUUAAGAAAUAUAUUUCAAUUUAUGUUUUUAAAAAACUCUCAAAUUUAUAUAGAAAAGCUUUACAAUUUAUUUUAAAAAAAGUUGUCCCCCUUUUAUUCUAAAAAAAGAAAAAGAAAAAGAAAUUAUUAUUUGAAAUUUGUUAUAAAAAAUUAAGAGGAAAAAAAGUUCAAAUUUAUUAUAAAAAAAAAAGUGAUAUCAUAUUCUAAAAAGAAAAUCUCAAUUUAUUAAAAAGGGAAAUUCGAUUUUAUUAAAAAAAAAUAUUUUUCCUUUUCAAUUUUAUUCUAAUUUUUUUUUCUUAAUUUUAUUUUAUUUUUUAAAAAAAAAACUGUUUUUCAAUUUUUAUUUCAAAGAGUUUUAUUUUUCUUUUCUUUUUAAAAAAAGUUUCUAUAUGAUUUUAAGAAAAUUAUUUUUAUUUAUUAAUAAAAAAAUCUUUAAACAAAUCUAGAUUAUUCAACAAACGUUUCUUUAAAAGGACUAAAUUUUUAUCCCAAAAAGAAUUUCGGUUCAUUAAAGGCAAGAAAAACAAAAUAAAAUAUUUUUCAAAUUAAAACAUUAUCGCAGGAUUAUUCCACCAGCGGAAAAAUAAAAUAUAAAUAAAUAAACUACAUUUUUCAUUAACAAAUAAUAAAUAAACAAAGGCUAACAAAACAUAUUAAAUAUGGUUAACAAAUAAAACAAAACAAAAAUAAAUUAAUAAAUAACAAAUUAAACAGAUAUGUACAAUAAAAAUCUGAACAUUAAUAAUCCAUUGACAUAUGUGUAAGGUAAUACCAUUCUUUCUCUACCUCUUUUUGCCUACAAUGCAAAGCCAAGAUACCAGCAAGCCUAAUCAACAACAAAAAGGCAAAGGGUUAAAGGUAUUAUAAAGCCCAAGAUAAUAUCCAAUAGCAAGCCCAAGCAAAAAUCAAAAGAAAAUAAAUUGAAGCCUAACAACCCAAACCAAAUAGCAAUAAGCUCAAAAUUACACCAAACUUAACCCAAAGCCCAAUCUCUUAAACUAAAACCAAUAAUCACAAGCUUAUGAGCCAAAACGUAAAAUACAAGAAACCAAAAUUUUCAAACAAUGUAUUGUGAAAAUCAAAAGGAAAAAAAGGAAAAGAAAACUUACCCAUUUGUGUUUCGGGAAGGCAUGAUUGACAAUGAGAAAGCAUUUGUAGAUGACAACAAAGUUAGCCAUGGGUGGCAGUGAGCUGAAAAAAAAAAAGAAAUAAAGUGAAAUAAAAUAAAAUAAAUAUAAUUAAGAAAAAUAGAGUGAGAUGGAAAGAGGUAGAAAGAGGAAGAAAAAUAAAGAAAGGGAAAGGUAGAGGAUUGGCGUAUGUUAGAGUAGGAUGACAACGAUAGAUGGUCAGCGUGGAGACGUUGUGUUGAGGCCUUGCGUCCCAAUGAUCCACGUAGCUGCCAAGUGGAUGCACGCUUUCAACCAAGAUUGAGUUCUGGUUCAAUUGUCCCUGCAAAAGAUGUCCGAACAGGGUGUCCGGACACACCCUCCGAUGGUUUUGUCAGCCAUGGUUCUAGAGAUUAAGCAGUUGGUCUUUUUCUAGGUAUAACAAGCUUACCUUCCUCCUUGUGUGAAGGUCCAUAUAUAUAGUGACAGAAACUCUGCCUUCCUCUUUAAUGGUGGGAAGACUUUUUGGUUUAUUAUGAUGCCUCUAGGUGGUGGCAAGGCCAUCAUCACCCUACGGGUGGCUGUUAGAGAUCGUGGGAGGCGACGUGGCUAUCAGAGAUCGUGGGAGGUGAUUUGCCAUCAUUCCUGUCCUUUCGCUCUGCAAGUGGCGGAACGUGGGUUGUGGCAGGCUGUCGGAAUGACGUAGUAAGACUUGCUCACUUUAGUCAAUGAUCCGGACAACAUAUCCGGAUAGGAUAUGCUAUAGUUCGGAUGUGAUGUUUGCGAGUGUCGUGUGCUUCUCCUUGAGGAAGUCCGGAUAGGGAAGCACGCCACGUGUCCCUCUUUGGGGAGUCUAGAUGAAGUCGCUCCGGACAGCGAGGCGCGCCACGUGUUAUCAGGGGAAGGGGUCCCUACAAUGCCCCCCUUUUAACUUGCAGAUUUUGCCCGAGCAGAAUAGGCGGGUUAAAAAUGAUUGUUUUUGAAACUGAGGUUACUUUUUGUGCUCAUUGGGCCACGUGGUGCGCUGAGGCGAAGAGGAACAAGAGCAUUUAUGAUGAGCCGCCGUCUCUGGGAUUUCCCAGGCAAUGUGUCUUUUCAAUAAUGGCGCGGCUGAGCGGUUAGAAUACCGAGGGGCUGUCUUUCGUUUUAAAUAGCAGACCGAGUCCUUCACUCUUGCAUUUUUUUCUUCUGCAUUUUCUGUCGGUAGUGUUUUCUCUUCAGCCUUCUGCGUAUCUUCGUUUGUGAGUGAGGUUCUAAGGUUUUCUGCUAGCAAUACCCGUAUCAUGACGGUGACUACAUCGCGGACUUCAUCUCCAUUUUCCCAUUUUACACUCGGUAUGUUCUCUAUUCCUGUUUUCUCCUCGUUGUGUUUGCUUUGUGGUUGUUUCUGGCUUGUUAGGCAAGCUACUUGCAACUGGGAGUCGGUAUUGGUUUCUAGGGCUUUUUCAGGGGGUUUUGAUCGUGUUUUGGGUGCGUUAGGGUUUUUGUUGCCCCCCUACGCCCUUUGUGGGCUACCGAUUCUUGUUUGUGCUAGAGCCAAGGGUUGGGAUGGGUAUGUUGGUGAUAUUUAGGUUUUCUGGGCGUUUUUGCUGUUUAGAGUUGUUGAGGCCUGGUCUUUGUUUUUUACUGUUGGCAUUCUGCCAUGCAGGUUCCGUUUCAACCCCAUUCUCAAAAAUGUUUGCGAACAAGGACGCUGCUUCGUCUAGCGUGGCCGGGCAGAGCGGCAAAGAAGCGUCUGGAGAGGUCCAUGCGAAAAAAUCCGUGGACAAGCUGAACGUGAGGGAGUUCUAUGAACGCUUCUGCAUCCCGAAUGGCGUGUCCGUUCAGCUUGUGGACGGAGAGGCUGUAUCGACUGAAAAAUCUACAGACAACUCUAUCUUCUUUACCAAGGAACAAUUCAAUGCUGGGCUCCGAUUCCCCCUUCCAUCGCUGUUCAGAGAAUUUCUCCAUUUCACCCAGAUUCCCCCAGCCUACAUCCAUCCUAACAUAGUCCGGGUGCUGAUGAGGUGUAACAUUCUAAGUAUGCUGUUACCUGGACCUUUCAUUGUUGGAGGUCCUUUUCAUCUACUCCAUCAAGAAGGGGAAAAAUGACAUCUUUAGCCUGGCUGCCCACUUGUCUUCUCUCCACUUGGUGACUGAUUUUCCACACUCGACGAAGGGAGGAGCCAAGGGGCAUGUAUUAGUCCGAGGUGUCUGGGCUGGGCUAUCAGAGCAUCCGGAGAGACCGUUUUCCCUAAAUCGUUCGCUAGUGCUUCCGAGUAAGGCAGUUUAUGGGGUUUGUCCGGCGUUCGUCUAUUGUGCUUCUUAUUUUGGGGUUAUCAGAUGGCUAAUAUCUUUGGUUGCUGAUAAUACAGGUAUGGACAAGAGGGGUCGCGUAGUCGAGUGGGUGGAAAAAACGUCCUUCGAUCGAUUGAACAAGCUAUUUGAGAUUACUGCCGCUGAGAGGCAUCAUCAGACGCUGCUUACUGCACGAAACUUGCUGGCCUUUGUCCGGGAGCCCCAGGUGUACGUCAUCAAUAUUCUCCCUAGGAAGUUGCCAAAAAAGGUAGUGCCUGGGGAGCAUUUCGUUUUCAAAGAUCUCCCAUUCUACAAGGAGGUGCGCAAGGUAGACGCCCAGGCACGUCGAGCACGUCUCACCGAACGGGAGGAAAGAAGGCAAGAGAGGACUUUGCGGAAGGCCCCUGGUGAUAAACGCUCCGUGCCCUCUCCUCCUGCUGGCGCCCCAGCGGGAAAGAAGAAGAAGGUUCCCAUAAAGGGAAAAACAAUAAAACCUCCAACUCCCACAAAGGGAGUAGUAAUAAAAUCGCCAGCUCCCACAAAGGGAAUAGUAGUAAGUUCUCCAACUCCUGUGAAGGGAAUAAUAAUAAGAUCUCCAGUUUCCUCCGGCUUGCCCUCUGUUUCAAGCGGUUCCGGACAUCUCGUGGGUCUAAACGGAUCGGGGCCUUCAAUGCCAGCGGCUGAACGGAUGGCUCUUCUGGUUGAGGAAGCAACCUCAGUGUAUCAGCCUGGCUCUUCCCUUCCGGACGCGGGUGUGGCCAGGGCCUCUUGUGCUGAAACGUUGCCUCCUAUGGCGCCUCCAAUGGAAGAAACGGGGGUUGAAAAGCAGGGUUUGCCCCUUUGUGAGUCGAGCUCCCUUACCCUUGUACCGGUGAAGGGGCCAGCUACGAGGAGGUCUCGUCCGGCCCGCGAUUUAAAGUCUGGCAUCAGCGGGCGACUUUAGGAUAUUCUUCUGGAAACCAUCGAAGCCAGCUGCUCAUCCGCCCAGGAGGAUCAUCCGGAGGAGAGUGAGACGGAGAUGGCGGAAGAGAACCCAACCGACCCGAUGUUGGUCCCGGAUGAGGGUUUGCCCGAAAAGAUCCAGCCGGCCAUGAAUGAUGGGGGCCCGGAGCCGGGGGAGGAGUCACACCCUAGUGCCUUGUCAGGGGGGAGUCCCGUUGAUGAGGCAGUUUGCACCUCCACUAGCCCUUUCAGCUAUGCGGAGUUGGGAGAGAUGUUGAAACAGAUUCCAUCCUGCUCAGAUGUUGCUGCGCCUUUAGCGAAAAUGUUUGAAGCGGCGGAAAUGGUAUAUCUUAUCCUCCUUUGAUUUUUCUUGCCAUACUGGUGUGCUUUUUACAUGGCUUGCAAUUUGAACUUCUUGUUGUGAGUUUUUCUGCAGCUGGUGAGAGGUAUUCGCGGCAUGGUUCGUCAACAAUAUCUUUUUAUAGACCUGCUGCAGAUUUCCGAUUACAUGAAGGCCUUCGUCUCCCAGCGCAUGAGCGAUGAAGAGGAAUUGCGCUCGAGAUUGGAGCAGGCCGAAGCUAGCUUAUCCGCUGUCCGAAGAGCCUCUGAAGAGAGUGCUGAAGCCUUGAAGAGGUCCCAGGAUGACAACGAGGCUCUCCAGAUAGAGCUAGCAGAGGUGAAGAGCCGGGAGGAAGCUACAGACGCCCGCCUGUACGAGGCGGAAAACGAGACGGCCCAGCUGAGGGGGGAAGUGAGACAACUCUGGACAGAAGUGUCAAUUGAGAAAAAACAGAAAGAGGAUUUGCAGUUGCGCUUAUCAGCGCAAAAAGAAGAGUUGGAGGCUGAGUUUGCUACGGAAAAGGAGGAACUUGAGACGAAAUACUAGAAGCAGGUAGACGAGAUGUAUCUCUUUGGCUACCGUUGCUGCAUGAAGAAGCAUGGCAUCAAACGGGACGUCCCUUCGAUUUCCCCAGGCGAGGAAGAAAAUUUACGUCGCAAGCCCUCCCAAUGAGAGCUUUUCUUUUUGUAACUUUUACUGCUAUUUCUCUCUGUAUUAGUAGUCCGGAGAACCUUUUUUGUAUACAAUUUUCACAAGUAUUAAUAAAACAUACUCAUUCACAUUGUACUUUGUAUCUUUCUUUCAUUGGUAAUACUGCUUUAGAUUGGAUAUAUUCCAUGGUCGGAGCAAUGGGGUUCUGUCUAGCUUCUAUAGAUGAUAGGCUCCACUUUCACUUGUCUUGACCACUAUAUAGGGGUCUUCUCAAUUGGCUUGAAACUUUCCUGCUCCUGCCUCAGCAGUGUUUUCGAAAACCUUCCUAAGGACCAGCGUUCCACUUUUGAAACUUCUGGGUCUUGCCUUGCGAUUGUAGUGAGCGACUGCCCUUUGUUGAUAGUUUGCCAUCCGGAUGGAUGCGGUCUCUCUUACUUCGUCUGCCCAGUCCAAGUUUCUUCCUAACUCCACAUUUGCAUCAUCCUGCCUUCCUACCUCGGUCCGGAUAGUGGGUAGCCCUAUUUCAGUAGGAAUGACUGCAUCCAUAUCGUAUGCGAGGGCGAAAGGAGUGUUUCCUAUCGGACAUGUGGGUGUGAUUCGAUAAGCUCACAGGACGCCGGGUAGCUCCUCCACCCACUUUCCUUUGGCUUGCUCGAGCCUAUUCUUUAAGGCAGUUAUUAGGGUCUUGUUUGUGGCCUCUACUUGCCCAUUACUUUGAGGAUAACGUGGUGUGGAGUAUGAAUUCCGGAUGUUUAGUUCCGAACAAAAAUUCCGGAAAGCGAUGCUAUCAAACUGUGGACUGUUGUCGGCUAUAAUGGUUUGGGGGAUUUUGAAGCGGCAGAUGAUGUUAUUCCAUACGAACUUGGUGACAUCUUUGUCUUUGAUGCUAGCGUAUGCUUCAGCUUCCACCCAUUUACUGAAGUAAUCCGUGGCGACGAGCAGAAAUUUCUUCUAGGCAGCUGCGGCUGGUAGGGGUCCUACUAUGUCCAUGCCCCACUGCGCGAAGGGCCAGGGGCCUGAAAUUGGCUUCAACGUCUCCGACGGCACAUGUGGUAUGAGGACAUGCUUUUGACAUUUGUCACAUUCUUUGACAUAGGCUGUCGCAUCCUUUUUCAUCGUGGGCCAGUAAUACCCUUGCGAAUGGGCCCUGUGCGCCAGAGAUCAACCUCCGAAAUGGUUCCCACAUACCCCCUCAUGCAACUCAGCUAAAACGUAUAAGGCCUCUGAGUGGUUUAGGCACCUGAGAUAGAGACUUGUAAAGGACCGCUUGUACAAGUGCCCCCCGAUCAUGGUGAAACGGGCAGCUUGCACCCGGAUCUUGUGUGCCUGCUUGGGCUCUUCGGGCAGAGUGCCUGUCCGGAGGUACCUUAUAAUGUCUUCCGUCCACUCUUGGCCGUCUGCUUGGCUUGCCUCAAUGAUAUUGCAAGUGGAGGCUUUCACGACGGAAGGGUUGGUUUGCACAUGUAUAGGCAAUAAUAUGACUUCUUUGAUGGGGAGGGAAGCAGCUAUGCCUGCCAGGGCGUCGGCACGUCCAUUUUCAGUUCGUUUAAUUUUUUCGAUUGUCCAUUCGGUGAACCGUUGUAAGGUGUCCCUUACUUUAGUCAGAUAUCGCGCCAUGCGCGCAUUUUUAGCUUCGUAUUCCUUCUGGACGUGCCUUACCACGAGUUGGGAAUCACUAUAGACCCAGAGCCUGGAGACGGAUAGAGCCAUGGCGAGGUCCAAUCCGGAUAGGAUGGCCUCAUACUCCGCUUCAUUGUUAGAGGUGGGGAACCCCAGUCGGAUGGCUUGCUCCAGAUGUUUUCCUGUUGGGGAUUGCAAUAGGAGUCCUACUCCGGAUCCUGAUGACCGGGAGGCCCCAUCGACCCGCAAAGUCCACCACUCUUUUUCACUUGGUUCCUUGCACUGAAUAGGCUUUCGGGAGUAUUCCAGCACGAAAUCAGCCAUCAAUUGGCCUUUCAUGGAUAACCUGGGUUGGAACUCGAUUCCAUAUUCGCUCAACUCUAUGGUCCAUUGAAGCAUUCUUCUGGUUAAGUCCAGUUUGUGCAGGAUGUUGCGAAGGGGUUGGUCAGUUAGCACGACCACCGGGUGGGCUUGGAAGUAGGGGUGGAGCUUCUGGGCUGCACUUCGAAGAGCCAAGGCUGUUAGCUCCAUCUUUGAAUACCUAGUUUUUACGUCCGCCAACACUCUGCUAACAUAGUAAAUAGGUUUCUGCUCCUUGGGCGAGGGGCAACGGAAUAGAACAACGCUAAUUGCCCACUCCGAUACAACCAGAUACAUAUACAAUUUUUCUUCAGGAAGGGGGCUACUCAGGAUGGGCGGUUGCAUGAGGCAAUGUUUAAUUUUUUCAAAAGCGCUCUGACAACUGUUUGUCCAUCCGCUCGCUCCACCUUUUCGAAUUACCAAGAAGAAGGGUCGUAGUUCAUCAGUGAAACGGGCUAUAAAGCGUCCUAGUGCGACGAGCUUGCCUGUGAGGAGCUGUAAUUCCUUUUUGCUCUUGGGGGGUGGUGUUUCCAUGACUGCCUUCACUUGAUCUGGGCUAACUUCUAUCCCCUUUUGGCUGACCAUAAAUCUCAGGAAUUUUUCAGCACUUACGCCAAAGGCGCAUUUAGAAGGAUUCAACUUCAUGUCAUACUUCCUUAAGAGGUGGAAGACUUCUUGCAAGUGGAGGACAUGUUCCUCUCAGGUUUUGCUUUUAACCACGAUAUCGUCAAUAUAUACCUCUAUUGUGCGGCUGACCAGAGGUUUGAAGAUCUUCGUCAUUAGUCUCUGAUAAGUGGCGCCAACGUUUUUGAGUCCGAAUGACAUGACUUUGUAGCAGUAAAGACCGUGUGGCGUUAUGAAGGCUAUUUUUUCUUCGUCAGCCGAGGACAUGGGGAUUUGGUGGUAUCCGGAGAAAGCAUCCAAGAAGGAGAGCAUCCCUUGCCCAGCAGUGGAAUCCACAAUCUGAUCUAUCUGUGGCAAAGGGAAACUGUCUUUUGGGCAUGCAUUAUUGAGGUUGGUGUAAUCGACGCACACCCGCCAUUUGCCUUUCUUUUUGGGUACCACCACUACAUUUGCCAAUCAGUCUGGGUACUCCACCUCUCUGAUGAAUCCGGCUUCCAGCAACUUGUCAACCUCAUCCCGGAUAAUCUUUUGUCUGUUCGGGUGAAAACGUCUAACCCUCUAUCAGACGAGUUUUUCUGUUGGCAAGAUGUUAAGCUUAUGGGAGACGAUGGAGAGGUGAAUUCCCUUCAUAUCAGAAUGCGCCCAUGCGAAAACGUCAUGGAUUUGUCAGAGGGCGUCUUGGAUGUUCCAGGUCUUUUCUAGCAUCAAGAGGGAACUGAUAUACGUAAGGUGAGUUCCCUCUUCCGAAAUUUGAAUCGUUUGCAAGGGAUCCGCUACUGGGGGAUCUUUGUCCGCCGGACUUAGUGAUUGCUAUUGGUCCAGCGCGUGGGGGGACUCAGGGAGGGGUUUAUCCUCCUGACUGGUUCCUACCUCUCGUGCUAUCUGGUAGCAUUGGCGAGCAGCUAACUGACUGCCGUAUAGGUCGACUUGCCCAUCCUUGGUAAGGAAGCUUACCAUUUGAUGAUACGUAGAGUGGAUGACUUUCAUGUAGUGCAGCCAUGUGCGCCCCAAGAUGACAUUGAAGGGUGAUAAAUCUUGUACCACCGAAAAUUGUACGUUGAGAGUGACUGGGCCAACUUGGACCGGCAGUACAAUAUCUCCCAAGGAAGUAGUUGACGCCCCGUUGAAUCCGGACAAGAUUCGCCCAGGGUUUUCGAGGCCUAUGAGACUGUGUCCCAUGUGGCUAAUGACCGAUGCUUGUACAAGAUCGGUCGAGCUGCCCGGGUCAACUAGGAUGCGUCUUACGUCGAAGUUUCUUAUCUCCAAGGAUAGGAUGAGGGCAUCGCGGUGCGGCUGCAAUAUCCAUGUGGGGUCUACUGGUGGGAAAAUGAUUAUCCCAUCUAUGGGGUGAGGCCCCCCCCCCCCCAGUUAUCCCAGGUCGGAUGGAGUUGACAUGCUCACGCACCGAUGCUACCUGCAACAACCUCUGUCUCUUUCGUUUGGAGUCGUACUCCUCGUCGAAUGGACCUCCGUUAAUAUAGUUUAUAAUGGCUUUGGGGACGGCUAGAGCCUUGGGGGUUCUAGAGUUGUGAUUUCGGGAAGCGUCUCUACCUUUGGCAUCUGAGCGGAGGUAUUGUUUCAAAUGUCCCGCCCUUAUGAGCCUUUCGACCAAAUAAUGGAGGCACCUGCACGCCUCCGUUGUGUGACCAUGCUCUUUAUGGUAGGCACAUUUUUUACUAUGAUCUCUUUUGGAUGGGUCCGUUUUGAGGGGUCCAGGCCACCUGAAGUCGAACAUGUCUUGGAUCAUAGGGAGAAGUUUCUCAUAGGAUAUGGAAAAGGGUGUGAGGGGCGGCAUUUCCAGGUGACUUGGCCCUUCCUGCCUUCGAUCGGACGGCCUUGGCCGGUCCGGAAGUUUGUCACUUCUUUCCUCACCACUUCUGGAUGCUUGUCAGGCAACCAAGAUUUGUUGGGUGGCUGCUCGCACGUCAUCUUCGAGCAUUGAGCAUUUGCUCGCACGUCGGAACAAGUCAUCCAUCGUCGUAGGAGGCUUCUUAGCGAGUGAUUCGAAAAAUGGGGUGCCUGGACAGAUGCUUCGCUUGAAGAUCUGCAUGACAACAUCUAUGCUGUAAGCCUCUACCUGUAGCACGGCUUGACCACACCGCUUCACGAACUCCCUCAAGGACUCGUUAUCCUACAUUUUUAUGUUUUGCAGAGUGCUGAUGUUCUGCUUAUGCCUAGCGGAGCACAAGUAUUGUCCCACGAAGGCUUCCGACAGGUCCCUGAGAUUAUCAACCGAGUUGGGAGGUAGGCGGUGAAACUAUGAGAGGGCCUGCCCUUGUAGGUUGGCGGGGAAUACUUUGCAUAGCAGCGCGUCGUUUCCUAUAUCGAGAGUCAUGAGCUGUUAAUAAUGCAUGAUAUGGUCGAAGGGGUCGUUGGACCCAUCGUACGUGGAGAAUUUAGGUACGAGGAAUCCCUUUGGGGGCUCGUAAUGAAUAAUAUGAGAGCAAAAAGGCGUAGAGAGCAUGUCGUCCAGCCUUUUGCUGAUGGAGCCACUGGGUGGCUCGUUUGAGAGGUUUCUCCCAACUUGUCGUACCGUUUGGUGCGGGGGAAUGUUCUGCACCAUAGGGCUGACCAUAGGGUCAAGGUGCGGGGGAACGUUCUGCACCAUAGGGGUGACUAUAGGGUUAGGGUGCGCUCCCCAGGUUGUGACUACUGGCGGCCUUGGCCUCCCAGUCUCAUGCGGGCCUAGCCUCGCGCGCAUUGCGUCUGACAACUCGGGUUUUUUGUCGCGUUGUCUUUUUGCUAAGAAAUGAGUAGAGUCUGAGCUUUCCUCAUGGGGAGCUUGGUGCAUGGGCGUGUGUCGCUCAUGUGGUCUAACGUUGCAUGUUUCAGGGAUUGCUCCUGCUAUCCCAGGGUAUAUUAACUUUGGGUCAGGCAUUGAGUUUGCUACCUGGCCUCUUGAAAGUUGACGACGGGGAGGCCCUGUCGAUGAAGCCUGGAUGCGCAUAACAACGUUUUCUUCUCUCAAUCUCGUUGUCUCCUGGAGGAGAGCUUGCAUUUGUCGCGAGCUUGCCAACUGUCUUCUCUCGAUGGCUUAGCGCCAUUUAGAAUUAUCUUCCUCUUCCCUAGCAGACGAGCGGCUUCUGGAAAGUGUGGCCAUCUUUGCCGGUGACUGAAUCAGCGAAUUUCCCACAGACGGCACCAAUGUUGAGGCCUUGCGUCCCGAUGAUCCACGUAGCUGCCAAAUGGACACACACUUUCAACCAAGAUUGAGUUCUGGUUCAGUUGUCCCUGCAAAAGAUGUCCGGACAGGGUGUCCGGACACACCCUCUAAUAGUUUUGUCAGCCAUAGUUCCAGAGAUUAAGCAGUUGACCUUUUUCUAGGUAUAGCAAGCUUACCUUUCUCCUUGUGUGAAGGUCCAUAUAUAUAAUGACAGAAGCUCUGCCUCCCUUUUUAAUGGUGGGAAGACUUUUUAGCUUGUUAUGAUGCCUCUAGGUGGUGGCAGGGCCAUCAUCACCCUACGGGCGGCUAUCAGAGAUCGUGGGAGGCGACGCGACUGUCAGAGAUCGUGGAAGGUGACUUGCCAUCAUUCCUGUCCUUUCGCUCUGCAGGUGACGGAACGUGGGUUGUGGCAGGCUGUCGGAAUGACGUAGUAAGACUUGCUCACUUUUGUCAAUGAUCCGGACAACAUAUCCGAAUAGGAUAUGCUAUAGUCCGGAUGUGAUGUUUGCGAGUGUCGUGUGCUUCUCCCUGAGGAAGUCCGGAUAGGGGAGUGCGCCACGUGUCCCUCUUUGGGGAGUCUGGAUGGAGUCGCUCCGACAGCGAGGCGCCCCACGUGUUAUUAGGGGGAGGGGUCCCUACAAGUUGGAUGACGGUGAUGCUGCGACGGCAAGGUAAAAAAGAUAGAAAUGGGUAGGAACGGGUUUGUGAAGAGAGAGAAAAAAAAUAUUUAUGAGAGGAAGUAUGAUAAAGGGAAGAAUAAAUAGAGAGACCUACAAUGGGAGAUAAUAGUGGUAGUGGGUUGUUAGACAGUAGUGGAUGCAAGGAAGAAGAAAAAGAGAAAAAUUGAAAAAAAAGAAAGGAAAGUAAGGUAAGAGAAAACAAUAGAAAACUAUGGGAGAAUAUGAUGUCCUUGAGAGUUUCUCUUAUGGUAGGGAUUAAAACAAGGAUAUCAAGGGCUAGGAUUUGAUCUAACUAAAUUGGGCAUAAAAAUUAAGAUAAAAGGAAAGAGCUUAAAAAAAAUAAUAAUAAUAAGUAAUGAAAAGAAAAAUGAAAAUAAUGUAAAAAUUAAAAAUGAAAAUAAAUAAACAAAAACGUAAGAAAUAAAAUAAAAAUUAAUUGAAAAUAAAGAUGAGGACAAAUUUUAGGGUCUACAAGAUUAUUAGGAUAUAACCCUUAAGAACAUGACAUUAUGUAAUAAAAUUUUGAAUUUUUAUGUAUUAAUAAAGUUCCAAUUCACUUUUAUCUAUCCUAAUUUCAUGCAUUAUACCUUGAAAAUAUUCUGACCUGCGUCUUUUGCAUUGUACAUGACUUGGGUGCAUUAGGAGUUAUAUGAAAGAUUCAAAUCAUGAGUUCCUUGCAAAUAGAUGACUAGUUCACCGUCGGUUCAUGGGCUUAAUUAGGCAACCCAUUAAAUGUUGUAGUGCACUACCUCAUAAUUGGAGGGAUGACUAGUCUUGGCCAUCGAGAUGAGUUUUCCAUUAUGAGUGCACUGAUGUGUGUGGUUACACAUUGGAUAGAACCUAUGAUGAGUUACUAAGCUAUUUCAUUUGUCAUCUCUCAACCUUGAGAGGAUAUUGAGCGUGUGCUAAAGUUAGUAGUGGUUUUGACCUACCAGUGAGAUCGUAAGAUGAUCAUAUAUUCCCUAUGGAUUUAGUCAUUAUUGAUGGAAUCUAGUAGUAAUAAGUAUUCUCAAUAGAGGCAUCAUGAUAUCUCAUGAAAUUGAGAUAGAGUGUCCCUUUGGGUGAUCAUUAGGAGAUGUGUUCAUGUAAACUAUGGUCAUAGUAGUUUUUUAAAUGGAACUUGACAUUGACUUUGUGAGAGCUAAAAUAUGUCAGUUAAACACACAAUAGGAGGAUUCGUAACUCAAAUAUAGAAAAAGUAGUCUUGAAAAACUUAUAGAUUUCACCUUGUUAAACUACAAACACAUGGGAAGACUGAACACAAUGGAUAACAGGUCACAAACCUAAGCACAUAGUGUCUCAUUAUUAUUUACAUAGAAUACUGGAGUUCAGUCAAUUUUCUAUAGUGGGAUGUCAAAUCAACCUCAAAAUUGGAUUAUGAGGUAGCUAAUACUCCUAUGAGUCCUAAUGAUCCAUGCUUUGAGUUUAUAUACCAUGAUAACACGAGUUAUAAGAGUUAGAUUAACCAUGGUUUUAAAAAUCGGACCAGAUCGAUCGGUCUGACCGCUGGCUGGUCAAGGUUCCAGUCCAGUCUGGUGAAUUGGGUCGAAAAGUAGUUGAACCAAAAUCGAAUUGGAUGAAUCGGAUGUCUGACUAACAAAAUAGUCUAUGCAAUCAAUUUUAUUUAUUAAUUUUUUUCUCAACAUCAAAACAACAUCGUUUUGAUGAGUAUAAAACCUUCUUUUCUCCUGCCCCCUAUCUUCUGCACGACUACCCUAACUCCAAUUGUCCACUGGUUGGACCUCACUCCCCUGAUGACACCCUUCAUUGGCGGCAAACCCCCCAGCGUGGCUGCGCUAGCUCCACCAAUAGUAGCAGCAACUCCAUAAGGUUUCAUUUUUAUUUUUUGAAAUUUUUUUUUUAUGUUUUAUAUUUAAUGUCUUUUUUUUUUGUUGAUUAUAAUUUUGAUGUUAUGUUUAAUAUUUAAUUUUUAUAAUUUUUUUUCAUUUUUUUGUUUAUUUAUUGUAUAUUUUUAUUUAUUCAAACUAUUGAAAAGUUAAAACGUUAGGAAUUAAAAUAAUUUGUUCAUUUUCAAAUAAAAUUUUGAUUUUUAAAUUUUAAAUAAAUAUUUGAUUUGAAAGUAAAUUUCUCAUUUUGAAAAAAAAAUCUUUAAUAAAUUCCAAAAUUUUUAAUUCUUGAAUCUUUUAAAUUGUUGUUGACUUUGAUUCUCUAAAUUAAUGUGGCGUUUUUAUAAAUUAUUGAUGACUUGAUUUUUUUUUUAAUUAAAUUGUUGAUGGCUUGAUUCUUUAAUUUUAUGAUUAAAAUUGUGAUUUUUGUUUACAAUUUACUAGAGAAAUAAAAAAUGAAAUCAAACUUUACCCUAUUCUCUGGUUAAGAUUCAACUGCUAAUUCACAAACAACUAGAAACAAUAUCAAUCAUGCAUGAGAGCAUGUUUAUGAAGAAAGAUAUAAAAAUGGAAGAAAAACUCUAGUUGUUUGUAUUGUAAAAAGGUUGCAAAAGGUGGGAAUAUUCAUAGAAUGAAGCAACACCUUAUUGAAGUGAAAAGGGAUAUUGGUACAUGUAAGUCGGUUCCUCCUAAUGUUAGAUUUCGAAUGGAAAAUUCUUUAUAAGAGUUUGUGAAUUCCAAGAAAGCAACCCAAGAAACAUAUGAAUAUAGAAAUCCCUAUGGUCCUAAUGUAUUACAAUUUGAAGGGGAUAUGGCAAAAGAUGGUGAAGAGGUUCAAGAAAUGCAAAAUCCUAUGGCAGCUAGUAGUGGAAAAAGAAAAAAAAUCAAUAGUGGAUAAGUAUUUUGCACCAAGAAAUACUAAAAGAGCUCAACCUUUCAUGAGGAGUGUAUUAGCUGGGAAAAAAAACUAUUUGAAGAGCAGAUAUGAUAGUUGGAAGAUUCUUUUAUGAUGCAUGCAUUCCUACUAAUGUUGUGAAUUCCUUCUACUUCAAGCCAAUGUUGGAUGCUAUAUCUGCAAUUGGUCCUGGAUAUAAGAGUCCAAAUUACCAUUAGCUGUGGGUUAAUCUUUUAAAGGAUGCCAAGAAGGAAGUUCGGUUACUUGUGGACUCUUAUCAUGCAAUUUGGGCAAAAGUUGGGCGUACAAUAAUGGGUGAUGGUUAGACAGAUAAAAGAUAAAGAACACUCAUAAACUUCCUUGUAUAUUGUCUUAAAGGAAUAUCGUUUAUGAAAUUUGUUGAUGUUUUAGACAUUGUCAAGGAUACAAUUAAUUUGUUUCAAUUAUUUUAUGAGUUGAUUGAAUGGGUGAGUUCACUCAAUGUAGUUCAUGUAGUGACUGAUAAUGCAACAAAUUAUGUGCUCGUAGGAAGAUUGAUUUCUCAGAAGCAUAAACACAUCAAUUGGUCACCUUGUGCAACUCAUUAUCUUAAUUUGAUCAAGAAGGAUAUUGGUAAGAUGGACCAUAUUGCUGAACUUGUAAGACAUGUAUCAAAUGUGACCAUUUUUGUAUAUAAUCAUGUUGCUUUAUUAAGUUGGUUGAGAAAAAGAGAAUGAUGGACAAAGAUUAUCAGACAUGGUGCAACUUGCUUAGCUACUACAUUCAUUGCACUCAAGAGUCUUCAUAAUCAUAAGCAUGACUUGCAAGCUUUGGUGACUAGCAAGUUCUUUGUGGACUUUAGAUAUUCAAGGGAUAAUAAAAGCAGAGUUACAGUUUCCAUGAUCUUGGUAAUAGAUUUUGUAAUGAUUUUUUGAUAGUUAUGAAUCUUAUGUCUCCACUAAUGCGCUUAUUGCGUAUUAUUGAUUGUGAUGAGAGGCCUUCAAUGGGAUAUGUGUAGAAAGGCAUGUAUAGGGAUUGUUUGGGUAUCAAGAAAUUAUUUAACCACAACAAAAGACUAUAGAAGCAUUAUACAAAGAUCAUAAAGCAACGUUGAGAUCAACAACUAAAGAAAAGCAUUCAUUCAACAAUUUAUUGGUUGAAUCCAUGUUUCCAAUAUGAUCGGGAAAACUUUUGUAAUAAGCCAACUGUUGUUGGAGGUGUCAUGGAUGUUAUUGAUCAUUAAGUUCUAAAAGGCAAGCUUGAUACGAUGAAUGAAAUGAAAUUGUUUCGUGAUCGAUUGAGAAGUUUUGGAAGAGACUUUACUUAUUCUUCACGUGAAGUACUUCAUCCUGUUAAAAGAUAAUUUUAAUUUAUUAGUGUGUUUGUUCUUUUUCAUUAUUUACUUGCUUACUAUUUAAUAUUUUAAACUUGCUAAUUCUUUUUUUCUUAUUUUUAAUGUGAACAUGGUAACUAGAUGAAUGGUGGAGGCUAUAUGGAUACAAUGCACCACAUUUGCAAAAGUUAAAUAUUCAAAUAUUGAGCCAAACUGCAUCAUCUUCUAGAUGUGAAAGGAAUUGGAGUGUCUUUAAAUGUAUACAUACUCAAAGAACGAAUAGAUUGGAACAUCAAAGGCUUAAUGAUCUUGUAUACGUUCAUUAUAAUUUGCGCUAAAAAAAUUUUCUUAGUUGUUUUGAAUUUAAAUUCUUUCAUUCACAAUUAUGAAUAAUUAUAUGUUUUUCUUUUUUAGGUUCUAUAACAAGAAAAUAACCUAUGAUCCCAUUGACUAUGCAUCCAUUGAUGAGACCGAUUUUUGGAUAGUUGAUAAGGAUCAGCCAAUAGAGCUAGAUGUUGAAGAAUUGAAAAAUCUUCUAUAUGAAGAAGGGUCAAUUCCAAUAAAUGAAGUGGAAGGUUCAAGUUAUCACAUUCGUUAGUAGAUUAUUUAAACUCAUAAAAAUUCAAUAAUUAUAUUUUUUUUCUUCAAAAUUGAUUUCUUGUUGAUAUAUAUUCAAUAUUUUUGUGGAUGAUGAGGAUGUUAGUGGUGUGGUUGUAGAAGGGCUUGAUGUGAAAAAAUUUGGUUUUCCAGAUGCUCAUUUUCAAUCUCCAUAUUCCAAUUUCCAAAAUGAAUGAAGACAUGAAUUUUUAUAUUUAUUAGUAUGAAAAAAUUUUCAUGAAUAUUCAAACAAUAACAUGUUAUACUUUGAGUAACUAUUUAAGUGUUGUGGUUGACGUUUGUAUUAUCUAUUGUAGAUAAUGUGUUAAGUUAACAACUCUUUGAUAAUUUGGUCAUUGUUGGUUUAUUGCUCAUAUGUGAACAUAGGAUAGCAAUGGUUUGAUUAUUGGAUAAAUGUUGGGUUUAUUGACAUUAUGAAUGUAUAACAUCUUAUAUUGUAUUAUAGAUAGAUAUAUGAUGAUUAAUGACUUCUAUAAGUAAAAAAUUCAACAAAUAGAAUAGAUGUUGUCAAAAUUUAGAUAGAAUUUAUUAUUAUUUUUUAUUUUUAAUAAUAUAUAACAUGUAUUUUUAUGACGUCACCAAUUUGAUUGCGAUUUGACCAUCAAUCCGACCAAUGAACCGUGAAUCGGUAACUUUUCUGGUUCAAUGAUUGGUCCAAUUAUGAAAACAUUGAGAUUAACUCUCAGUUCAUUUUUAUGCAUAAGAGCGUUUAGGUAAUUACAUAAAGUUGCAUAAGGGUAAUUGCACAAGGUCUUUGGAUUGGGUUAAUUGAUUAAUUAGUAUGUCUUAUUGGGUUAAUUAAUUAAUUAAUUAAUUAAGACCCAUUUGGGCUAGAUUAAGUGACUCAAACCUUUAGCGAGCUCAAGUCACUUAAAUCCAAUGGGGAACUCUAUAAAAUACCUAUUCCAUAACUUUUCCAUAAAUCCAUCUCCAAUGAGAGAGAGAGCCAUAACCUCCACCUUUUUUUUCCAUCCCACCAAAAGUAUGUCAAAGACAUGGUUCGAGUCAUCAGGUGAAAGACUUCAAGUCUACGAGACUUCCUAUGACAACGAUCUUUAUAUUUACUGCAUAGAAUAGAUUUGGGAAUGUCCAAAUCUCAGGUAUUAUUUUCAUUAGCAUUUUCUAAAUCCUGUUUAAGUUUAAAAGGUAAAUUUUCCAAUGUGCAUAGGACCCUAGGAAGUUUUUCAUGUUCCUAACUUGAUUCGGGCAUAGGAAAUGGAGAUAUCUGAGUUUUCCUACAUAGGUACCAUAAUAUAGCAUACACUUAGAAAUUUAGUUCCCUUAUCAUGCUCAUCUCAAUCUUAUUUUGCAUACACUUAGAAAAAUCUUGUUAAAGGAGUUCAUAGUGGAUCCAAAGAUAAUAUCAUCUACAUAUAUUUAAACAAUUAGUAUAUCAUCAUUAUUUUUUUUUUUACCUUAGUGAAUAAGGAUGUAUCCAUUCUUCCCAUUUUAAAACAAUUUUCUAAAGGAAAUUUAGUCAACCUUUUAUACCAUAAUCUAGGUGCUUACUAUCAAUGUUAAGUCCUCAUCUUCAUCACUUUCCUCUUUUUCUUGAUUAUCUUAAGUUGAAGUUGUUUUCAAGGUUAUGCUUUUUUUUUUUUUUAUUCUCCUCCAUUUAUUGAUGGCUCUUCUAAUGGAAGCUUUGAAACGUCUUUUGCUUCUUGGAUUGUUGUUACCUUAACUUCCUAUUGCAUAGGUAAAGAUCUUAAGCUUUUCAUAACUUUCUGUUACUCAACAUACUUCUUCCAUAAGGCUUAAAGGUCAUUGAUAACAUUGAUGAACAUCCCAAUAAUAGAUUCAUUAUCUUUCAUGUUAAACAAUUUAUAAAUAUGCAUAAAUAUGUUUAUUUUCUAUUCCUUUACUUAGGGGUGGAAGGGAAUAAAUCAAGCGUUGGUUGAUUUUUCAUAAACUUGAUUAAUUUUAACAACUUAAGAAUGAGAUGAAUGCAAUGCAAUAAUCAAUAUCAACAAUGAGUAAAGGGAGAAGGGAAAAGAGAGAAGAGAAUGCAAACAAUAUUAAUAGUGAUUUGACAUUCUACCUAUAUCUACUCCCUUUAAUUCCAAUCCCAAGCUAAAAUGCAAUCCAUUAUCUCUAAAAGUUUUCUCAAUCAAAGCGUUUUCUUCUUUACACUAAAAUUCUAAAGUUCCAAUAAACAUUUAUAAUACUCUAAGGAGCUUCCCUCUACUCUUUUACAAAAAAUAUUAAAUUACAUUAAAAUGAUAUUUAUAAGGCUUAACACUUAAACAAAUGGAAGAUAAUAAUGAAAAUUGUGAGGAUCUCAAGGGCAUAAUAAUUGAUUUGCAAACUUGAAAAUAACUAGACUUUUAUAUGAUUUUGAAACUUUUGCAAUGAUUAUUAUUCAAUGUUGGGUCAUUAAAAACUUAUAAAUGAAAGUUAAGGAGCCUUCAUAUAUGAAGUGAAAGCCAACAAAUUAUUAAAAACAAUUUCUUAAAGCUCUAGUUGGUUGUCGAGUCCACCACUUAACUAGUUGUUAUGCAUUAAUUGCAGUGACAAGUGACCAUUGAGAAAUAUAUUUGCUCAAUCAAUUAGUUGCCCACUUAAAUUGGAAAACCCACCACAACUCAUUUCCAAUGGAAAACUAAUUAACUACAUUUGGGGGGCAUUCCCAUGGGUAACUCCAAUUGACUAUAAUCGAUAGACUGCUAUUUGGUCCCUUAAGACUCAUUAGAAUAUCAAAAGUUUGAAAACCAAUCUAAAGUUGAAACAUAAAAAAAUAAAAAUAAAAAUAAAAACUAACUUCUAAGAAUUGUGAAACAAGGCUAAUUAGUAUAAUAAAAACACCUAAGAGUGGAGAAGAGGGGUGAAUUGGGUUUUAAAAACUUUUCGAAUUUUUUUUCUCCAACAACAAUAUAAAUAAUGAGAUAGAGAGAUUGCAAACGCUGAUUUUAUAAUGGUUCGUCCAAUUCCACCUACAUCCACUCUUCUCAUUUGAAAAACUUUUCUCAAGUAACAAGGAAACAAUAAUAAAAAUAAAGAGAUAAGGGAUAGAGAGACUGCAAACAUUGAUUUUAUAACGAUUCAACCAAUUCCGCCUAUGUCCACUCUCCACAAGUUCCUCUCGAGUGAGGGUUCCACUAAUUUGAAACUUCACACAAGCUUUCAAACUCUUACAAUUGGAUUCACUAGUUCCAAUGAGCACUAUAAUUAACCCUUCAAGUUUAUCCUCAACUUCAAGCUUAACACUUAACCUUACUUUAAUAAAUAAGAAUUUAAGAUCACUCAAUCUUAGCACAAUUAAUGAACAAAUACAAGGAAGGUAGGAUGAACAAUAAGGGUGCACUAGAUGAGUUUGCAAGUGAAAGAUUCAAUAUAACAAAAAAGAAAGAGAGUUUUGAAUGUGAGAAACUAAUAGGUAUGGAGUUUAAUGUAAGUGUUCUUUAUGCAAUAAAUGAACAAGUGCUCUCUAUUUAUAGGUUUCCAACCUCAAACAUCAAAAAGUACUCCAAUAAACCUUUCUUAGUCAACUUUUGGUCAAUUGGUUGACUAGAUGUUAGGCAUUAAAUGUUUGGUAGAUGACCUUUGGGAGCUCGACUGAACCUCAAUUGGGAAGGGGCUAUCUUUGACGAGAAAAGGGCUGGGAAGACAAGGCUACUAAAUGAGAGAGAAAUUUUUUGUGCCCCCUUAACCAAACCUCGAUCAAGAAAGGAUAACUAAUUAACUAAUUCCCUAACCAGUUAAGUCAAUUGAGUUUGUCCUUAACCGGUUGUCCAUUUUUUUUCCUCAAAAACCUAUCUUUGUCAAUUUUAAAACUUUCUACUAGUUAGGGCAAUAUCUUUAAGCAGUUUUAUAAAACCAAUAUGAGAGGUUUUUUUGCCUAAGGUUUUGGGUUAAACCUCGUGUUUAAAAAAAUAUCACUUUUAAAGCUCAAGAUGAGUACGAAAAUGAUGCAUAAGUGAAUUAAAACUCCUAAGUGCAUCUAAGUGAACAUCUUACAUUAAGUUUCUAGAAGUGAACGUCCUCCAUGAAUACUUGAUCUUGCACUCUUGUGAUCAUUUGAUGGAUAACUUGAUUUUCCAAUUGAAUUUUGUAAUUGCCACCUAAAAUUGAUCUUAAUUUUAACUCAUUAAAGAACUAACCAUGUUUUGUUUUCAUCAAAAUCUACUUAUGAGAACCCUUGGACUAAUAAGAACACUUGCUUUUCAAAAAAAAUUUAGACAAGAACUUCCAUGAAAAGUUCAAUUAGGGUUCAUCUUUUAUCAUUUUUUUGGAGUGCUUCCGAAAGGUUUUUGAGAUAAUGCUUACAAUUGAUUCCACAUUUUCCUAGUCUUGCAUAAACUGAAAUGUAAAAAUUAAAUACUAGACUUAACUAAAUAUGCUCUUAUCUUAUUUUCUUGAUUUGAAUUACUUUUUUUACUUAAUAAAAUGCAUGUUAUAUUGUAAAAUCAUUUUUCCUACAUCUAAUUUAUUGAAAUCAUUAAAUACUAAUCCCUUGUUUUAUUAUCAUAAAAACAUUAAUCAAGCCGUUUAAAAAUCCAAGGGUUAAUAGAAAUAAAAACACUAGACGACCAUGACGCUUGCAUCGUUGGUCACAUGGGUAUGGCCAGUGGUGGAGCCAGGUAGUGCCCAAGAAAGGAAAAUGCCCCCCCUGAAAUUUAAAAAAAAUAAAUAUUAAUGCUAAUGGGAUUUGAUCCCAAAACCUAAGGUUUUUAAAAAACUAAUUGCCUUAUCAUCAAGCUACAUCACUAAUUUGAUGUUAUUUUGCCCUCCCUAAAACAAGUUUCAUAUAUUGCCCCCUUAACUUCUUUCUUGGCUCCGCCCUAGGUGUGGCUACCACAUGCAACAACGGUAGUUAUGAGGCUUUCCGCAUGCUAUUGAGCCUCUUAGAACACAUGUGGGUUAUGACAUACCUUGUUGGUACAACCUUCUCUCACCGUCCACACUAAUAACUUCCUCUCAUUGUCUAGAUUUUGAUGGUGACCUCUACUUUCCAUUUUGAUACCUCAAGGUGUUUGUUUGUAUUACACACUCUCUUUAUAAUAGGAGGCUUCAAAAUUUUUGUAAAAAAAAUUGUUAUUUUUUAUUUUUAUAAUUCACUUGAAAUUUAAAAAAAUUCCAUAUCUUUUUUUUUUGUAAUCAAAACAUUACAAAUCAUAUACCCUUGGAAAGCUUAUAAUAAGUAGGGAUGAUAAUGGGGCAGAUUUUUUUAGGUACCUCCAUUACCUCAUCCCUAAUGAGAUGAGUUUAAAAUUUAAAUAAAUAUGUUUGAGAAGGAUUUGAAAUUUAUUUUAAAACCCAGGACCGGUUCAAGGCAGGUUCAAGUAUUGCCUUUUCUUGUCCUAUCAUGCCCCGAUUAUAUAUAAAAUUAAUUUAAUUUAAUUUUUAUUUUCCUAUUUUUAAUAUAUAGAUAGUAAUAAAAAUAAUAAAACACUUUUCAAUAAAAUAAGUUAUAAAAAUUAUAAUUAUUUAAUUAUUUAUAAAUUUAAUAUAAUUAAAAAAAAAAUUAAACUGGGCAAGCAGAGCCAAUCAUACCCACCCUCAUUUAUUUAUUUUUUUAAUGGGAUGGAGAUGAUAAUUAAUUUGAAUGAAUGAGACGAGGAUAGGAUGAAGAUGACCCAUCCCAAACCCUUCCUAUUGUCAUCCCUAAAAUUAAUAAGAGGAAUUUUUAUACCAUUUUGAGAUAAUUUUGAGAAAGUACGAAUUUUGAAUGUUUUUUUAGAAGACUAGUUUGUGUGGAAUGUAAAAUACAUGGGAAAAAAAAAUUGAAGUGUAAUGUGACUCCGAUAUCACUAUUGGAAAUUUGCUGAAAAUCUCGCAUACAAGUGCAACAUGUAAGAACUUUUCACUAAUCACAUCCAAAUAUGUAAUUUAAAUGAAUUAAAAAUAUUUACACAAAGUUUGCGGGAAAAAGGCCUUUAAAGAUCCACAUUUAAAGGCCUUGACAUGUAGACUUUGUAGUGAAAGUCUUCUUCUCUAUUCCCAUGGACGUAGGCAAUCUGCCAAAUCAUGUUAAAUCUGUGUGUGUGUGUGUUUUUUUUUUCUCUAAUUUCUUCACCAGGAGUUGUUGCACGAAGAUGAACAGUAAUAUAAUUAUCUUAUGUAUAGUUUAUUAUUAUGGUUGGAUAAAGAUAUUAUUAAACAACUUAGGAGUUAUUGCAUACAUUAUGAAACUGGUCUAGUUUCCAUAAGGUUCAUGGAUUGGGCCCAGUUUGCUUGUCGGAUUGGGAAUUUGAGAGCCCAAACUACGAAAAUGGGUUGGGCAGUCUAAGGCCUCAGGGUGAGUUUGCUAUUCCUAAGACCUAGUAUCUUCUUUACUCCUGAUUUCCAAAAUAAGAAAAGUACUUUCAAAAUAAUAUCGCUUGUUAUCAUUUGACUUCAAGUAGAAGCUAGUUUUGAAAGGUAUUUUAAGGGCCAUUUUCUUUCAUACAGUUUGUGAAAACUGCUUUGGACAUGGUGCAAUUUUGUGGGAUAAUUUUCUAAUAUGUCAUGCUAAUGCUGUGAUUUGAAAAACUCAGGCUAGUGUUUGGUUGCUGAGAAAAUGCCUUCUUCUUUUAGGGAGCAAGUGUCUUUAGGGGUUUGGAGUUAAUGGGGUUCUGUUCAAUUCUUCAUUGACUUGCAUGCCAAAACAGAAAUUUCAUCAGCAAUGUGCCUCUCUGCAGAGUCUUCUCUCUUUGUAUGCAUGAAUGCUGAUUUUUACUAGCAAUGCUCCAUUGAAUUUUAUUUCUUCCAUGCUACUUUGAUUUUAGGUAUAGCAAUGAGUAUGCUGCAGUUGCCUCCUGGGUAUAGCUCAGCAGUACUGCCCUCUGGCAAUGAACAUGAGGCCUCGAGCUUAUCCUUCUUUGUAGUUAAGCAGUAUAAGGUAGAGGGAUGGCGCAAUUAGUUGCAGAACACACUUAAUGAGGCAAGUAUUUGGAGUCACGCGGCUAUGCAACUCUGCCUAACCAUCAAUUCAUGUUUUGAAACAUCUUGAUGGAGAAUGUGAUGAUUUUUGGAACUAACCGCUAUGCUUCCAGUAAACAAAGGAUUCCUAGUGCCUAAAUUGUAGAGAAUUCUCAGAAAAAUCUGGCAGGCCUCACCAUCUGCGUUCUGUAACAUGGAUAAGGCAUGAUUGAUUUUUCUUGUGAGUUAUUUUUAUAUCUAUCCAGUUAUGAUGUGUUACAUAUGGUGCUGCAUUUGUUUAUUCUGGCAUUAAGCUUCAGUGAUUUUGGGGUUUUGGUAUGAGUGGAAAAUAUAAUCAACCUUUCAGAAGGGGAAGGGGAAGGGGAAGGGACCAUGUGUUGUAUUGAAUAGGUUAUGCAGCACUUGACUCACCAGCCCUCUUGAUCAAAUGGAUUUCCCACAAAUUCAAUGUGGUCUUACCUGCAUAUUCUGGCAGCAAGAUGGUUACCUUUCAUGGAAAAUGGUUCGGUCACAUUGACCCAGAAGGGCUGACUGUAGAAAAUUGGCAAAAAAAAAAUAAUAUUCAAAGUUGAGCUGCUUAAGCUGAAGAACCUGAUGCUUUAGCGCCGUGACGAGUGCCCAGUAGUAGGGCCUACCGAUGGCUGAGGGGAGUAAUUGGUUAGGCACAAGGUUGGUGGAAUCAACACGGGAGUUUAUGUGGGAGAGGCCAAUUAAUGAAGUCCAUUGCCCUCAUGAAGAAUGGUCAAACUCCCUGGUCUAGAUGAAUCAAUUCUGGGUCGUGUGCUGCACAUGAUCAAGGCCGCCAUUGUGCCUUGUGGACUAUGGCUCCGUCAUCACCUAGUGGUACUAGUCGCAUUUCAAUUGGGCUGCUUUCCACUACUUUUCCCUCACAUGGUUGGUUCUCACAUUGAACUCUGAUGGAUACAUACCAGAUCGAUACUGAAAGGAACUGUCACUCUCCCUUGUUAAUGGAUCAAAAAGUAUCUCAUUCCGCAGUUUGUAAUUUGAAACACUCAUGGACAUUGAAUAUUUCAAUUGGUCAUGUUUCUAUGCCAAAUGCAACAGUCAUCCUCGAAUUUUUCACCCCUCCAUGACUUGCUCCCAGUUUAUCACAGCUUUUACGGAUAUUUAUAGGGUUAAGAAAAACUCAUAAAUAUUAAUAUUGCUAAAAUGAAAUACCCCUAAAAGGGGUUAGUUGUCAUAAGAUACCCUAAAAGGGGUUAGUCCGCCACUUAACAUGCUAAUAAUGGGGUAUCUUUGUGAUUCGUUACCUUCAAGUCAAACCAAGCACAUGAUCUGAUCGUUAGUGAUACCGUUCUAACAAAUUGUAUUGCCACUUUGACACUUGCCAAAAAAUUCUUCAAAUCAACCCGUGAUCAUGCGCUAUUUUUAUGCUUCACACUACUGCAACCAUAUAAAAGGAAGGAGAAGAGGGGGAAAAGGGACAAAAGAAAAAAAAUUAGAGUAUAACGUCAAAAACUUUUUUCCCCUAUCUUAUAUGUGAAAUCACAAAUACCUUCAGACAUAAUGUUUUUAUUAUGUCCCAUAAGUUCAUAAAACCAAAUAGAUAGACAUCUUUUAUAUAAUCAAAUAAAUUUUCACACCAAGAUUAAAAUUAGUUUUGAUACUAUUUGUAAUGAUUCAUUACCAAUGGUGUAGAUAUAUAUAUAUAUAUAUAUAUUAUUUUUAUUUUUUUCAUCUUGGGUGCCAUAACCCAUAUAUUGUGGACUAAAUGUCAAUAUUACAACUGGACAAGACCUUAUAGAUACCUGCAAGACAGCUUAUAUGAAGUAAACAUUAGUUAUGGUAGGUGUGUGGGGAUUGGGGGAAGCAUAUUUCAACAUUGAUGGGGACCUGACCCUAAACGCAAAUGACCCUUGGAGAUAAAAUCCUCUAGGCAGAUGCCCCCAUGAGCUUCAAGGUAGACAAGACUGUAGCCAUGUGGGAGCUCUCUGCAAUAUGUGUGUGGCAUGAGAGGAGUCUUGGGGGCUCCAAAUCAAGAAAUGGUUGUUGAACGUUGAGGCAUCUUUGUCAAUAAUGUAGUUGCAACCAAUUUUGGUCCUCAGAAGUCGCAUUAAAAGAAGAUUAAAGGCAUGUGCUUCUCUUUUUGUCCCAUCAGCUCAUAAUCACCACCCUAGGUCACUUGUUUCAAAUGCCCAACAGGUCCCCCACCGCCGUAGACCUACGCCCAGAGGGGUACUUUCUCUCUCUCUCUCUCGGGUCAAGUGAUGUAUUUUUGCAUCGAAACAAUACCUUAGUAAAACUGCAUUUCCCCACUCUGGAAAAUGGAGCAGAGAACUUGACAAGUGGCCCACACUUGGUAUGGACUGCUUGGCUCGAUUCAUUUUCAUGGUAUCGGAUUCCAUUUGUAUUUUUGUCUUAGUUCUUAAAAUACGAAGAGCCCCAUGAUGAUGUGUUAUAGCCUAUUGUUCUUUUGCAUCGAGCCCAAUAACAGUUUGAAGUAUUAGUUGAACUUUCCUAAUCACUUGAAUCACUCGAUUGGUAUGUUUUGAAGAUCACUCUGUCUUCUAUAUAAUUUUCUGUUUCUUUUGUCUUCUGGUACUCGGUUCAUUGUAAGUUGCACCCAACAAUAUAAAAUUGAGAGAGAGAGAGAGAGCUUUAAUGUAAAUCUAAAUAUAUAGAUAAUUGAGUGUAUCAACACUUCUGAACUUGCUUUUCUCUAAACCCAAUUAGGAUUUCUUCAACAGGAAUCACCAAAUGGUUUUGAGAGCAACAUGCAGAGGUUGUAAUCAUGCUUAGAAGAGUCAAAAAUAAGAAAAGGGCCCAGAAGAAAAGAGAGAGAGAG